This 88878-nucleotide long non-coding RNA is filed under the name Coffea arabica (coffee). RNAcentral describes it as "long non-coding RNA (CARA_LNC002135)". Lineage: Eukaryota; Viridiplantae; Streptophyta; Magnoliopsida; Gentianales; Rubiaceae. The record is from RNAcentral.
ACGGCGUUGCUCAGGAGUCAAACCAUCAUCUUUGUUCUUGCCUUUGCCACCAGUCCUUGCCUGAGCUCUUUCUCUAUCUUUCUCCCUCUGGUUUCCGCGUGAGAUCCCAAUCCAGUCAAAGAAAUUUCCCAAAAUUCACAUAUACUCAUGAAUAAAUGCAGCAUAAAAUUGAAAUUAAUCAAAAAAAGAAGCGUAAUUAAAGGAUAUGAGUCAUGGUGAGGACGCCGGAGAAGUCGCCGGAGAAGAAAGUCUACGCCGAGGAAGAAAAAUAAAUCAGAGAGCUGUCAACUAUGUGGUUCAGUGCGUGUUUUUUGGGGUUGAAAUAAUAGUUAAAAGUAGUUUGGAUUGGACCGUACUUGGGCAUAGUUUUGGAACUAGGAAUUGGGCGAGCCUUUCGACUCCAAACCUGACCCGUCCAUGGCCACAUGGGCCUGGUUUGAAUAUUUUAAGGAUUCAGCUCCUCUGCGAUAAUUGUAAAAAUAUCGUUGAACCCACACGGGCCACAUGGACUAGUUUUGUACCCAUUCGUUGAACGGAAUCGUAAAAAAAAAAAAUAAACUAUUUAGUCAAUUUUAUAAAAAUAUCGAUAUAAAAUACAAAUUUAAUGUAUAAUCUAUUAUAACUUAUUUUAAGUAUAUUACUAUGUGCGCAUUGUAAUAAAAGUAUUCUUAUAAUAUAAAUUUGAACAUCUAAUUCAAUGAUUAAUAAUUCAAAAAUGGAAAAAAUAACAUUCAACAAUACCAUAACAUUCAAAAAUUUGACAAUAAAUAAAAAGUGCAGUAAAUAGUAUCAAAUAAUAUUCUACUCUUCAUAAACUUGUUUUUGUUUUUCUUCUGUUUAAACAUUCUUCUUGAUUUGUCCGUGCAACUUAGCAUUCAUUGAUUUUUCAUUAUCACUGCAUGAUAGCAAAGCAGGAUAACUAAGUAUUAAAAAAUAAAUGAUUUAUUGCAUUCAAGAUUAUGUAUAACAAUAUGUAAAGAUUAUAAUUUAAGAAAAUAAUAUAGUAUAUUAAAUCUACCUUCUCAUGCAAAUCUUUUUAUGAGGAUUCCCUUUCUCUGUGGUUUUUGUUGAACCCUCUGAUAAAUGAUUCAUAUGAAGUGUAUUGAAAUACUGUUGAUUAGAAUCAUCUGUUGUACUAAUUGGGAUAUGAGAAAAAGAUACUUUAGGUUGGUAUUGGUUGUCGGUUCUGCCAAUAUGAUAAUGAUUUAUCAAAAUUAAAGGUAAAAAUAUUAUGUGAGAUAUAGUAUGUGAAAUACAAGAGAAAUUUAUUGUACAUUACCUGUGAAUGCAUGAAAUGUGUUUCCCUCUUGAAAUCAUAGUGGAACUAUCUAGUCACUAUAAAUCAUUAAAUCUAUUAAUACCUUGUUUCAAAUUGUAAUUGUUCAACUUGAUUUGGAAUAUAAAAGGUUUUCACGUGAUUUUAUUUAUAAUUGAUGAUACGAUUUCAUUGUUAAAUCCAUCCUGAAAAUGAAAUGCGUAAUAGAUUUUUUUUUGUUAGAAUAUUCAACAGUUGAGAUAAGUGUCGGAUUGUCUACUAUUAUUAAAAAUAUUUUAAAAAAUUAGAUAUAAGUUUACCUUGUUAAAUUCUUCAAGAAGAAAAGAAAGUUUGUAUUCUAUUAUUUUUUCAGUCUUUUGAUCAAAUAUAACAAACCAAACACUACUGGUUGCAUCACUUGCCAAGAAUUUUAACAUAUACCUGUAUAAAUACACAUAUUCUAAAAGUUAUGUUUAUGUAGACAUUGUAGCAAUUAAAAUGAUAAAAAUGUUAACAUCUACGACAUACCUCAAUUUAGGAUACUCCACAUUUUGAUUGCAAGCAUUACACAGUUUAGGAUACUCCAUAUUUUUCUUACAAUAUAGGGUUUUGGAUGUCGACUACUGACAACAUUUGAGCAAACUCCUUGGAUAUCGACUACUGACAGCAUUGAUAGUGGUAGCUAAUAUUUUGAAUGUAGAUAGAAUUUACUUUUAGACUUCUUGAUUAUGGGAGUAAGUAAUUGAUGUAUUCUGCAAAGCACUUUCAUGGCGAUAUUUAUAAAGCAUAGACUAUAAGUGUAUAUAAUCAAUAUUUGCCGGAAGUUCAUGUUAUUCAAGUGAUCAAGUGCUUGGCAUCUCUUCUAUUUAAACUAUGUUGGUAAGACAUAAGGCUGGAUAUUUUUUUAAAAACCUUAUGAAACCAUUCUCAAGUGGAUUAAUUAAGUAAACGGCCAGAGUUUUUUAAUUAACUAAUGAAUUUGUAGAUAUAUCUAAUAGAGAUAUUUAUGUCUCUUGUAUUUAUGUCGCGUUACUUUCCAGUACCUUUUGUUUUUGAUUGUUUUUCGUAAAGGCAAAUUAACAAACAUCUUAGCAUAUGAUCACAAAAAUCAAUUAACAAACAUGUUAGCAAGAAUCUUACAAAAAUAAUGAUGAAAGUACUUGUUUAAAUCCUAUGUCUUCAUACAAAACAAACAGAAAAUAAAACAAAAAAAUAAAAUUCAAGAUAUGGUACUAAACUCUUGCAAUUAAAGAUCAAUAUGCCUUUUUAAAAAAUAAAUAUAUUGAAAGAAAAUGUACCUGACAAUCAAGAAGAGUAAAACCCAAAAUCGAUACGUUAAUGUGCCAACCGCUUGCACUGAAAAUACCUAACCAUGAAUUUGAUGUUUGAAAUCAAUGUAUUAGAGGCUAUAUGUAGUGUAGGCAUAAGAAAUAAUAAUUGAUAAGGAUAUAAAGAGAUAUUAAUAAGAACAUUAAAAGUAUGUUUAUCUUGAUUUAAGUUGUUUAAAGUACAUAACUUUGGGUAUGAAAUAAAAAUCCUAUAAUAUUAAGAAUUCUUAUAGGAAAUAAAACCACAAUCGUUCAAAUAACUUUUUUUUUUUGAAGAAAAUAUGAUUUAUUAAUUAAAAUUAGUUACUUUUCUACUUCUUGUAGUGAUAGCAAUUCUUAUUUAUUUUGGUUUCUUAUGUAGUACAAAAAUUAUUGGCAUGAAUUUGGAGAUUUAUCUAAUAGAGAUAUUUAUGUCUCUUUUAUUUAUAUCGCAUUACUUUCCAGUUCCUUUUUUGGAUAGGAAAUAAGAAUAAUACAAUAUUAAGAAUUCUUAUAAGAAAUAAGAAUUGAUAUAAAUCCAAACAAAAAAGGAGCAAGUCACGUAGGAAAGAGAAAACAUGAAAGGAUAAGAAUGAAGAUACGACUUUAUUAUAUAUAUAUAUAUAUAUAUAUGAUUUGGAUGUUUGAGAUUGAAAUUUGGGCACAAAUUUCAACAAAUAAUAUAAUGUUAUUGUAUUUUACAUGUUAUGUUAGUGUUUAAAUUAGCUACAUUAGUGUGUACAAUUUUUACAUCAGCGUCGACAUUGUGAUAAUUAUGGAAGCAUCGAAUCUUCCCCUCUUUUUUUUUUAAUUUCUAACAUUGCCAGUGUCAAAUCACAUGAGCGCUCACUAUUAAGGAAUACUAAUUUUAUCUUUAGGGAUUAUUAGCUGUACUUUUAGGUAAUUAAUUUUUUGCUUUUUGGUAUUGGUAUUUUUAACUUUCAUUACUACUCUGAAAUAUGAGAAGAACCCAUUUUGAUUGCUAUUUUCUAGAGAUUUUAUAUAUAUAUAAAAAAGAAUGUGCUAUAAUUAUUUAAUAUAUGUGAGAUAAAAAAAUAAUAGAAAAAUGAGUUCACAGAGAAAACGUAACAAGUUUAGCCAAUAUGACAAUAACCAUAACAUUAUUUUUUUUUUCGUUUGUUGGAAAAAAAAAUUACAUAAAUAUUUUUUUUUACCCUAAAAAAAAAAAAGUCUGCUUCUCUAAUCGAGUAACAAGUUGUCUAGCGUCUACCUCCUAACUACGCCCCAGGCUUAUUUUAGUCCACUAAUAAAUGGGCUAAAACUGUUGGCCCUACAUAAAUUAUCGUUGGGCUUGAUGCUUACAUCAAAUGGAAGGUCAAAUGACUAAAAUGGCCUUAGAUAAUUCCGUUGUUUUUGCUCAAGUCCUCCAACAAGGAUGCAAAACGAAAUUCAAACGCUGAGUUUGAAUUAAAGAUAUUAUUCGUAAUAGAAAGAGAGUAAUUUAUUCAUCAUGUUUAGGACUAAGGAGCGACCAAAACACAAAUUAAUAUGAGACAUUUACUCGAGUUUGAAUUAAAGGUAUUGGCUUGGACUAUCUUCCUUCGAUUAAGAUCACAAAGAUGUCUUAUGAUUUUUUUUUUUUUUCUAAAAUGAGCUAAAAAGGUAUAUUAACCGUCUUUAAUUUGAGCAGUUUAAUAACUCUAGAGAUGGAUGGACAAUGGGGUUCCAAUAUAUAGCAUUUCACUCUUGUAGAGUCCAACUCAAAUCCUUUUUGCAGCUUAAAGUAUUGCUUUUGGAGCAACCUCCUUGUUUUCAAUCCUUUUGGUUUUGAACAAACAGUUGCAAUUUAGGCCCGUUUGGUAACUGAGUUUUUUGAGUAUUUGUUUCAAACUUUAUUAUAAGUCACUGUAGAAAAACUUUUGUAAGAUGAAAAACUUUUUUCCUUUUCAUUUUUUUUUCUCUCUUUUUCUUUUUUCUUUUUUUUUUUCUUUUCUUUCCUCCCUUCCCGAUUCUUCUCCCUUCUCCUUCCCCCUCCCCCUUCCCUCCUAUUCCCUCUCCCGAAACUGCCAGAUGAAGCAACAAAAGAAAACUUUUUUUUUUUUGCUUUUUCUCUCUCCCUCUCUCCUGCUCACCACCUCUCCCUCUCCCUCCCCUGCCACCCCUCUUCUCCCUCUCCCCCUCCUCCCCCUCUCCCCUUCCCUCGCCACCAACUCUCCAUCCCUCAUGCCAGAUGAAGCAGCAACAGAAACUUUUUUUUUUUUUUUUUUUGCAAUUUUCUCUCUCCCUCUCCUCUCCUUCCCUUGCAGGACAAAGCAACAACAGAAACUUUUUUUUUUUUUGGCAAUUUUCCCUCUCCCUCGCUGGCCGAUCUGGUCGCUGGGAGGAGUGGAGAAGAGGGAGAGAAGAGGGAGAAAGAAAAAAAGGGGAGCCAAAUCGGGUAAAGAGGGAGCAUGGCGGGGAGGAAGAGGGGGAGAGGGAGAAAGGAAAGAAAAGAAAAAAAGACCGGCACCGGAAGAGGUCAUCGACGUGGGAACUAGCGGCGGAGGUGGUGGGGGGUUGGGGUAGGGAAGGAAGAAAAAGAAAAGGGGAAGGGAGUUUUUUUUUUUUUCUGUAUUUUGAGUAUUUUGAAGUGUAUAGGUAAAAAAUUUUAAGAAGAUUUUUUAGGUUACUAUAACUAAAAGUUGGUAAAAAAACUAGUAGGAGACAAACUUGGGUAAAAACCCAAAUGCCAAACGGGCCCUUAGUAUUAAUAAGCUUUUUUAACGGUGCUUUUCUCAGGGUUCUAGAUUAUGGUUUAUGGAUGACCCUCGAGUUUCUAUACCUUUGGACAUGAUCGAUCAACUAUUUCAGGUAGCCUUCUGGCAAUCUAAGGAUAAUUUGUGGGGAAAAAGGAGGUAUGAAAUCUAGGAAAAUUCUAUGGUCCUAGGCACAUAAAGCAGUUGAGAUGAUGUAAAAGAAGCUGAUCCAUCAAUUCUCUAAAAUAGGUUUUUACUCAUUUUGUUUCAACAAAUUGUAGGGAAAUUGAACCAUUGAUAAAUCCUUUCCAUUCCGUCACUCAAGGCAUAUACUGGUGGCAUUCUCCACUUUCUUGCUAUUUUGUUUUGAUAGAAAGACACCUGCUUCUAAUUACUUCAAUCUAUUCAAAUUCUUGUAAAACACUAAUUGAAUAUAGCCAGGGAUUUGAAUGUUUCUCUGAUUACUUUCUCAAUUUGAUUUUUUUUUUCGUUAAUUUUAUUAGGAGAAGUGGAAAUCAUGUCAAGUCAUAGCUUAGCUAAGUUUGCAACCAAACUUGUCAAGAACGUUAGGUGGAAGUUGAACUUCCCCGGGUGGUUCAAUAAGCUUGCACAGUAUGACCUAUUGGGUUGAAAAAUGGACCAAACCAUUCGAUAUUCGAACUGAGUUAGAUUUGGCUCGUCAAAAUAGUUAACUAAGUUUGAAUAAUGUUUUUUGUUCAAUAACUUUUAAAUUUGACUUUAAAAAACUCGUUUAAAUUCGGUUCAGCCAAAAAAAAAGAAAAGCUAAAUUUGACCAAAAUUUUAAAUUCGUUAAAAUAAUCAAACAAACUUGAACACUAAGGUUUUUGACUUGAUUAGAUUCGUUUAUAUCCUUAAUGAUUUAGAGGACAGUUGCCUAGUUUAGUUGUUUCUUGUAGGAGUAUAAUUGAGUUGAAUCGACUUUGAGUUAAAAAAUUUGGGGUUAAACUCUUAAAAGUUGAGCUCAAAUUCAAACUUGAUUUUGUAUUGCCUUAUUUGAAGUCGAGCUCAUCGGAUUCGAAUUCGAGCAAAUCAAACCCAAUUGAACUUAGUUUGAGUUUAAUUGAACUUAAUCAAGUCUAAUCAAGUUUAAUUAAUAUAAAUUUAUGCUUUAUAUCAUUUUAAACAAGGGAAAAAUAUAGGUAUUUGAUACAAAUAAAUAAAAAAUUUUAAAAAUCAUAUAUGCAUGAAGCUCGAUUAAACUCGAUGAGUUUUCGAAUUUUACAUAUUGAACUCGAGUUUGAACUCGUUAGAUAGCUCGACUUGCUCGAAUUCAAACUCGAAAUCGAUCAAUACGAGUUAGAGUUCAAAUCUUGACCACGCAAACUCGCGAACCAUUUGAUUAAACUCUACUUAUUUACACCCCUAGACUCUAUUAUAAUAUCAAGCUAUCACUAAUGAAAGUUUGCCGUUUUGUCAAGAAAAGAAUAGGGGGAGGGAUUUCACCAUUCCACUUAACAUUGUGUAUAACCUCUCUCGCAAACUGGCCUAAAAUGGUGUGUAACUUCAUUGAAAAUAUAACGUAUCUUAAUUGCUUGUAAAUUGGAUGUUCUUGAUAAUGGAGGUCAUAGCUUUUAGAAAAAUUGGGUUGUGGCGGAUUUGGAGAAAACAUUUUUUCUAUGUGACUAGAUUUUUUGUUUGUUACUCUCAAAAAACAAAGAAAGAAAUAGACUAUAUUUUCUUUGAUAAAGGCAACUUUAGUGUGCAAGCAUAACCAAAUAUAACUCUUAUAAUAACGAAGGGAAUAUAGCAACUAGUUUCUAUUAACAAUCUUAGUGAACUACAAUGUCAAUUAUUGACUAAUAGGUGAUUAUUUCUUUCUUCACUUUUUCCUUUUUUUUUUUUGGAAAAAUCGUCUAAAACGUCCCUCACAUUUUGUAAAAUAACUUUUUUCGUCCCUCACUUUUAAAAGUGUAAUUUUAUGUCCCUUACAUAUUCACAUCGGUCAAAUUUAGUCUCUAACUAGGUUUCCGAUCAUUUUUUGGCCUGAAUCCAUCAUGUGCAAGCCACGUGAUCAUUUUUGAAGGGUAAAUUUGUUAAAUUAUAUUUUACAUAAUCUGAUCUAUAGUCCUCCACAUUUUAUAAAAUAAAUUUUUUCGUCCCUCACAUUUUGUAAAAUGAUUUUUUUCAUCUCUCACAUUUCACAAAAUGAAUUUCGUCAUCCCUCACAUUUCAAAAAAUGAAUUUUUCAUUUCUCACUAAUUAUGUGUGUGAAUACGUUUUUUUUAAAUACAUGUAUAUGUCUAUUUGAUUUUGUUUAAUAAUAAUAACAUAAACACAUGUAUGUAAUUGAGCCCAACUUGUGGGCUAUCUUCUCUUUUUGUAUGAUUAUGACUAAUAUUUACCAAUAGAACAUUAAUUUGCAUAUUCUUAUUGUAUUUUGACCGAAAAUAGCUUUAUUGGCCAAUUUAACAAUGAAUGCAAGAUUUUUUACUAGCUAAUACCAGAUGAAAUCAAAUGAUCAUGUAUAAUAUAUGGUAUUCGUAUUGUUAAGUGAAAUCAAAUAGACACAUACAUAUAUUUAUGCUAUUCGAAUUAUUAAGCAAAAUCAAAUAGACAUAUACAUGUGUUUAAACAAAAUGUAUUCACACAUAUAUAUAUAUAUAUAUUUUUUUAGGGUUUCCCUCACACACAUAAUUAGUGAGGGAUGAAAAUAUUCAUUUUUUGAAAUGUGAGGGAUGGAGAAAUUCAUUUUGUGAAGUGUGAGGGAUGAAAAAAUCAUUUUAUAAAAUAUGAGGGACGAAAAAAUUUGUUUUAUAAAAUGUGGAGGACUAUAGAUUAGAUUAUGUAAAAUAUAAUUUGACAAAUUUACCCUUAAAAAAUGAUCAUGUGCCUUGUACGUGAUGGAUUCAGACCAAAAAAUGAUCGGAAACCUAGUUAUGGACUAAAUUUAAUCGAUGUGAAUAUGUAAGGGAUAUAAAAUUACAUUUUUAAAAGUGAGGACGAAAAAAGUUAUUUUACAAAAUGUGAGGGACGUUUUGGAAGAUUUUUUUUUUUUUUUUUUUUUUGACAAGGACUAACAUGUGAGCUUGGAAUUACUCCAUUGGUAAUCUAAAACUAUUUCAAAUAUUGUCUUUUUUUUUGGGGGGGUUAGUAAACCAACUAACCAUAGAAUUAACAGACCAAAUCUAAAAUCUUCUCCAUUUAAGAAUAAAACAAGCUUCAGCCUUUCCCACCACCUUUGUUGUUGAUAGUGCCCUAAUUAACAAAAAAAAUUUUGAUAGUGCGCUAAUUAACAAUCUUCUCAUCAAUCAAUUAUGACAAGACUAUGAUUGACUAGCUUAAUUGAUAGGUAUGCAAGGCAAAAAUGGAUAUAAUUGACUAGCUCAAAAUAUCAAAUUAACCACAAAUCCAGGUGUCCAUUAACAACAAAUCAUUCCAUGUUUUGUUGGGAUGCAUUCCAUGCCUAAAUUGAAAACCUUUUGUUAUGAAAUAGUGCUUUCUUUUGAAUAAAAUUAAUUAGUUUCCCUAACUUAGAAGUUAAAACAAAAUAGAAAGCAUAACAAAUUUCUCAAAUCCUUUUUAUUUUUUAUUCUUUUUUAUACGUUUUUAGUGGACUACCUUGUUUAAAUGGCUUAAAUAUUGCCACACAUUUUCUUACCCAAAAAAUGUAAAAUAAAACAAAACACAUAUUUUCUUUCCUUUUCCUUAAUCUCUAAAAUUAAUUUCCUCAAUAUCUUCAAGAAUGGCAAUUUUCCCAAAUUUGAAGAACUCAUAUUGACCUCCUCAAAAACGCAUAAACCCUUUUGUCACCUCUAUUUUCUCCCUCAGAGAAAACUGAGAAGAGGGACUAAAAAGAUUUCACCCCAAAACCUCCUAUAAAAGAUUAUUACUGUUACAGCUGCCUUUGCUACUCUAGGAUCUUAAGCCCUCAGACAACAGUCCAUUUUCCUCUUUUGUUUUCCCCCAUUUUUUUCCACUUUUGUUUGUUCCCCAUCGCAUGUAGCUUCCCAUACAUUGCAGAUUCUUGAAGAUAUCCCUAGCUUUUUCUCCAUAUAUUCAGGUGAUUUUUUUUUUAAAUUUAUUCAUUCAUUUCACUGCUUCAAAGUAUUCACCUAUUUUUUUUCCUGUUUUGUUUACUCAACUGCACCUGGGUAUUCUAUUCAGUCAAAAACUUCAGCUGGGCUUCUCUAGAAAAGCUUAAUCUUUAAUGGGUUCUUUUAACUUUUUGCCAUAUUUCCUCUUAUUAAGUAUUUUAUUAAUUUUUUAAAUUGGCCCCUUUUUCUGCUCAUGUUGUCCGAAGAUUUUACUAUGUGAUGUUAUUAGCCAAGUAUUGUUUUCUGUUGCAUUUAGUUGUAUGCUUGAGUUUAUAGCUGGUUUGGUUUGGCAUGUUUUUGGAUCAUUUUUCUUGACUUGGAUUAGGUGUCUUUUUUUUUUAUUGUGAAAUUUUUUUGGUGCUUUGUAUACGUGUUCGUGAUUUUCUUGGAUUAAUUAUAGGAAAUAAUGGGGAAAAAGGCUAAAAAGAAGCCCAGAAGUGGUCAAAAGGAUAAGCGGGUCUCGGCUGCCUCUGCAAAAACUAAUUCUCAGCAGCAGAACACUAUUGCUAAUGCUGAUAAAGCCACUGAUGACGGAACUACUGUAGUUUUAAAGGAUAAAAGAGUAUGCUCACAUCUUGAUAAGGGUGUGAAUUUAGAGAAGCUUUCUGCUAAAUUUGGGUCUUCAGAGUCAUUUAAGUGUGAAGAUUGUAGGGAUGGUGGGGAUGGUAGACGUGGGGGUAAGGGGAAAGGUAAGCAAGGAAAGAAAAAGGGGGGUGCAGAGUCGAGAACAGAGUCUAAGGCCAUUUGGGUAUGCUUGGAGUGUGGCCAUUUUUCGUGUGGAGGUGUUGGAUUGCCAACAACUCCUCAAACCCAUGCCAUUAGACAUGCUAAACAGAACCAUCAUUCAUUAGUCAUCCAACUUGAAAAUCCUCAACUUCGUUGGUGUUUCUGUUGCAAUAUUUUAAUUGUUGCUGAAAAAUCAGAAGAUGGUGUUGAAGAAAAAGAUGUAUUACAUGAAGUUGUUCAGAUGAUGAAAAUACGGCGGUCUGAUGGUGCUGCUUUGGAUUCAGAAGAUGUUUGGUUUGGAAGUGGCAGUGUAACAAGUACUAUAACGUCAGAAAAGUCUGCAGUAGUUGGUUCAGGUGGUAGGGAUAGUUAUGUAGUUAGAGGGUUGAUUAAUUUAGGGAACACCUGUUUCUUUAAUUCUGUCAUACAGAAUUUAUUAGCACUGGAUAGGGUACGAGGUCAUUUUUGCAAACUGGAUGGCUGUUUUGGACCCCUUACUGCUGCUUUCAAGAAGCUUGUUUCCGAGACCAACCCAGAGUCUGGCUUGAGAAAUGUUAUAAAUCCUAGAUCGUUCUUUGGUUGUGUUUGUGCAAAGGCGCCUCAAUUUAGAGGAUACCAACAGCAAGACAGUCAUGAAUUGCUUCGGUGCUUGCUUGAUGCUUUGUCUACUGAAGAACUGAGUGCAAAAAACAGAACAAAUCUUCCCAGGAAGCUGGCAAUUCAGAUCCUACCUUCGUCGAUGCCAUCUUUGGUGGUCAACUCUCGAGCACAGUUACCUGCUUGGAAUGCGGAUACUCUUCGUUGGUCUAUGAGCCCUAUUUGGAUCUCUCACUACCAGUUCCAACAAAAAAGCCCCCUUCCAAAAAGGUCCAGCAAGUGAAUCGAGCCAAAAAACCUAAACCACCCCCGAGGAGAAAUGCAAGGAUCCGUCCUAAAAUGGUCAGAGAUACAAAUGAUUUACCAUCUACAAGUACAUCUGCUGCUUAUGUUGAUGGAAAGUCUUCUAGCACACCACAAUCUAGUGUACAUAUUCCUGAACAAAAUGUGGUUUCUUCUGGUGGUUCUGCUACUGAUGUAAGUGUUAUGGCUGAUACCAAGAGCAUAACUGCAGACUGUCUGUCAUCUGAUCAACGUGCUCAGUCCAACAAAGCUGUUGAAAGUAUUGUUGAGAAACCAAUUCCAGCAGAUGAUUUCACCUGGUUGGACUUUCUUGAGGCAGAUACAGUUUCAAACAAUGAUAACAUGACUUCUCAAAUGGAUGACCUUUCAAUCAAUCAUGGUUCUGCAGAUGAAAAUACUGUACAAAAUGAAGUAUUGCAAAAUUCUUUGGAUUCAUGUGGUGAUAAUAUUUCAACAUUUACAGAUACAGCAUGUUGCUCUCAUGAUGAGAUGCAGUUAGUUCACCACGGGAAAGAGAAGUUAUUGAGUGCACAAGAUAUGGCCUCACAAUUUGAUGAGAAAGUAGUCCUUGACAGUUCUGGAUGUGCUGAUACUAUGCAUAGCGAGGCUUAUUGGGAGAAUAGCUCAGAACUCAGCUCUUUGACUUGUUUUAGAGAUUUAAAUCUUGGAGUUGAUUCCUUGGGGAAAUUUUCAGAAGAGGAAACUCCAUUGCUUGUUCAAGAGUCUGAAGUUCUUCUGCUUCCAUAUAAAGAAGAUACCUGUGACAUAGUGAAGACAGAUGGUGAUUUCUUCUCAUCAGCUAUAGGUUGUGAACAAGAUUCAAUGGAAUUUGAUGGUUUUGGUGACUUGUUUAAUGAGCCUGAAGCUACAGGCCCUAGUAUGAAUCCCUCAUCCAUGUAUAAUGCUUCUGAGACAAAUGAAGUUUUACAUGCUGGUUUUGGGGAAACAGCAGUGAGUCUGACCCAGAUGAAGUUGACAACACUGAUGCUCCAGUUUCUGUUCAGAGUUGUUUAUCUUAUUUCACAAAACCAGAGCUUCUUUCAAAAAAUGAACAUGCUUGGCAAUGUGAAAAUUGUGCAAAGGUUUUGCAAGAACAAAAAAUUAGAUCAAGAAAGAAACUUCUGAACCCGUGGUCUAAAGAAAUGACAGAAUUGGGCAAAGCUACACGUGCUUCUGGUCUGUCACAUUUACAGGAUAGCAGCCCUUUUUCCUCUGAGGUGAGACAUCUAUGUAAUGGCUAUCUGAAAAAUGAGACAGUUGACCCAUCUGAUGACAGCUUUCUGUCACACAGUACAAAGACUGAUGUUAAGCAGAAUGUCAUGCCCAAAAAUGGUGAGAAUGCUGAAGUGAAUUCAGUAGAUUCCAGCAUGGAAGGUGAAAAAUGUGACGUAGUCCUCGCAAAUGUUUGUCUGCCAGGAACUUCUGAUGGGGAUAUGACAUUCUGUAAAUUGGAUGACAACUGCAAAAGACAUGAUGGUUCCCAUGUCAGAUGCACUGAUGGUAAAGUUCAAAAGGACGAAUUUUGUACAGGAACUGGUAAAUGUGAAACAGAAGAGACUAAGGAUGAUGAGAAGAAUGCAGAAAAAGUCGAGAGGGAUGCUACUAAGAGAAUCCUAAUUAAUAGCGCACCACCUAUCCUAACAAUCCAUCUGAAAAGGUUCAGUCAAGAUGCUCGAGGGCGCUUGAGUAAACUGAAUGGCUAUGUGCAAUUCGACCGUACAAUAGAUUUAAAGUCAUACAUGGAUCCAAGGUGCAAUUCAAUACUCAAAUUUGUUGCUAAAGAAAUCAUUAUUCAUUCAUCUUUCAUUUUCUUUUACUCUGGUGUGGCUGGUGACAUGUUCUUUUGACUUUUUAAUUGCAUUAUUCUCUAUCUCCUAACAGAAGACAAUUAAUUGUUUUAGUUAAAGAAGUUCCACAACACUUAUGCGGUCUCUCAGUUUUUGGGCUUUACAAAUCUGUUUGGGAAUUUUUAUUAGGAUAUUAGUUUCAGUGAUUAAUGAUUUGUAGGGUGGAUGGAUUAGCUGAAAUUUCAAAAAUAGUGAAGUUGGGAACUCAGUUUGGUCCCUGGAAAAGCAUGAGACAUUAUAUUUUUGAAACUGCAUGAUAUAAAAGCAUCAAUGGAGCAUGACAAAAACUUAAGAAAUAGCUCUUGAAUCUAUGCUAAACUUAGGAGGAUACAAUCUUUGAAUAUUUACAUGAGGUAGAAGGAUGAUGCAGACCCUCAGAGAGGAUAAUCUAGCAGCAGAUAGGUAUUUGAUAGGCCUGUCCAGAGUGAAAUAACAAUAGGGAAAUUCUAAUUCGAUAGUUUUGACUUCAAUAUAAAGUGUAAAACUGGCCUGUUGAAAGAGGCUUGUGAAGGUUCUGUACUUUUGUUCAAUGGAUAAUGAAUGGAAGUUCUUCUCCAGUGUUCCCCAACAAAAUUGCCUUAAUUGGUCAUCUUGACACAGAAUGGAAAGAAAAGUUAAAAUUAAUGUCAGAAUCUAUUUCUUUGUUGUUAUUGCUGGUGGUCUGGGAGAGAGGAAGAAGUAGCGUUGAGGAUUGUUGUGUAGGAAAGCAAUUAGUGUGGUGAGUGGGGUAUUCUAUCAGAUUUAGGGAGCUGGUAUGCUUACUUCUGCGCCAUUGUUGGUUAUAUGCUUGUUUGGGGUUUUGCUAGGAGAAAUGGCAGCAUUGAAGUUGCGAAAACUGCUGUAGUAGGGUGGAAGAAGUGGCAAGAGUACAUGCUUGGGGGUUAGUAGGGGUAGGAUUCGUGGAGAAGAAAGUAGGUGGGGGGGGGUGGGAGUUUCUUUAUUUGGAUGUGGGAUUUGGAAUAAGAAAGGAAAAAAGGAGCAAAAUGGUGAUUGGUUUUAUACCUUUUGCCUUUCUUUAAAUGAAUGAAUCUCCUCAAUGAUAACUGAAGAUGGACCUAACAGUGAAAAUUGAGAGAAGGCUGGAAGCUUUUUUUUUUGGGAGUUCAAUGGGUGAUUUGAAAUCCUCAUAGUUUAGUUGCAAAAGUAUGUUGCGCCAACAGUUUAGUGACCAUUUAAGUGUUUACCCUUUUUUUCUUUUAAUAUGCAUCUGUUUCCCUCUUUGUUCGCAUGUUGACUAUAACUCGGAGGAUAUGUAUAGGUUCCUGCUUUGGUUAUUCAGGGAAGCCAAAAGAAGCAUUGUUGUACUUGCAUCCAUAUAUCGUAACUGUAUGAUCCAUCUCUGGUUAAUGAAUUUUCUUUCUUGGAGGAUCCAGAGCAGAAAAUUUGUGCUUAGGUGCCUUUUGGUUUAUGGAAAGUGAGACUUUACCAAAGCUAAGACUGUUGAGAAUUGAGAUUGCCUUGUAAGGGUACAUUGGAUCUGUGAGUAAUAUUAAGGUCAUCUUUGCAUAAAGAGAUGUGAUACACAAAAUACAUGCUUGGUUGUCACAGUUUUUCUUUGAUGAAGCUAAUUAUGCCUUUAGGUGCUUGUGUCCAUUUUUCUCUGCCAUUUUCUGCCGUCUUUUCCCCAAAAUAUUUGCUCCUCAGCUGAUAACCCCAGCUAAUUAUAUCACCUGAAUCUGUUAUCAUUCUGUUUUAUUUAGCUUCCUUUCCAUUUUCAAUAAAGAUGCAGGAGAUAUUUCUAGGCAUAGCUCAUAAUCAAUCAGCAGUUGCGCUUUGGAUGCAGCACAAAUGGUUUUAUGGUAUCCAGAGUUGAAAGAUAUUUGGUUUCUUUCUUAUAGAGAUUGUGAAGUAGGUUGAUUAUGAGCUGCAUUUUAUGGUUUUAGAACCCUUUUUUCUCAGAUAUAUUAGGAAAGAGUUGCUCUGGGAUGAUUGACUGAGAUCAUAACAGAUACCAGGCAUCAUUUUUGGAAACUGUAAAACCUAGGAAAAAUGCUGAUUAGGUAUGGGUUGACCACAAGGAAAAAGGUGGAGUCCUCGAUUUAUCUUUCAUCAGUUUAUUUGUCUGAUUAUUAGUCAGUGCAUGUGCAACCACACAUAUGCAUCCUUAGAGUUGUACUCAAUAAACUUUAUGUAAGAAAGAAGUGAAGAACACAGCUGCCAGUUGACUAACAGUAGUAGUUAUUGAAAAUUGCCAGCAUUAGGACUUGGUUUAAGCUUUACUAGUCAAGGUGGAAACUAGGAAUGUUAUAGAGUGUAAAGAUGUCUCACUAACAGCUGUUACUCUUGGACUUCAGUGGAUGAAGGUGAACAUCAGGACUCUGUAGCAAAUAAAUCAAAACUGGUUUUUUUAUGUGAUAUCAAGCUAUUGACAUCAAAUGUAUGGCAGACCAUGAUUGUAUGGCUUAGAGAAUCUAUGGAUCAUUUUGGGUUAAAUAACCUAUGCUUUGUUUGAAACUUGGCAUGGCCACCUCAACUAUGUAGAAUAGUUAGCUAUGGUUAUAAUAAUUGGCUUCAUGUGAUACUUGGCAACCAUUAAAGUGCCGAGCUAGCCAAGAAGAAGUGGAAUUCUGGCUAAGACCUUGUAGACCUCUCUUUUGGAUUUUCUGUUUCUUUUCCUCCAUUGUCUUCCUUUCCUUUCCUUCCCAUACUUGGUUAAUCCUUGUACAUUUAGCUUCUAAUUUUGUGUUUAGAUAAUAAAUUUUCCCCUGCUUCAAGGACACUUCUAGUGUCUAGAUGUUUACAAAAAAGAGUUGAUUAAGCUAUAAAAUGUCAGUAACUAAUCAAGUCAUUUAGGAACCAGCUACUAUUUCUUUUCAAAUGGGGUCCAUCCCUUUGUGCAAUGAACAGAACAUGUCCUCAAGAUAACUAAUUUUUUUAAUUUACUCUUAUCUUCUUUUUUUUUAACUCAUAUUAUAUAUUCGAUUGAGCCAAGGGAUAUAACCAGUGGUGAUUGUAGCGUCUAGAAUUGGACCCCAAGCAAGCCUGUGGUUUGGAGCUUAUCCCCUCCAACCCAUUGUAUAAAAAAAAAGGAAAAUAAAGAAAAAAAGGAGUUAUGAAUGUGGUUAUUGACAGAGAUAUUUGCAUCUUCAUAAAUUAAAGCUUAGGGCCUGCCAAAUCCUGACUAUUGGAACUUCAUUCUGUCGUACUGUUCAUUGCAAGUAGUACUCAUAAAUUGUACUAGUAUUUCCAUCGUAGAUGUUAAUCUUCCAUCUACCUUUGCAUUGUUUGUGUCUUGCAACAAAACGCUAAUCCAAUUCAAUUACCAGUGGAGUUAUUGUAAUUGUCGCACGACAUGCUAUCAGCAGAAGCAAUUCAACUGCAUGUUUACUGCUUAUAUAAUGAUCCGAUGCUGUAAAGACAGAAUGCAUGUAACUUGGUUGUGCUUAUCGAAAAAUUCAACAGCUUAGGUCUUACAGAUGGAUAAUUUUAGCUCCACUGAAAUGUCUUGUUUUAUGUCUAGGACAAUCCUUGAAAUAUUCUAUGUGCUUCAUUUUUUGUUGUUGUGUUUUGAGUCUUUGUUGCUGUUUUUCAAUUCUUAGUGAAAUAUGCUAGAGGGGCAAUUACUAGGGGACUGUACUUGUGUUGUCACUUUGUGUCAAAUUGAAGACCUUUGCUAUGCCAUAAAGUAUAGCACACAAAAUUGGAUCUAGGUGUAUCUUCUCAUAAAUCAAAUGCUUUACUUUCCGUCGAUAAGAUAACACGUAAAACACCACACCUCAUGUAAUUUUAAAAGUGUGGACAUCUCAAAAGGCACCAAAAUUAGAGGCACGCCAGAGUUAUAACUGCAAGACUUUGAAUUCUUUCCUCUGUUUCGGUCUUCAUUCAACCAAGAGAUUCAACUGCUGAACAAAAAUUGCUGAACUUGGGGGCAAAACUUUUUCAUGAAUGUCAAAUUAGACUUGCACGUUGUCUUCUAACUCUUUUUGGAGUCGGGAGAAGUACAACUUUUGAAUUUUGAUUGAUAGUAGUAGUUUUAAAUCAUCCUGGCAAGGAACUUCGGGAAGUCAAUUUGUUGAUUUGGUUACAGAUGGAAAAGGAAUAAGUGCUUUCUGAUCUCUUUGAUUCUAGUUUGGAAGUAAAAGCAUCUACGUUACCUCAAUUACCACCUACUCAUCCUUCCCUUACUCUUAGUUUGGACGUCUAAUAUACUAUAUGCUGGAUGACUAAUCAGUGUAGAGCAUUUUAGCAUCUGGCAGAGCUAGUUGAUUAGCUGGUAUCAUCGCGUAAAUAGAGGAAUGUCACUAAUUGCAAGAACUUGUAAAUAAUAAUGCCCUCUUGGCAAAGAUCCAUCUUAUGUAAUUUUUAUUUACGAGAAUCUGUUGAUGCUACUGCCAUGCAACUCUCCAAUAAGAUAUUGUCAGAAAUGAAAGAUUGGAUUUCAUUAUUUCUCUGAUCUUGUUAUACCACAUCUGAUUAUAUCUGUGGUUGUCCAAUUUUAUGCUCGACUUUGAUUUUUCAUGCAUUUUUCACAUAUGCUUGAUUUUUAUGUCACAGCUACUAAUAUUUUUAUUGCUAUGGUCUUUCUGGUUAGAAAGCUCAGGACUUGAUUUCAUUUGGCAGAAUACACCGACAAAACAUCUUCUGACUGCUGCUUAAAUUUUUUUUUUUUUUUUGCCUACAGGUGCAUGGAGAGGGACAGAUACAAAUACAAUUUGGUGGGGUUGGUGGAACAUAUGGGAUCAAUGAGGGGAGGCCACUAUGUUGCAUAUGUGAGGGGAGGCAUGAAGAACACUGAAAGUCAGAAUGGAGAUUAUGUGUGGUAUCAUGCCAGUGAUGCUUACGUGCGUGAGGCUUCUCUGGAAGAAGUUCUUCACUCAGAGGCCUACAUUUUGUUCUAUGAAAGAGUUUGAAACAUUUUGCAUUUUUUUUGUUCAUUUCUUAUAAGAGUUUUGGUGCAACCAACGCACCAUAUGAGAGAGAGAGAGAGAGAGAGUCUAAACCACAAUUACACAAUAUCCAAUACAAUUCUUUUUUGAAGUGAAAUGAGUUUAAAAGAUGUACUAAUCAAGGGAAAACCAUGUGUUUUUUUCUUUUCUAUUGGCCCUGAUUUUGGAUCCAUAUUCGUUCUUGCCCCAAUUUGGGAAAUACAAAGCUUUAUUGAUCCUUUCGCCUUGUAUGACUUUGGUUGAGCUGAUUUUGCGUUGCACACAAUUCACCUUUAUGGUUGCCAAUCUGAUCUUUCUGUUCAGGCUGCAGACCCCAAAGACCUUAACUCUUUUUUCCCCUAUAUCUUUUGGUACCCAUUUUAUGUUAAAAAAGGACACAAUUUUCACUUCCCUGUGCCAAACGGCUGUAUCAGUUCGAGCUCUAGUCCUCAUGACAGAUCCCACUAUUCUGGGCUUACAGUGUGUUAUAUUGCAGACUAAUUUGAAAUCCAUUCCCUCCACCAAGCUGUUCUGUUCCCAAAUAUCAUAAAGACGUGGAAGUUUUAGGGGCCGCUUGGUUAAGGAGUUUUGGUAUUAGAAUUACAAUAAUUCCAAUAUUGCGCGCUUGGUCCAGUGCAAUGGAAAUUAAAAUAUUGGAAUCAUACUUUAAAAUUUGGUCAUUCAUGAUUUCCGACCAAACUGGGAGGAAUUAACCAAAACCCUCAUUAAUGGCUCUUUAUCCAUCAUUCCAUUUCUCUUUCCAAUUCCAAAGCAAGAACCAAGCGCCCCUUUAGUACCUUGAUCAAAUUCUGUUGUCAAAUUCAAUGGCCUUUUGGUUCAUAAAUAAAUUUCUCAUCUACCAAGUAAUGGUCAAACAUUAGACAGAGCACAACCCAAUGAAACAAAGAUUUAGUGUGAAAUAUAUAUAUAAUUAAUAAGUAUGGCAUAGAUAGCAUAUCGAUCUCUUCCCAAUUUGGCUUGAUAAGCAGAAAGUCAUGGAAUUCAUGUAAAAAAGCAACAAAAAAAGUCACUUGAGUUCCAAUUGAGCUUAACUUGAUAAAAUGUCAUUUUAACUCAAAGACAAUUUUAAAUUCUAUGAAUAAAUAACAAAUCAAAUUUGAAAGCUACAUUAUUUUCAGUUUAAUUGUGAUCCUUGAUACCCCUAGCUGUGCAAGAACGAGAUAUACUCAAUCUUGACCAGCAACAUUAGCUAAGCUAUUAAGUCAAGUUUAUUGCUUUAAAUUAAUUUUUUUUCGUCAAACAACAAUAGAGUUUGAAAUAUUAUUUGAAACAAGUGUAUUAUUUGAAAUAUUAUUUGGAAUAAUUACUGUAGCACUUUUUGUGAUGUGAUGUAUGUGAGAUAAAAAGGUGAUUGGAAAUAUAAAAAGGUGGGUUGGGAAAUGUGUUUAUGAUGUAAGCGAAUAUUAUUUGGGAUAAAAGCACUAUCCAAACAAACCAAAAUUAGAUUCUCUUAACUGUAAAUUGUUGUCCCAAUAAUUUUUUUUAAUGGAUUUUUUCUUAACCUUGAUAUCCCUAGAUUACUCUCAAUUUAUAAUGUUAAUGAACACAUCCACAUUUAUUAGGCCCCUGCAUUUCAACUUCAUUUGUAUAUAUUAAAAAAAAAAUUAACACCUUAGGUCUCUAGUUUGCACUCUUGAUCACCCUGGUUCCGUCAUUUGGAAAUUGUAUGCAUAUUUUCCUCCUUAUACCAAAAACCCUAGCAAGAUUGAGGAAAAUGGUUUAGGGAGUUGAACUGAAUUUCAUGAAUAUUCAUAGAGGUAGAGGAUUUCCAUUAUCUUAGUAUUUGUAGGGUAUAGUUACAAUACAAUAAACUCUAAUCAUAACAUAUCUUUUAAAAUUAGGGUUUUUCUAACGGGUGCCCUAUCCGCAUUCGUUAAAAUAUAUUUCAGGUAUCAUGUUUUUGAAAAUGAAAGAUUAAUUAGGAAAAGUACAUAAAUACGAGGAAAGGUAAGUAUGAUUAAUUAGGGAAAGUAUAUAAAUGCAAGAGAGGUAAUAAUUAUUGAUAUAUAUAUAUACAUGAUAGGUUAGGUGAAUGAUAAGUGUAUUAAUGAGCGCCGUAUGAGCAUCCGUUAGAAAAAUCCUUAAAAUUAUACGUACUAUUAGUUAUAAUUGGUUGGCUAAAGUCUUGACCGUUUUACAGAAGUUUUGCAUUAUUAUUAGUUAUUGGGUAGGACAAGAUACUUCUAUUCUGUUCUUAGUACACAAAUAGAAAGGGAAGGACCAACGAAAAUUAUUAAUAUUACCACCUUAAUUCCAAACCAUAUACAAUUUCUCCCAAAAAAAAUCCUAACAAAAAGUUUUAUUGUUACUAUUACUUUUUAUGCUUGACCAGUUUCACCACGGUGGAGGAGGGCAUACACCAUUGCGGAUAGGGGUGUAAUCGAGCCGAGUCGAGCUCGAGUAUUGCUAUACUCGAGCUCGACUCGACUCAUAUACACCAAAGCUCGAGCUCGACUCGAGCUCGAGCUCGCCCAAAAAAUCGAUACUCGAUACUCGACUCGAAAAAUUUCCUUUAGGCUCGAGGCUUGACUCGAUACUCGAGGCUCGAAAAUUUUUUUCAUUUUAGGUCUUUUUACAAUUAUGUUAUUACUUUUUUGCCAUUAUAGGAUUUUAUUAUAAAGAAGGAUAUAUUGUAAAUUUCACAUAACUUAUACCCAUAAUGGUCAUUUUAUAAUUAUAAUACAUAUAUAUUAUUUAAAUAACUCCGACUCGUCGAGCUACUCGACUCGACUCGAGCUGGGCUAUUUCGACUCGAAACUCGACUCGAUUUUCAUUCGAGCUACUCGAAACUCGGCUCGAACUCGGUCAACCCGAGUUCGAGCCGAGUCGUUGACCGAUCUACUCCGAGCUACUCGCGAGUAGCUCGGCUCGCGUACAUCCCUAAUUGCGGAUGGUGGCAAAGUUUGCUGAGCUGAUGCAAUCUCCAGACAAAGAGAUUGUAAUACUUUCACGGGUAUUUUCCCGUUUGAAGUUUGCUAAAAUUUAUUAUUGUGCUUGUCAAGACAAUCAAGUAAUUAACAACUAGUAAUUUCAAGUGCUAUGUUAAUGAUUUUGCUCCUUUUAUAUCUGGCAGGUGCUUACAGAUGAUGAUUUUGAAGAUAUGGAGGUAAUAUGCAUUUUCAUUCGAACCUUUUUUGGGAUAUUGGGAUUUAAACCAUAGUAAAAAAUAGUGAACUUGAAACUACUCAACAAACAUCACCACAUGGAAAUAAAGAAUGAGAAAAAACUAUAAAUACUAUAUAUAGUUGGGUUUUUUUUUUUUCACUCUCUCAUUUUGUUUUAGUUGGGCUUCAUUGGAUUAGAAUCCUCUCCAUUAGAUUUUUCUCCAUUUGGGUAUAUUUAUUUUAUUACAUUUUUUAAAAAAUCAUUUGAUAAUGUCAUUAUUAUUAUUAAUUUGAUGGUUAGAAUAACAUAUUAAAUAUUAAAAUUUACUUGGGAAUAUUUUGGCAUUCAAUUUACAUGAAAUAUUUGAACAGUCAAACAUAAGUCAUAUUCCUAAUACAAAAUUUGUAAUGAUUAAUCAAAUGGUAAAACUUGAUCAAUUUAAUAUGGAUCUUUGUAUAUAACUAACAUAAGUGAUGAAGUACAUUAUGAACUGUAUUGAUUUUUAAAACAACAUCCAAAUUCAUUCUAGUGUGGUGUAAUAGAGAGAAGUACUUUCCAUUUCAAUGGGAAAGAGCCUAGUCUGGGAUCUUUUGUUAACUCCAUACCUAGCAAACUUUUAUAAAAAAAAAAAAAAUUCUUUUAUAAGGUUUUCGAAGUAUACGAUGUCAGAGAAUGGUUGAAUUGGAUGAUAAGUGGGGAGAGAUUGUAAGUAGAGGUUUUGGGUUAAGAAAAAGCGAGUAUAAAAUGUCAAUUAAGAGAAACACAAUUCAAAACCUGUAAUAAAGCAACAAUUUUGUACCAAACUAUUUUUGCAUGAGAUACAAAAUUUAAGAUAUUUAAUAGAUUUUCCCUCUUUUUUUUUUUUUUUUUUUGCUAAAUUGUCAUUCUUUUAGGGACCAUUUUCCAAUGGUUCUAGAGACAGACACAAGAGAACACCUUGGAAUGGAGUCUCAAUGCACUCUCCAAAAACACAUUCACCCAUCUCAUUCAAACACAGAAUAGUAACUAAAACUUUUUCAACAAUUACUUUUGAUCGAUUGAAAUUUUAAAGAUUCACCUGAGUAACUAAAAACUAAGGAGUGAAAAUACCUAAAAAUUAAAAAUAAAGAAAUAGAAUAUCGCUAUAAAGUGGGAGAAAUGGUGGUCAAGAGUAAUUAGUAAUUUUCAAAGUCACAGCAUUUGUAAUUUCCGGAUUUUCCUAUAUGUGUUUAGCAGGUGCUUUCAGGAGAGAUAAAUGAUGCCUACGACAAGGAUGACUUCAAAGAUAUGGAUGUGAUUAGAAAAUGCAUAUAUAUAAUUUCAUUAAACCCAUUUUUAAAGUGACAAACACACCAAAGAACCUGAAUAUUUAGUUUGGAAGCCUGCUACUAAUUCUUCUUCGGCUUCUGGUAAAUCAAAAGGCAAUCUCUCACACUCGGCUAAAGAAGAAAUUAGAAAAAUGAUAAAUUCUAUAGGUUGACGCCAUAAAUUCCAUCCCCAAAAUCCAUAUUUUGACUGCGCUUCAACUAUGUCAACCGUACUUGAAUUGUUAGAUAAUCAUAGUCGUUGACUGAGAUAAUCUCAACUGUUCCCAUUACUAUUACGGAACCGUACAUGAGAUUUUCACCUCAUACAGUUCCUCAAAGAUCACAAAUAAAUCUAAAGGACAUUUCACUAUAUUAUUAUCUUGAUAUUUUGUAAGAUAGUUAUCAUGUAAGUUCAUGAAUUAGAUCGAUGGAAUUCUGUUUGCUAUAUUUGAUAUAUCAUCAAAGCAUUAUGUUACUUAAUGAAUCUACAUAGAAGCAUGGGAAUAACAGUGAUUAUUAAAUGAUAGAGUUUUACUAUUUUUGAUAUUAUUUAUGGAAAUAUCACAUUCCAAAGAUUGAGAGCUCUCCCAAAAGAACUGUUUUCUUGAUUAAAUAGAAAUACAUCUAUUACUUGAAUUAACAUAGAUUCUCAUGCAUUUUAUCAUUGAAUCCUAUUCUUUGUACAGGUUCUUUGUUUCAAUGGUGUUACAAUAAAGAAUUUAAAGAGCUUGGCCAAAAUGGUGGAAAACUGUGAGGAUGAAUUUUUGCAGUUUGCCUUGAACAUGGAAAGGUAUUUAUUUUUCUGCUCAUUUAAUCUAUGAAUCUUCUUCUUCUUCUUCUUGUUAUUUUUGCAGUUUGACCUAAAGUUGUACCUCAUUUGUGCAUUAAUUACAGAGAAUUGUUUUACGAGCACAAAAGGCAAAGCCAGCAAAUAAAGAAAUUUUGAAGAAGCAGUACUCCGUACAUUCAACAAUGUCAGGCGAUCUCUUGAAGGAAUUCAAGCAGCCCGGUACUCCUUAAAGAACUUUGUUUUCUCUUUAAGGUACAUUAACCCCGGCCUAUGUACGGGGGGAGAAAUGAGGUGUUGCAAGAAUCUAUAUACCCUGACAUCUGUUUUUGAGAGAAGAACAUAUUUUUUGUUAUCAAAAGCCCUAUACAUAUCUUUUAAUUAUCUUCUUAGGGAAUAUCAAUGGCAUCUUUUUUGUAUUUUUUUUUAAGUAUGAUUUGUCAAUGGAGUUGCAAUUUGGUCUUGUUUGGCACCCGAAUUUUUUUGUCAUAUUUUAAUAGAUAAGUUUUUUUUUUAUAACUUUGUCUGUAGUAACUCUCUAAAAAUGUCCAAAAAUUUUAAUAUACAAAUUUUAAAAUACCUAAAAACACACAAAAUUUUUUCUUUCUUUCCCUUUUUUUUUGCUUCCUCCUCCCCCAUCUCAAGUCUCAACCACCACUACUCACUGGCACUCUUAUGAAGCUAAUGCUCCAGCAUCCAUCCUCCUCCUCUCCUCCUCCUCCUCCUCCUCCCUUUCUCCCUUAUCCUCCUUCCCUUCCCUCUCUCCCUUCUCUCCCCCGCUCUUCCUCUUUCUCCUCUACUCCCCUCCCCUCCAGUUGCGAGAGGAGGAGAGGGAGAGAGGAGCAAAGAGAAAGAGAAAAAAAAAAGUUGAGAUGGUGGUAGCGGCCAGUGGCUAGCAGUGAGGAGGAGGAAGGAGAAAGAGCAGAAGAAGAACAAACGGAAAAAAAAAAAGAAAGAAUAAGAAAAAAAGGAAAAAAAUUCUUUUUGCCAAACCUUAUAUAUAAGUUUUUCUACAAGGGAAAAUACCGGUUUUCAUCCCCAAACUUUAGGGUAAGGACACAUUUCGUCCCUCAACUUUUGGGCAUGACACAUUUGAUGUCUGAAUUAAUAUUUUUUGACCAAUGUCAUCCUCAAACGGUAAUUUAGCCAAUUUUUAACGGAACUGAUCACGUGAAAAUCACAUGACCGUUUAAGUAAACUUAAAUCACAUUUUUAACAAAACCUGCCAGUUUCCCAUAAAGAGUUGAUAUAUUAUGGGCAAUUUAUUAUUUUUUUUAACUUUCACAUAUUUGAUUUAUGUUAAAUACAAAAUAUACUAGUUUUCCUUUGGGCGCUAUUUAACCAAUUUUCCUAUAAAGAGUUGGUAUGUUUCCCAUAAAGAUCUGGUACAAAACAUACUACAAAAUCUGCCAGUUUUCCAUAAAGAACUUGCAGGGUUGUUAAAAAUGUGAUUUAAGUUUACUUAACGGUCAUGUGAUUUUCACGUGACCAGUUCCGUUAAAAAUUGGCUAAAUUGCCAUUUGAGCAUGACAUUGGUCAAAAAUUAUUAAUUCAGACAUCAAAUAUGUCGUGCCCAAAAGUUGAGGGACGAAAUGUGUCCUUACUCCAAAGUUUGGGGAUGAAAACCGCAUUUUCCCUUUCUACAAUUUCUACAUUAGUAAAAUUUUAUAUAAACAUCCAAAAAAUUCAUCAUCCAAAUGGACUGUACCUUUUAAAAACACCUCAUAUAUAUCUAGACUUGUAUUAACAUGCAAAAGGUUACCUCCCCUCACCUCCACCUCCACCUCCACUCUCGCCUGGUUUCUAUGCAUCCCUCUCCAGGUCUCUCCCCCUCCCUGCCCAGCCUCCUUCCACCUCACCAUCAAUCACAUUUCUCCCCUCCUCCCAUUACUUUCAAUGUUUAUUUCAUAAUUUUCUAGUUAUUUUUCGCUAAAUUCAAUACUAUUAUUGCAGUCUCCAAAAUCAUAUUUCAGGGUUAGAUUUGGACUGUUGAAGGUAGUCGAAAAUAUUUUUUUUUUUUGUGUGAAAAGUUUUCGAAAACGCCGCAUCCGAAAGUUUUUGAUAAAACACAUUAAGAAAUGUCCUUUAAAAAUAGACAAACUGUCUUGGAGUAAAUGAACUUGUUAAUUUUUGGAAUUUGACAUGCUCUCAAGCAGACAACUUCCUAUCUGCAGGAAAACAAAAAAAUAAAAUAAAGAAUUCCUGUGACCACUAGAGACAGACAAAAGAGAACACCUUAAUUCGAAUGGAAUCUGAAUUCACUCUCCAGUCUCCAAAAAGAUAUUCACCCAUCUCAUUCAAACACAAAAAAGUAAAAGCAAACCAAAAAGAACAAAAGGAAGAACACAAACUGAAAUUAAAAAAGAAAAAGGUACAGAAUUAUUUAUAAAAGAACAUCUCAGAUUCUUUAUGCUUCUGCUCCUGGACACUGCACCCUGUUUCUGCAACCCCCCCCCCUCUCUCUCUCUCUCUCUUCCUACCCACUCUCAAAAAAAAAAUUAAAAAAAACUCUCCCUUGCUUUUGCCUUUAUCACCUCAAAAUCUACAAUCCCACCUCUUAACAAAAUCCAUGGCACCAUCAUCUAAUGUGGUGCAGAUGAGAAUACACACACUACACGCACUACUACUCAUCAGCAGUAGUUUAGUCAUCCAUGUGGCAGCAGCAACAUGGUGUGUAGCCAGAAGUGAUGCAAGUGAUCAAGCUUUGCAAACAGCACUGGACUAUGCUUGCAGUGCUGGUGCAGAUUGUGCACUCUUCAAUCAACUGGGCUGUGUUAUCUUCCCAACACUCUCAUUGCUCAUGCUUCUUAUGCCUUCAAUAGUUAUUACCAGCGCAAGGCCAUGGCUCCAGGAUCCUGUAGCUUUGCUGGCACCUCCACCAUAGCCAAAACUGAUCCAAGUAAUUUGUUUCUCUCCAACCCUUUUCAAGAUAACUGGUUGCAUGCGUAUAUAUGUGUUUUCUUUUGGGAAUUUGUGCCUGAUUUUAUAUAUAUAUAUAUUUUUUGUUCUUUUCUUCAUUUUGGAUUUUCAGGCUAUGGAUCUUGCGUUUAUCCAUCAUCUCCGAGGUAUGCUUUUUCUCCUUUUCUUUUGUUUCAUUCUCUUUAGUGCUUUGUCGUCUGUGAUUUGAGUCCUAUCUUUAGUUGCAUAGUUGCAGUUUUUUCCUUUAAAAGCAUGAAUUGUCAAGGUUGUUCUAUUCUUUUCAUACUUUCUUUUUGUGAUGUAGUCUUGUUAGUACUAUUUAGAGACCCAAAUUAAGCUUUAAUUUUUAGGUAUUUUCUUUGGUUACACAAUUAUUUUUCACUAAUUAUCGGUAUUAAGCCAUCUUACAUAUAAGAAGAUGUAUAUAUUUACUGUUUCUUUUUGGUCUAUUUGUUCAAAAAAAAAAACAAAAAGAUUAUAAGUAGAGCAGCCAACAUUGGAUUGGACAAUUAACAAAAAAUAAAUAAGAUUACGAAUAUAAUAAGAUGUUAGACUAUAUAUCCUUCUCUCAACCAUAGAACUUGAAUCCAAAACAUUUUAGGCUCAUAUGAUACCUCAAUCUUGGCUGCUGGCUUGUUUUUCUGUCAUUAGACAUAGGACUCAUUUGUGACUUAUUAAGCUUGGCCAAUUAUCGGUCAUCAUGACAGAUGAGAUUGCAACCGUUUAAUGUCACAGUAAUUUUUGUUGAAAUGACAAACUAUCACCUUCUAAGUCAAAAUCAUAGUAACAUUUGAUCUGACUUAAAAGGAGUAAAUUUGUCGAUUAUUUAAAAAAAAAAAAUUUGCUGUGAUAUUAACAUUAAACUUUUAAUAAUAUCAUUUUUCGCGAGUUAUUAAUAUUCAUAACUCAGAAAUCGAUCCCACAUGAUAAUCUUUUGUAACAAUUUCAAGAUUAUCCCCUUUUUAAGUCUAAAAGAAAUCCUGACUUAAAAGGAUAAGCCCUUGUUUGGAUUGCAAUUCUUUUUCAAAAAAUUUUUUUACUCUUUUUCAUUAAUAUAAUUUUUUAAUCAUCUUUUUCUUCAUAUACAUCAAAUUUCUACGAUAUAAUUUUUACAUUUUUCAUGAAUACAAUUUUUUUAGUCAUCUUUUUUCGUUUAACUUUUAUACAUGAUCUUUCUUUUCAGUCUUAUUUGGAAAGUUAUUUUUCAUCAAAAAAAAACUUCUACGUUUUUCGCAAACACAUUUUCUAUUCAUCUUUUUAUUUCACAUAUAUCAAAUUAUUACAAUAUUUUUUUUUAUAAAAAUUCCAAAAAAUUGCAAUUCAACGGGCUCUAAAAUUUGAUGGAAAAAUUUGGUCAUGGCAUUAACUUUUUUGACAUCACCCUAAGGUGAUGGAUGGAUCAUGGGGUGCGCGAGCGCCUCAUGGGUGAUGUACGUUGUAUAGGAUGCUUAGGUGUUCGGGUUUGUCCAUUGUGCAUUCUCACGUGGACGUAUUCAAUGGAUGUCUUCCACGUGUAAAUGUGGACGAGAAUGGACGUGGCUGAUUGUUUGUACGUGGCUUUGGUAGCCUGCUUUACUGCAGAGUUGGUUCUUGGGCUGUGUUGUCUUCAACGUUAGACUUAGACCGCAGGAUCGUUCUUAUUGUUUAGAUGGCAAUUUGCACGGCUGAGAUCUUAUUGAAAGGGGGGGGUACGACCCCACAUCAGCACCUGAUUCCAAAAUUAGCAUCGACCCCACAAGUCACUGUAUGUGGCUGCCUUUUAUGACUUUCUUCGCAGAGUUUCUAUUUCCAUUGACUCACUUUCAUCGUAAAUUAUGAUAGAUUAGAUUAUAAGAAUAUUAUCAUUGCAACAAAAAAAAAGAAAAAAUCACCUCAAUUCAUCACUUGUGCCUGUUGAUAUUGCUACACAACUUUGCUGCCGCGGUAUGUUUGGCUAAUUCCUCAUAAUGUGAUCCUUUAAAAAACGAUUGGUCAAAUAUAAAUGUGUAAAGUUCUAUUCUUAUUCUAUACCUGUCAUGUCUACAUAACAUGACAGGUCCGUCAAGCAAUUUCUUUUAAAUAACUAUGCCACAAACAAUUUUUUUUUUCAAAAAACAAACAUGAUUGUCACAUCUACAUGGCACGAUGGUCCAAAAAAUUGAAAUUUUUUAUGGCCUAUUGUGCCAUAUUGGCGCGACAAAUCUGAAAAAUUUAAAAAAAAAGUUAUUGUUACUUCUUGUUGUUGAUCCAACAUUCAUCAACUACUAGCUCUCAACCAUUAUAUAAAUGCGUUCUCUUGCAUUACUUUGCAAGAAGUAUCAAUUUUUCACCUCCAUUUCUCUCUCUAAAAUUUUAUUUUCGUGUUUCUCUUCUACUUCUCUCUAAACAAUAGCAUCUCUCUCUCUCUCUCUCUCUCUCCUCCAUUUGAAAAAGAGAGAGGGAGGUGAGAAAUAGCUAUUUCUUGCGAAGUAAAGUAAGAGAACACAUUGGAUCAACUGCUAUAAGUAACAGUAAUUUUUUAAAAAAUCUUUUAGGCCCAUUGUGCCAACACGAAUUUUAACUUUUUGGGUCAUCAUGCCAUGUAAGCGCAACAGCCAUGUUUGGUACGAUGGGCAUAGAACAAGAAUAGAACUCUAUACAUCCAUAAUUGCUCGAUCUUUUUUUGAAAGGAUUACAGCUUGAGGAAUUAGCUGUUGACUUAAAAUGGUGGAUUUGUACUUUAUACUCUUAUAUUCGAUAAGAAGAGUUAAAUUAAAUGUGCGGUAGGGAGGAGAGAUGAAUUGAGUGGUUUGACGAACGGUGUGCAAGUGAGAGAUAUUGAAUUCGAUCUCUUCCACUUACACUUAAAAGAAAAGGAUUAAAAAAAUAUUAAAUGUGUGGUGGGCCUGGUGGCCAAUUCAUCAUUUAGUCAUAUUGGCCAUUUAGGCAAAUUUCUAGAAAUAAUACUAGAAAAAAAGUUAUCAUAAAAGUGGAGUCAUGUGAGAAAGGUUUUUCUUUUUAACAUUUGCCACAUUCGAUGAAUGCUAGGAAAGUUUUUUCUUUGCUAAUGUUUGCCACAUUUGACGAAUGUGAUGACAGUCACUUUUUAUUUUUAAAAUGUUCUGAACGAAUUUAAAAGAAAAAAAAAACUGUGUUGCCGCAAGUAAUCAGGUACGACAACUGAAAGCAGGAUUUAAAUUUUUUAAUACAAAUGGCGACUCACACAAAGCUUUUUUAGCAAAAAAAAAAUUUUUUUUGAGUCAUUGCAAACAAUUUUUUUUAAAAAAAAUAUGAAGUGACUCAAACAAAUUUUUUUGAACAAAAAACUAUUAGAGAGAUGCGACAACAUAUUUUUCUUUUUUUUUUUAAUCCAAGGAAUCUAACUAUUGAUCAACCGUUGAUGAAAGGCUAGAUUCUUUUGAUGUUCACGAGAUACUAUUUGAAAAAAAUAAAAAUUUUUAAAAAAAGAUAACUGUUGAUCAACAGCUUUUAUAGCUGUUGGAUGGCUACAAAAUAUCUAUAAUAUACUCUCAAUUUUGAAUCUUGAACUCGUAGCAUCCUCAUUUUUUGCUUUUCCAUUUCUCUCUCCCUAUUUUUGGAGAGUUGCAGAGUAGCAGAAUAGGCAAAGAGAAAUGGAGGCAAAAUGGAGAUGGUGUGGAUUCAAACUUCAGAAUUGGGGCUAUAUAUAGAUGUUUUGUGGCCAUCCAACGACCGUAAAAGCUUUUGAUCAAUGGCUCACUUUUUUUCUUUUUUUUUCCCAAACGACAUUUUCAUGAAUAUUGAGGGGAUUUAGCCAUUGAUCAACAAUUAGAUUCCUUGGAUUAAAAAAAAAAAGAAAAAUAUAUGCGGUGACUCUAAUAGUUAAAAAAACUUUGUGUGCUGAAACUUACUUUUUUUUUUUUUUUUAAAUUAAUCUUGCUUUUAGUCGCCGAAUCUAAUUACAUGGGAUGACACGAUUUUUUAAAAAUAUCAUUGAGGACAUUUUAAAAAAUUACAAAAAAAAAUGUCAUUGCAUUUAUCAAAUGUGGCAAUAUUAAAAGAGAAAAUUUUUCCACAUAACCCCACCUUUGUGAUAAUCUUUUUUCAGCAUUAUUUCUAGAAAUUUGCCACCAUUUAGUGAAAUUGGGCUUUGGCGCUAAAAUUAGUGCAGUUAAUUUUAUUUUAGAUCAUUAAACUAUAGAUGCUUUCUUAUUUUAGUCCUUAAAUUUGAAUUGUGGACUCUUUAUACUUUAAAUUAUGAAAUUUGUCCCACUUCAGUAUAAUCAUUGUGCUGAAACUAACAAAAUCUUCCGUGCCACUUUGAGCAUUCUUGCCAACUAUAUUUGUUCGAUUUGACGAUUCAGUCAAUGAUUAUAUUGAAGUGGGAGAAUUGUAUUAUUUUAAAAUGUAAAGUGGACUGAAAUGGAUGCACAUUUAUUGUUGAAGGAUCUAAAAUAAAAUUGAUCUAACUUAAUACUAUAAUAAUAUCAGGAGGCAUAAGUUGUAUUAAUAAAAUGAUUUCAAAAAAGCAGAGGACUUGCAGGUGAUAUACAGUGCCCCCCCACCCCCUCCUCCCCUCCUCUCCCCUCCCCUCCCAUCCCAAAACCCAAAACCCUUCUCUUGUAACGCUUCUCUUAAAAAAUUUUUAAGGAAAGAAAGAAGUCACAAUUUCCAGCAUAACUGAUCAAGUGCAAGGUACAAAUGUUGAAGAGACGAAAGCUUAAGGUUGUGUUUGGAUUGCAUUUUUUAGGAUUUUUUUGUAGAAAAAUACUGUAAAAUUUGAUGCAUGUAAGGAAAAAAGAUAAUAGGAAAAUGUGAUCACGGAAAACGACGCAAUUUUCAGGCGGAAAAUGGCUGUCCAAACAAGGCCUUAAUCUUGUUGAAAUACGGCCAGAGAACUGUCUAAGCAUUCAUAUUGAUAAUUAAAGACUAUUAGAUGAAUGGAAAAGUUCAAGAAACGAACGUAUUAUAUUUAAAGAUUCAAGCAGAAUAUUCUGAUGGAUAUCAAGACUGUAAAGGUAAGACUCUUAAAAUAUUGGAUUCAAUGCCUUUCAAGGAACAACUUGUAAUUUAUAAUAAAGUCAGAAACUUGGAAUCUGUAAAUUCUUCAAUUCUUUUUUUUUUUUAAUUCAGGGUAAGAAUCUAAAGUUUCCACAGCCUGCAAUUUAGCUAGUGAUCUACAUAGAAGAGAUUGUAUCAUAUUAUUCACAUUAUACAAAGAGAAUGUUUGACGGCUAUCAUCCUGCUAUAGCAAUUUUUCUUGUAAACCAUUCUCUAAAUGUGUUAUAAAUCAGGUGAUGAGUGAUGAUCCCAUACCAGAAGCUUUCAGAAACUACAGACAUUAAUUGCUUAUAUACUCGUAAUAUUGCUGUAUAAGAGUUUCUUAUGUUUUUGGACCUGGUUUGAAAGAGGAGAGGAGAAGUUGGUUAAUUUGAUAAAAGGAGCUUAUGGGCACAUGUCCUAUUCAUUCUUAGAAUCGGCACACAAGAGAAGGCUUAGAAAGAUUAUGAAUCAGCAUCUAAUCGUUCAAUCAUGUCAAGCAUUGCCUCUAUCUGGAUCAACACCAACCUAAACCAUAGAAUCAUAUAAUGUAGUAUCCCAAAUGCAAAUAAGGGAAUAGAGAAGAAUGACAAUUUUCCCCGAAAAUUUGCAUUACAAUCUUGGGAUGCACUUCUAGGUGGUCCUUUAGGCAUCUGCUUUUCUCUUCUAUUCUGUCACUGCUCUUUUGCAAGGAAUUUUGGAAAGGAAAAGAUGGCAAGUUGGCCAAGGGGAUUUCUGAAAGGUGCUUCAAGGGUUGGAGUGCAGAGCAUAUUAUUGUCCAUUCAAAGAACUAAGAUUCUGGCCUUCAAUUUGUUUCGAUGGCUAGUCUUCUUUGAAUUUUCACUUCUUUCUCUUGUCAAACUCCUCAUCUGCCUCUGCACCUGCUGUAUCUGCACUUGCAUUUUUUUUUUGUUAAAAAUUUUGGCCUUUUUUAACAGCCUAAAAUUACAAUGCAAUGUUUGGAUUGUGAAACUUGCAGCGCUGCGGGAGGACCACCUACCGUAGGUGGUAUGCCAACCAAUCCAAUCACUAGUCCAUCUUUGACCGCACCACCACCACCGGAUACACCCUUAAACAACGGUGGAGGCUUGACCAGGGCUGGGUGGUGGAGUUCCUGCAACACAGAAUUCUAAAGCUACUUCUCUACCAUCCUCUACCGCGACUACCUUAACUCUUUCAUCUUUCUUGCUUGUACUCUUUCUCAUUUCUGAACCCUAAUAUUGCCCUGAGAGAGAACAGCAACAGGGCCUUAAGUGAUUGUGAAGACUAGGUUAGUGAAGUUUUGUUAGGUAUGAGGCUCCUUGUCUCAGCCGCUCAGCAGUUUUGUAGCAAAAAAAUAUUUAAGGCUUUUGAUGUAAUGUUCUCUUUUGGCUGCUUAAUUCUCUUCAUGCCUUGAUCCCAAUUGGAGAAGUUUAAUUCAUGCAUUCUUAGUUGGACUACAUUUCAACUACUGGAGUUCUCACUACGCAUUCUGCGAUUUCUAGUUCCACCUUCUUUUUCCUGAAUUCUCCAUCCUCUUAAACCAACUUGCGAAAAAUCCACUGAAGUUCUUGGAAAAUGUUGGUGAUCACCAAAACGAAAAAGAGCAAGGCUUGUGAGUGUUUUCUAUGUUUGAUAUUUGCAGAGCGACGUAUCGAAAUCGUCGGCAGAUAACGAUGAAAACAAUAAAAACUUAUAAUUUCAAAUUCAAAUUUGCACACGUGUUAUAUAUUUAAUGAUGAUAGUGUAUACACUGACAGUGUAUAUAAAUUAACCCAACUUAUAAACUGGUGCUCUUGAAAGAGACUAUAUUGAGGGUCAAAAUUCAUCUUCAAGAGUGCAUUACGACUAGAAUAGGAAUUUCAUAUUCUCGUAGUCAAGUGAGACUUCAAUACUUUGAUUUGCCUGUUUACAGCUCUUGCUUCACCCGUAACUCCCAUAAACACACAUUUUCUCUGAAGUACGUAGCAAGAAAACCAGAAGAGGACCUUCUUCAACAUUUAAUUGUAACAUGGAUAACUCUGUAAAUUUCUUUUAAUCUUCCUAUCAUCCUAUAUAGUAAUAGUAUGAAAGCCGUCUUCAAAAUACUGAAGCGCAAAGAUUGGAAUUAACAUGCUCCAAGUUUUGAGUUCAUCUGGCAUUGAAUUCAAAAUCUAGAAUUCAACUGAAGAAGAGACCUGAGCGCAAACGAGAAAGCAAGAAAUGUAGUCAUCAGAAAAUAUAAAGAUAAGAUGGAAACGAAAAUCAGAAUCUGCAAACUGCUUAUAUUUGCUUCAACUAAACAAAUAGUCAUGUCUGUAGCUUAUAGGUUAGUUGAAGUAAGGUCAAAUCAAGGUUCUCUUUAUUUGAACUAAGUGUGCAACUAACCUGCUGAUGUUUGGUAAUCAAUAUAGAAAAAAUACUGCUUCUUCAUGCACUAUAUUGUGUUUCCCCACCCAAAUAUCCCCCUUUGUCUUGACAUAUUAAAGUCUAGGCCUUAAUUUACCAUUCGACUCCCCAUUCAAUCAGUUAAGAUGUCUAAUCAGUUACGUGUAAGAACUAUAUUUCAAUUAAUGUUCCAGAAAUAGCAUUCCAGUUAGUGUGGUACACUCCCUCCUCUCCAAAGCUUAAUUACCUUUGGUUCAACUGGGCAUCUCUCGGGUUGUCUCACAAUGUAUAUUUGAUCACGCAGCUUCAUUGUACAUAUCCUGAUUCCGGUGCCAUGUCCACAGAGCAUGUGUCUCAUUCUUCACCUGCAGAUUACAUGAAGAAAUAUAGUCAUCUUUUGCCUUCUCCAGAGUUGUGUCCUAUGGUCUAUCCUCAACAGGAGAUACGAAGUUAAUUGUAAGAAUAUUAAAGCACCAAAAAGCAGGAUAUUUUUUCAUUUCAGUGUUUGGAAAAGCACCCAACUACACGAGACUCUAAUGUUCAGAGUUGGAAGUCUUGGUAUCCCAACCAAAAAUUCCCUCAAUGAACCAAAAGGUACAAAUUUCAUCUUGAAUAUAAAUAAACUGCUAAAACUUAGAAGAAAGAAUCCUAUUUCAGUUAAAGACAAAGAUCCCAUUCCCUAGAGUAAGGCAUCCAAACACCAUACUAACUGAACAAGUUUUGCCUCCAACUCUCCAGAUAAUAUUUAACUAUAGUUCUGCAAAGCAUAUUCUAGUGUACAAUUCACUGCUCAGGUUAGUUUUCAUAACUGCUCUAGUUGGUGCAUUUUGAAGCUAAUUAUUAGUCAGUAAGUUGUAAUGCUUUCUUUGGACUAGCAUCCAAGGGGGAGGGAGGGAGAGAGAGAGAGAGAGAGUUGUACCUCUAGAAUACCAUGUCCAAAGCUACUUUCCCUGUAUGCACUAUAAUCUGGCUGUCGAUCCCAACAGAACUUUCCAGCUGCUGGACCUGAUGUAAAAUUGUAAGCACAAAAUCCACCCAUAUAGCUGUCCGGAGUUGUAGAUGGAUCUGGACAGUUCCCUGGUUCAUCGCAUGUUUAAUAGCCAUUUUCUCCCUGUUACCACCAUCACCAACUGCUAUGUAUACAGGCCCACAGGGAUCCAGAGUGUAGUUGUAGACUCUGUUUGAUCUCUCAUAGGCAUGAACCUAUAGUUUAAACAAGUUCCAAAAAAAGAAAACAAAGCCUCAUUGAGAUCUCUAAAGCAAGAAAAGGAUUUUGUUUUACAGAUUGCAGAAAAUGAAAUUACAUUAACAUAGUACUGAUUUUUUUUUUGUCACGAAUCAAUGAAGUUUGAAUAAUUAUGUUGGAAAAAAGCUUAAUGUAAUUAUAGCUCAAAGUAGUCAAUGAAAAGAAUUACCAAACUUUGUACGUUAAGCCUAAACAAUAUAUGCUUGUGAACACAGCAGCAAUGGUGGAGGACAGGAUACUGCUGUUUCUGUGGCUAUGAGAUUGCACAAAGGUCUAACCAGGUUAAUAAAAUAGAGAACAGGAACUGCUCAACGAUUUGAAGUAAUGUGGAUUGAAGAAGAAUCAUUAGAAAAUUGAUAAAGAUGAUUUUCUUAUGCUAGAACGAAUGACCAGAAUAUGGAUGGAGCAAAUGAACCAGUAGGAUUUACUACAAGGCUUGUCACCAGCAAAAGUAUACAGCAUGUGAUAAUUAAAUUUGUUUCAGUAAGAUUUCAGACGAUUAUUUCCACAUUUACUAAUUUUUAUUACAAAAACUAUAAAGAAAUACAAGAUAAAGCUGAAGAAUAGCUUUAUUGCAUUUACAGUAUAAGCACUCACGUGACUGUUACACACUUACAUGUCCAUUGAAGACUAUAUCAACACCAUACUUGUACAGUAUUUCUUCCAUCUCUACCCUCAUACAUUCACUUCCCUGUAGUGAGCUACAUAUGUUGAGUACCAUGGAGGAUGCCAAGUUGCUACCAGCCAAGGAGUGACUUUUCUGUCAACUUUUGCAAGUCUCUCUUCAACCAUUUGUAUUGAUCAGCUGAAAUUCAGUAGUUAAAGAUGAGCUAUAAAACUACUUCACAUUCUUUUGGACAUAAAACUAGACAAAAAAAUCCAGUUAAUUGCUGAUGAAAAAGUGACAACAUGUCAUAGAUACAGAUAUGCAUAAUCUGACAAAUUUCAUGAGGCAAUCAAAGAGUAGCAAAAAAAGGCCCAAGCAAGCAGAUAGACGUGAAUGCAUCUCAUCAAUUACCUGACUUAUUAUAUGCAAUAUAUGCACCGAGCAUUAUGAAAUGUAUCCCUCCCGCAUUGAAUGAAAAGUAGAACGUAGACAAAGAUCCACUUUCUUUAGAUGGAAAUGCAAACCGAGAACUAUAGGCUGCAAAUGUCCGAUUCCCAACUUGUUCUUCGAUCUCAUGGUUUCCCUCUACUACCAUUAGUGGUACUUUAGACACUAGUGGCUGCAUAAACCUGCAAAAAUAUAAUAUUCUAUUACGUUUGUUCUAAUGCACAAUUAUGGAAGAAAUCUCUUGCACAGACGGUAAAAGAGUGAAGUAAAACUGAAACAAUUUCUAUUGUUCAAUGUAGAAGUCUGCAAGAAGCUAAUGAAUGUUAGGGAAGAAAGGGAAGGAAUAGUCUAGGUCUAAAAAAGACUCACAAAAAUUACAGACUAAAGAUGGAUUGAGUGAUAAAUAAACUGGUGAUGUGCACGAUAACCAUUAAGAGUUCUAGCAACUGCAAGUAAUGCUGUAAACCAGAAGUUAAUUUUGAGAGAAAUCAGCCUUCUUUAUGAUAGAAAUAGACAUUCUUACUCAACAAACUAGGUGUACGAGUCUUCUGGUCUCUUUUAGUAGCACCAGUUGCACUGACAGCAAAAGAAGAGCAGAUAAUUCUACUCAUGGAUAGCUAGUUCACUAUUUUACUCAUGCUGGAAGUUUCUGUUGCUUGCCUCAUUAUUACAUGAACAAUAAGUACAAUGGACGAAAGUAUUAAAGCUACCUUCCCCAGUAAUCCCAACGAGGUUGAUAGGUCUCAUGGAUGGGUGUAUCAGGAAACGAGCAAGAAUAGCAAUCAGCGCCAGUUCCAUUUGUCAGAUACAGAUUGGCGUAGGAAACAUCCCCCACCAAUAGAACAAGAUCAGGCUGGUUGCUUAUCAAGUGGCUAACAGUUGAAGUUGUAUUGUAUGUAAGACCAAGGUCUCCCACCACUGCUAUUCUGUUAGGGUAGUUUUUUGGACCUGAAGCAGGCAUAGUCCUGAAUUGAUAGAUAUCACUCAUUGCUGGUAUUGAAGGAUCUCCACAUCGAUAAUAAUAUUCAGUGUUGGGUUCCAAUCCUGCAGGGCACAAAACCAAUCCCAUCAUUUGAGAAAAAAAAAACGUUUUCACCAAGACAGAAGCAAAAUUGAUCUCCUUUAUUCUACUUAAAGAAAGCAUGGAAUUAGUAGCAAUAGCAACAAGUACAUACAAUGUGAAUUUAAAAUAGAUUCUAGUAAAUGUAGGACCAUUUAAUGUUUACUGAAAGUAAGAUUAGGUUGGUUUUAUUGGACCCAUGCAUCCAUUUAGAAAAACUAGAUGUUGCAGUUGGCUUGAUUCAAUUUAAUUGAAACCAAGUGGAAGGUGUCUCGGAAUCAUUGUUGAGAAAAGAAACUUAACAACAAUGUACUACGCACAUUUGCAAGCUGCAAAACUAUCAAAUGAGACUUGCCUAACAUCACCAGGCUGUAUUUCCGGACAAAGAAUACAAUGGCAGGUUGCCGUUGAAAUCCAGUAAGUCAAGAGAAACACAAGAGAUCAAAAACUUAAAACCACUCAAUUUAACACAACCAAGAUAUGUGAAAACAUUGUUCUAAAAUCAUGCCAGGGCAUUAAACCAAUCAAUAUCCUAUUAGAGGGCACCUUGCAUAUAUUUUACUCAGACAUCACAUAAACCCUGACUUUAUUUCAUGGGUGUUUGGCAGGCAGAUAGUCUGAGAACCAGCUACAGAACCUUAUUUAGCUUCUUCCAGCAAUAUUACAUUUUGACCUUGAGAUGUGGCUGACAAUCAUGUGACAGGACUCAGAAUCCAAUCAUAAAGCUUGGACGGUUCCUUUCUUAUGUAUCCAACUAAAAAUUAUAAAAUUCUAUGUUUGAAAUAAGCAUUACAUCUGAAAUGAUCUGUUGCUCCCAAAUUUGUGACUUAAAAUUUUGUUAAUUCACCUGUAAGUUGGACAUGAUGUAUGAUCCCGGAGGUGUAGUUCUGCAAGCCUUCAAAUGGAUAGAGCUGGUUAUAAAUUAAUGAAUCACCCUUUACUUUGUGAUUCAAGAAGAGAUUUGAUUUCCCAUAGUAUACAAAACUUUUUAGAGUCUUGGGAUUCAAUGGUUUGAUGUUGUCACCUAUUUGAAAUUCACCUGCAAACAAAUAAUAUCACAUUUGAGAGGAUCAUACUGAUAUAACAAACAUCUAUAACACCCUCUUCUGAUUCAUCUAACAAAAAUCAGGCUCAUCCUUACGUAUCCUAACUAUUAACAUGCGUUCUUCUCCUGUAGCUCUCAAAAAUGAACAUCAAUUCAUAAUCCAAUUGAAGUUCUCACUGAUACCUACGUCACAACUAAUUCGAACUUUUCAAGAAGACAUAGAAAGCAUCAACUUAUAAAAGGGCAGUCAAUAAACUUCCAUAACUCCCUUCUUGUUCUUAUCUAGAAUAUUUUUUUCCAGCUCAUCAAUUGCUAAAUACUCCUCCAAACAGACAAAUUAAAUGACUUCAAAAUACUAGAUUGAGACAGAACCAAGAACAUACAUAUAUCAAAUGAAGUUACCUGUAAUCCAUGAAACCCAAGCUGAAUCAUAAUCUGAAGAAAGGGAGACUGAAAUUUGUUCAGGCUCAAAACCUACAACAUUUCUCUGCACCCUAUGAUCAGUAUCUGGCAAAUCAAUUGCAUUCCCUCUAAAACUCUUAUCCAAAUCAACUGUCACUGGCUUAAAUUCCUUCUACAGUUGUCGGAAUUCUCCCAUAAACUUGCACAAGGUUCAGCAAAAGAAACACAGCCAACCCAACAAGAGCUCUCCCUUUUAGCAAAGCCAUCUCAAGACUUUGCAUGCAACAGUUAAUCCCUCCUUAUCAAGAACUUAUGCAUAGAAAAUUUGAUCAAACAGCUGAGGAACAGAGACAAAAAAGAAUAGGCGUGACAAAAAAAAAUCAAGAGUUGAGAAGAGUAGAGCCUCCUAAAAGACAAAAGAAGGUAGAAAAUCAAUCAAAAAGAUAUGAAACCAAGAAAAAGUGAGGAAAAAAGGGGUGUCACAAAUGAAAAGGUCGAGUCUUGAGAAGAAAAGAACCUCCUAAACGCUAAAAACAGGCAUCAACGAAGUUGCUAAACGUUAAAAAUUCUGAACCAAGUUUAAAUUACAAGUACAUUUACCAAAUGGGUUCAAUCUAGAAUUGUAAAACACGCAUGAAAAUAUGAGAAAUUUUAAAACUUUUCGAAAAAAGUAAACAAAACGAACUGCUUUAUUACGAAGAUGGCGUGAGAAUUUGAGGGAUGGAAACGAGAUUUGUGCAAUUUGGCAAAUGGCGGUUAUGUCAGCUAAUCUGUGUUCGAGAAAAAUACAGGAGAGAUGGAAAUCCUCGUUCAGUGUGAAUAGCAGUUCCUGGUGAAGGCGCUUCCUUUGGUGACUGAUUUUCGUAUGGGCCAUGUUUUGUGAAUGUGAAUUCGUUCUUAGUGUGCCCAACUUGUACUACUCUUGCAAUGACGAAUCUCUUAUCUGAAAUGGGAUAUUCUGUCCGAAUUCGAUGUAGAUUUGUUUUUGUAGUAAACAAAUCAACAGACAGAUCCGAAGAGCGUGGCUCCUCGUUGAGAGAGACCUCACCUGUUAAUUUUGUCCCAAAAGAAAAUUAAUGUGUUAAUUUUGUACAAAAAAAAAUAGUUUAAUAAAUAUCGAUGACAUAUAUAUAUCUUUGUGCAAGGCACAAUCAAGGCUUCUAGUAGUUUAGUUGAAUACAUUGUAACAAAACUUUUUAGUACAUAAUGAACAAAAACAUAGGAGAAAAGUUAAAUAUCAAAAUGAUUAAAGUCUGCUAUUAAGAGAAAUUUCAUCUAUGAAAUUAGUCCUCAAUUUACUGUGAUUUGGACAAAAAAUUUUUAACCAAUAUUAUGUGUACAUAAUGAUACCAAACAGAAGAGAAAGCAAAUUCAUUAUGAGUGCAUUAUCGAUUUAACAGUAGUAUAGUUUUAGUUGUAACUAAACAAAAAUAGUCAUAAUGUUUCUAACGUUUUAAUAAUUAGAAAAAACUUAGAAAGCCACCGAGACUUGUUACAGUUUUCAACAUAAAUAAAACAUACAAAUUUGCAUAUUUUUCUUUCUUUGAGAGAAAAAACUAGUUAAUCAGUCCAUUUAAAUCCUACAUAGUAGCAUUACAAACAGGUGAGAACAUGAGUCUGUUUGGAUACCCCAAAUUUACAUAAUUUUCCUUGAAAAAUUGAGUUCCAUAAUGUGGUUUUUGGAACAUAUAUCCCUCAUUGAUCUAUAUGAAAAGACUUGCAAUUAUGAUAGUUCUGUUGACUUGACUGAAAGCUGGAUAGACUGGGAGUAUGGUCAUAAAGGUACGGGAGCGCGACCUACCUAAAUUUCAGCCGCCACCCAUCUUUGGUCAAACGAAUGGUUACUGCCCUGGAUUUGCAGCUGUUCUCCUCAAACAAAUUUUCGGACUUCUUGACAAGACCCAGAACAUUCUACAUUGCAAAUGAGUUUUUAAUUAAAAAGUUUUAGCGUGAUUUGGGUAGUACCUAGGUUUUUGUGGCCCCAAAAUUGAGGUUUGUAGCCAUAAACAUAAACUGAUUACAAGAGGUUACAGACAUGCACGAUCACAGACAAAGUACAACCAUGCAUUGAUGGACUUGCCGAAAUUAAAUAUGCAUAAUAUUUAUGACAUUUGCCAAGAUUAACAUAAAUAGGCAAUUUUGUCGAGCGGCUUUGCCUUUCCUCUAGCAUUGCCCGAAUGUCCAUGGACAUUUUUUAUGAUUCUUCAUUAACGAUGGCGUAUAUUUCCAUAGGCAUUGAACAUAUGAACUGUCGUUGCAUCUCUCAUGCCAAUCCAUUGGUCAAUCAUUUCGGCCGGGGAGGAAGGAGAGGGAUGCAGCGGCUGUAUCUCCAGAUAGGAAAAAAUUGCACCGUGAAUAUCUGGAUCUCCUAUAUCAAGGUUUGCAAAGUAAAGGUCAUUCGGCUACUAAUCUCUAAUGAAAUUGUGCACAGCACAACAGGCAACAGGCAACAAUUAUGUUUAUCUGAGUAAUUAUCAUGUAAUUUGGCACGGCGCCCCAUAAGAUAGCAAAUCUCCUCUUAAGGACACAAAAGGUUCGCUUUAUGACAUUGCAUAAAGCAGAAUGGCUGUAAUUAAAAAGUUCUUUGGCAGUGGCAAAUUUCCCCCUUCUCUGACCACUUACAUCCGCUUGACGUCCUCUAUAAGGUGGUAAGAAAGCGGGCAAGUUUUGAUACACGGAAUCAACCAAGUAGUAUUUGUCUUAUCAUAAAUGUGUUUUUUGGGCCCAACUAGUUUUGUGAAAAUUAAUGCUAAAUAUACAUACAUGGAUUUUCUUGUAUAUCUGGGGGCAUUGGGAAAUGAUUUGGACCUGUCAGAGCCCCAUCCAAAACACGAGCAUCAUGGGCACUUCUCUUCCAACCUGCAUACAUGUAUACAAAUCUCAUAGUAUGAUUGUAUACAACCAACACAUUUUGUGACUACACUCUGUGUCUAUUAGUGUAUGCCACCUGCUGUCUACUCGAGAUAGAAAUAGGUAUGUGUGUCCCGUCAAUGGCUCCAAUUGUGUCCUUUAAAUAGCAAUUGAAGUCAUUGCGAAAUUAAGGGAGUGCUUGGUUUGAGGGUAUAGGAUUCAAGAUUUGGAAUGAUGUCCAUUUUAAGUGCUUGGAUAAGAGGUGUGGGAUUGAGGAUUUUGGAAUGAAUUCUAAAAGUCAACAACUCUCCAUUCCUGAGUAAUGUGGUGGGUUUUGUUAAUUCCUAUAUUUGAUUCCAAAAUAAUUUUAUAAAACAUUUUUUUAUCUAUUCACUCCUUCACCCUCAUCUCGUCAUCCUCCUACUAGUCUUCCCCAUCACCUCCCACCAUUUGUCUCUUCCUCCAUGGCAUCUAAAAAGUUUUCUUGUUGCCAUCACUCAAUAUUUCAAAAACUUCCACCUUUCCUCUCGCUAGUAUCACUCCUUCUUCAUCCUCAAAAUCCAAAUCCUAGAUCUCUAAAAUUUCACCCAUCACAACAAGCCCCUGCAUAGCCUCACCUCUGAGUUUGAAUCAGUACCAGAAUUUACAGCCACAAUCUCAAGGGAUUCAGCUUCAAUUGAGAAGAAACCACGUAAUUUGAGUCUGGUGUCACCCACUCAAAGUUCAAAAAAAUCUAUUUGCAAGCCAUUGACAAGUUCUGAAUUUGGAUUGUAUCAAUUGACAAGAAAAAAGAAAACGUGGCAUUGCUUCAUCAUAUGAGUUAUGUCUGAAAGUAGGAGAGAAAAGAACAAAAAAAUGAAAAAAAAAUAGAAGGUCUUGAUUGGGGAUGGUCUAACGAUGACUGGCGUUUGCUGCUAAAGGCCUCGUAUGAUUGAACCCAACAAAGAAAAAGAUAGGGCAAAAAUGCAAUAAUAAUUUUGAUACCCAUUCCACUAAAAAUUAUACCAAGUGGUAAUGAUUUCAAUGAUACCAGGAGCUUAUACCUAUACUAAUUUUUUAUAAUUCAUUCCGUAUCCAAUUCCAAUUACAGAGCAUGAACCAAACACCCCCUAAAUGUAUUCAACCAAUCACUUAUAAAAUUAACAUAACAAGCUCCACCAUACUUCCCAUAAAAAAUUUAAAAUUAAACAAGUUCCUGACUAACCCUUUCAGAUAUCAGCAUGAAUGAAAAAAAAAAAGAGGACUACUCGUGGUUUAGCUAGAAAAGUGCAAUAUAGAUCAAAUAAUAUUAAUGCUUUGAUGAUCGUUUGACAUCAUGGAGCUAGUUCAAAUUUUUAUUUUGUGUUCUAAGCCAUUUUAGUUUUUUUUCAUCUUACUAUGGUGAGUUUUCCACAUUUAGUUUGUAAAAUAAAAAAAAAGGAUAUACAAUAUUAAGAUUAUAUAUAUCCAGUAUGAAUCGAAGCAUUUGUAGGACAAAUCCCAUGUAUUACUCAUCCAAGAAAGGUUUAAUCCAUACUUGUCAAAGUAGACUUUCAAUUUGUGUUGAAUCUUGAAGGGCAAAUCUUUGGCCAAAACUUGAGUAUUAUUUCAAAUUACUUUUGUACAUUUAAUUUUUAUGUUUAAAAUUCGUAUGGCCUACCAAUUCCAGAAUUUAAUUUUCAAAAGCAAUUGAAAUGUUUUAAACUAUUACGUCAAUUAUUACGAACAAUAUGCAUGCUACCAUUAUUGUAUGCAUGGACUAGUAAUACUUGCUUCGUUCUUUACCACAUUCCAGUGGUGCCAUUACUGUAUUUAUCAUUUCGUCUGUUAGAUUUCUUUUAUUGAAAGCAAUCCCAGUGCUCCCCAUACAAUAACAAAAAUAUAUAUAAGAUUCUUUGAGACCCAAACGUUCAAACUUAAUCAGUGUAUUAGCUAACCAUACUUCAAACCAUGGAUAAAAUGUACUGUCAUUUAGAAUUUUUGGAUGGACUUCAUCCUAGCGUCUUGUAGUGAUGAUGAAUUAAGCGAAUGUACAUAGACUCCUAAUGACUUCCUGAAUAUUCUGAUGCACUAUCUCCAACGAGUGGUUGAAUCGAUCCGCAAUUAUUAGCAUCCGCAUAUUGUAGCUCAUUAUAACUAAAGUCAUCGCAAGUGCCUCCUCUAUCGUAACCCUUUUCUAAUGAUACUGGGGGGACAAAUUCACAUUCGAACAAUAUGUUGCACAAUCUCAUAAAUGAAUCUACACUUAAUCUUGUUGCAUCCAUAAUUCGGGUGUGGUUACCUGAUAUCAGUUCUUCAACCCAUUGUCGGCCAAUUAAUGCUAAUGUCCUACAAGGUACCUUGUGGAUUGGGUCUCUGUAUGCUUCUGCAUUUGACUCGAACAAUAGGGCAGCACCAACUAUAAAUAGAAGAUCAUCUUUGUCCGAGGAUGAGCUGGUCAUAUGGCCAUCACGAAAUGCGUUCAUUUUUUGGUAUGGCAAAAAAAAAAAAAAAAACUACCACAUAUAUACGUUUGGUUCCUAAAGUGGUUGAGGGAUAGAGCAAUCAGUUCACCAAGCGAUCAAUCCUUAUAAAGGCAAAAAUCUGUGAUUCUUCUUAUUGUUUCAGCGAGUAGUGCAAUUCUUGUCAAUUCAUCUGUGUCAGUACUAGCGAAUAUAUGCAGUCUCCACGGUGCCUUGUCUGCCAUUGCACCACUUAGUAAUUGGUAUCGAAGAGAUAAGACUCCUACCAAGGUUGCGCGAUAGUCCAGCCAGCAUGGGAACAUCGUUCAGUCUGUGCAUACAAAAAUCUACACAAACCAGUUUUAAAUAAAAUAAAAAGCAAACAUCUACCAUCUAUCAAACCAACUUACUUCAAUAUGCAAUUAUGCACAAAAGUCCAAAACAUCAAUCGGCACUAGGGAUAUAUGUAUUGGUUAGUAACCUGUUCAUGGAACAUGAAUUGAAGUCAUAAAUUUGGUUAAUAACUAAAUUUGGGCCCUCCAGACAUCAGUUCAUUUGGAUGUCCCUAAUUGCUAUGAGAGUACGCAUUUCCAUAAGGCUGCAUUUCCAUUCAUGGGAAGGUGGUCAUUUUGUCCUCACUUCGAUCUUUAAAAGGGUUCCAAGACUUAUACAUAUACAACCUUGAUUUUUUAAAGGUUUCUAUACCCUGUCGGCCAUCUUACAUCACCUUAUACAUAUACAAUCUGCCAUCCAAAACUUUUGUAAUCCAUAUAGACUUCUAAACUUUGCAUAGUGCAAUUCAUUUAAUAUAUGCAGACGUGCAUAAAAGUCUAAAGCUAGUAAUCCAAAAAACUUAGCCUAGUACUUGGCAUAGUAAUGCUCAAUAAACAUAAGAAAAAUCUUAUACAAGCAAGUCAUGGUUAAGAAUUGGUCCUCUGGUUUUGACUCAAUACAUAAAAUAAGGGAAGAGGAAUCAGCAGGCAAGCAAGUACUUUGAUCAAAUUUAAAUUGACCAAACAAAGUUUCCCCAUUUGGAAGAAACUAAAAUACAAGUAGCACACCACACCACAAAAAAAAAAAAGAUUAGAAAAGCUGGAAGAUUUUUUAAUCCUGGUAGCUCAACGAAAAUUCUUUUCAUGCUGAUGCACAGGCAUCCACACACGACACUACUCUUCCCCUGAGCCCUUUUGAAGGGCAAUGUCUAGAGAGUUAAGCCAAUACUCCUGAAGAUUGCGUGCCAUAGCCAGGAAAGUCUUAUGCCACUUGUCGUCCUGCAAUUGUAAAAGAGUAGUGAGCUUCCUCCCUUUGUGAAAGCCUUCAAACGAGUUGACAACCUAAUCUGCCAUUGUAACAUCGAAUUUCUCAAAAUCGAUUUCUUGGCGAUCCUUAAUCAAUAGUUUUGCUGAGGGUAGGUUGAAGAAUGAGUUAGCACACUCAACGAAAGGAUUAUCAAAACUUCUACUUAACUUGCUUCGACGAGAUCCGUGUACCGAGAUCGUGGCCCCUAGACUGCUUAAAACUCGCUUACUUCCUACUUUAGGAGCUUCUUCAUAGCAUUCAGCAUCAGGGCUAUCAGUGAACAUUUCCUCACUGAAUUGCAAACUUGACUGCCCUCCUAAAUGAGUAGGUCGAUUUUGUCGAGCAACAAGUAAAGGCGGAACUGCAGAAGAAACAGCUUGGCUCCCAGUGGCAGUUUUUCCUUCCAAAACCUUAGAUAGUAUUGAAUAUUUGUUGAUGCACUGGUGGUAUCUAAAGUUCCUAUAAUCCCGAUUCUCCUAUUAAAAAGAAACUAACAAAAUUGAGUCUUAUAAUCUCAUUUAUUAAACCCAAUAAAAAUGAGCCAAAAGUAUAUAGUAUUAUUGUAGGAAGUGAACCAUGGGAGCCAAAUACCAGGUUUUAAACAAGUAGAAAGUCAACUAACAAUUAAUAUUAAGCAUAGUAGUGUAUUAAGUGUCAACAGUAAAGAAUCAAAAAAAGUUCCAUUCUCAAUAAGAAAAAUGUUGUAAGGGUUUUUACCAUUUGCAAAUUGUUUCACUAAGAUUCAUUGGCCAAGAAGCAUCUCCUAUUCUAGUCCCAAUCAAUUCAAGUUUCGGACGAGAGUCACAAACUUUUUAACUUGACAAAGGCACGCCAAAUCCUCUUCAAGCACUUGUACUUCGAAUGGUAGAUAGUGCAGCUAUACUACUUUCCCCAGGUGGAAUUGAGGUGUGCAGCAAGCUUCAUCCAAUUGGCCUUAGAUGCGAUGUUUGGAUUCCACUCCACACUUUUUUUUUCUAUUCAACGUAUGUCAUACCAGAAGUGCAUCUCCAUGUUUUCAUUUCAACGAGCCUUUGCAAUUGUGUGGUCAUGAGGCAUCCAGACCAAACUAAAGGAAUUGCAUAUCUUCUUAAAAUUGCUUAACAAAUUGAACAAUCCAAGAAUUUCAACAUAGCUCGGACUUCGAUUACAUGGUACUUUUCCAACCACAGCGUCAAUGGAGUUGUAUAGUCAAGCAGCUUUUAUAUAUCAAAUUUAAGGAUUGUUAUUCCAAGUUAUUAUAAAAUUUUGAUCAUCUAAAUGCAAUCUUUACCUUAACAAAACAGGCACAUACAUGCAUAUACAUCUACUUACUGAGUUUUUUCAAAUUUACAUGUAAUCAAAAUGACAAUUUUGAUGCUAAAGUUAGAUGACUAACCUUACAAAUUUGCUACAGCAGUUAUCGAGGCACUAGAGCACAUUUAAAUCGCUCUUUAGGUUUGUGUUUUUAAUUCUUGUAAAUUCUUUAAAAAAUACUUGUCCUUUUAUAAUAAAAAAGAUGUAUAAUCUUUAGAUUUGUUCUAAGCCAUUUUAAUACACCACACCAAGUCUAGCUCUACAAGACUAUGAAAUGUGAAUAAAAGAAUAUACUCCAUCACUUAUAAGCUUGAGACCCUAUGUGCUACUUCUCUUGCAGUUAUCUUGAAGUAUAUUGGCGGUAAGAAGGUUCUUAGUCAGGACAGAGCAAGCUUUAGUGAUCAUAAAGUUGAAGACAUCAUAAAUAUCUUAACUAUCGCUCUACGAAUAUGUUUUUGGUACUGUACUAAAAACUUUUUUUUUCUUUUCGAUACACGUAGCCAUACAAAGUAAAUAAACUACCAAGUAAUAAUUUGAAGUCUCAUAGUUGAAAUCUCGGUAGCAAAUGGCAAAUACCACGCCACAAAUUGAUUGUGGAUGUAACAGUUGAAGUUCCAAAAAGUUCAACACAUAUUGAACAGCACAAAUGACUCAGGAUUAGCUAUGUUCAAGUAAUAGAGUAAAGGAUGAGUUCACAUGGAUGUUUGAAAAUAUUUAUAGGCCUAAAUUUGAAGAGACCACCAUGAAAAUGCGACAUCAACACACGUUAAUGCACUUUUUAUUAGUCACGGGGACUUACUCUGAAGUAGUUAACUAGGGAUUCGAUGUAGUCGUUAAAUUCUGUGACAGAGUGGAUGGAAGAAGCCUCAGAUGCACGAGUGAGAGUUGGUGGAUCGGACAGUGAUCUCCUAUGCUUGUUGGGCAUAUACUCCAUGUCAAGGUGUGUUAAGAGGAUGCAGGUCAUGUGGGGCUACACUCAAGACAAAUAGAGCCAAUUUUGAUUCGCGAGUAAGCUUUGGUCAGUUUGCAUUCUUUGUUACCGAAUGGGGAGGGGGAUAGAAAUCUCGAGGAACUUGACUAUGCUACUACUCUGAGUUAAAAUAAAAAUUAUACCAAAAAUCAAAAAUUCCUUUGAUAACGCCUAAAUUGCCCAACUCAAAACAAAAUGGGCGGGCAGCAAAAAAGCAACUAAGCAACUCAUCCAAUUUGAUGAAUUAGGGCUAACGCAUACCUCGUAAGGGUGUGCUGAUGCCACAUUUUAGAAAGAGAGACAACGAACCUCGUUCUCAAUUGGGGAACCUUAUUUCAGAAAGCAAUUCAAUUUGGCCUUUAGCAAGUAGGAAUGAUGGGCUAUCACAUGAACGAUAAUCAGACAGACACUGAGUUUGGUAGUCGCGUCAAAUGAAACCUAGAUGGAGAAUUGAGGUGUGCAAUCUUCGGCUUUUGAGGCUAUGGUUUGAUAGCUGCUUGUUUGGAUAAUCGGCACCGUAUUUCUCGUCGAAAGAGGGCUGCUCGAAGGGAUUAAAAUUGCAGUGGUGGUUGGACAAGUUGGCGGCACAAGCUACGAAAGAACUGUGAGCGUUCACUAGCCGUUGGACUUUUCACCUUUUCUUUAGUGCUUUUGAUAACAAUGGAUAAAUUUUGAGAAAAAGUUUCAUGUGUUUGGCAAGUUAUGCAGUUGAUUGGAAAUUAGACAAACGAACUGACCAGUCAUGUGAACCCUUACUCCAAUAAAGUUUUGGCAGAGCUGGUGGGUACCUUAAAAGCCAAAUGCUUCUCAACCAAGUGUAAGAAAACUGACAUGUCCAAACAAAGUUUUGAAAACUUAUUUUUUGGAGUAGAUUAGGCAAAUCAAAUCAUGUAAUCCAAACAUAUUCAUUGUCUCACCAAACAGCUCUAGAAUACAAAUAGCAAUUUUUGAUAAAAAAAAAAUAACUGUCAUGCUUCCAAAUCUACAUAUACAAAUUCGGAACCAACAAUUUGUUUUGCAAAAAUGUCUGCUUAAUCAAAAUUAAAUUUUCUAAUAAUAUUUUGUUGAAUGACACUCUAAGUUGAAAGUCUGAAUUCUAACUUCCACCACCAACUAUAAUCCUUUGACAACUGCAAUCAUUUCAACUAACUAAAUUGAUAAAUUAUUACCAAAUCCUUUAACCAAAUAGUAAUGAUAUGUCUAGUUCCACGCCUAGCAAUCAUCUCAAACUCUAAUUACAUUAUCUAUUAUUUGGGACAAUAAAAAAGGAUAAAAAUAUAAAGUCAGAUAGAACCAGUUUAAAAAAAAGAUUCUGAAAUCUAAUUUUACAUUUCUUUUAUUCUCAGCUAUUAUUUGCUAAAAUUAAAAACCAUGAAAAUAAACUAUUUAUCAUGGAUACAAGAUAGUAAUUCAAAAUGAAGAGAUAUGAAAUAUUUUCUUCACAUCCUAAAUUGCUGACCCCAACAAUUAUUUUACACAUCAUUCAUCUUAUCCAGAAAUAUGCAUUUUUCACUAUUAAGAAACUUUAUACUAAUCAAAAUAUCAAAAUAUAAUUAUCUAUCCAUAAAUUAAGAGACUUUGAUUAAUUUUUAAUUCUACGAGCCUCACUAUUUCCUUGCAAAUCAUCGUUUACCUUAGACAUUUAUUUGCCAAAUUCUUGCUCUGCCAUUCUAAUGCUAUCACCCUAUAAUCAAAUAAUAAUUUUAAUAAAUAAAAUAUUAAAAUUGGAAUGAAUAUGUACAAUGGCAUUUAUUAUUUUACGAGAGAAAAAAUAGUUUUAGUUCUUUCAUUGUCAGCCUGAAGAUUCUUCAUAUAAUUACCACUCGCCCUCUUGUCAGCCUUAGGGAAUUUUUUUCAAAAACAAAAAAUGCCAAAAAGUAAUUUUAGAAUAAAUAAAAUAAAAACUGCAAAAAAAAUGUUUCCUUAGAUUUAGGGGGGAAAAAUAUUCACAGCAUCACAUACAUACUUCAACUUACCUAUUUUAGGGGGGGGGGAAAGGCUAGAUGAAGGAGGAAGCGACGAGAAAAAAAAAAAAGCAAAGGUUUCUAAUCAGGAGGAAAAAAAUGACAAAAAAAAAAUAUUACUACAUACCAGAGAAAGAUGGUAAGAGUAGAAGAUCAUGAAUCAUGAUUAGCAGACUAAGCAAGAAAGAAAAUAUCAAACCAUCCUUGACUUCCUGAAACAAAACCAUUUAGUUAGUUCAUUAUGGAUAAAAAUGAAAGAAAAUGCAUUAACUAAUCCAAUAGAGGAAAAAAGUAGAGUAAAUGAUUAGAAUGAAAAGCAAAAAAAAAAAAAAAAAGAAGGGAGUACAUAGUGGAAAAUAAAUGAGGAAGCUACAAUGUAGAUGAGGAUGUUUUAGUUGUCUUUAAGCAGGAAGGAGAAAGGAAAUAAGGUGAACAGAAAAAAACAGAAAAAAGAAAAAAAAAAAAUGAAGAUAGCUUCCUCAAAAGAAAAAUGUGUAAUGUGUCAAAAUGAAGGGGAACCACUUGGCAUUCAUUGAGGUUGCUACAAUAACUCUACUUUCUUCUUAUAAAAUAGACUAGAGGUAUUUGAACUGUGCAAAGCACAGUUUGGGCCCCUAGAAAUUUAGUCGAAUGCGGAUAAGGGGCAGGGACCUGAACAGUCAACGGCCAAAUUUUGGCCAAAAAAAUGUGCGGUCCAGAUUACAAGUUGUAUAUCAAUUUUCACAACGUGUGUGAGGCCCGUAAAUUUUUAUACUAAAGUUACACGUUGUGCAAACAAAGUUACGCUAUGUGCAAUCAAAGUUAUGCGCUGUGUAAAAUGACCAAAAUGCCCACAGCCGGUCGAAUGCAUAGCAUCAAAUUAUUUUGACACAUGAUGAAUGAAUAGAAAUAUAGGAGAAAUUUUUGAGCAUUAAAGCAAUUAAAUUUGACAAAUAUUAUUUGAACUCUCAUUUUUGUUAAUCAUACUUUCGUUAUUAUUUUUAUCGUAUAGUUUUUGUUUAUUGUAGGAACACAAUUAACACAAUAUGGAGUAUAAAUAAAAUUUCUCUCAAAAUUUGUUGUGAAGAGAAAUUCCAUCUAUGAAGUCAACCUCUCUAUUUAUUGUGAUUUGAAUAAAGAUUUUUGAACCACUAUGAUGAUGAUAUCCAAAAAGGAGAGAAACUUAAUACACUAUAAGUGCUUUGGUGUAUUAAUAGUAGUAUAGUUUUAGUUAAAACUAAAUCAAAAGCAGUCGUAAUACUUUUAGUACUUUAAUAAUGAGAAAAAGUUUAAAAAACUACUAAAACAUAGCACAAUCUUUAACAUCAAUAUAACUUACUAUAAACUUUCAUAUUUUUCUUUCUUCUGAUAGAAGAAUCCAGUUCAUCUAUUUAAAUUCUGCUAAAGGUGACAACAUUAUCCUGCAGCUCCUGAAUAUAAAUAGCAAAGUUAGAUAAAAAUAUGAAUUGCCAUGUUUCCUGGUCUACAUAUACAAAUUAGAAUUGAACUAUUUUUUUUAUUGCAAAAACAUCUUCCUAAUCAAAAUUGAAAUUUCUAACAAUUUUUUGUCAAGUCACACUCUAGGCCGAAAGCCUCAAUUGUGACUUCCACCACCGACUGCAAUCCUUGUAUACCAACCCAAUUCAUACUACAACACUUGAGUAAUUAAAAAACAAACAAAAAUUAACUUUAGUUUAAAUAUAUACAAAAUCUUAUUGGAUCCUUCAAUUAAAUUUAAUAGACCAUAAAGUAAUUGCAAAAAGAAAGAAAUGGCGAAAAACGGAGGUACAAGAAUGCCUAGCUAGAUUUAUCUUGGUGAAAAUAUCACAUGAUAUAUCUUUCUUCUAAACAAAUACACAAAAUUGUAGAUAAUUACAAAAUGUAACCAAAAACAAAGAAAAGGAAACAAAAUGUGAAGUAAGAAAUCAAAUCAUAGGAGAAGAAAAUAAAAGAAUGAAUUUUUGUUCUAUUAUUCAUAGAAAAUGAUCAUUUGUAUAAAAUGAAUUCUAAAUUUUUUUUUACAUAUUUUAAAAUUUCACCUUUUAUCCAUGAAGAACUACCAAAUAAAACAUCAUCCUAUAAAUUUAACAAACAAAUGCUAGUUGGCUAUAACAUUAUGAUAAAAAAAAAUAGAGCAAACAUGCGAGGUUAGAGAUGAAGAAAAAAGGAAGAAAAGAAAAUGUAAAAUGGGAUAAAAAAUAAUAAAGAAUUCUUUUUGCUAAGUAGUUAUCAUCUUGACAAAAAAAAAAAAAAGAACAUGGCAACAAUCUUAGUUAGAUUAGUUUUAAAAAAAUAAAAAAUAAAAAAUAAAAAAGGUGAGGGAUGACAGUAGUUACUGAAAGAAGAAAAAGAAGAGAUGGAGUUGAUUUUCUCAAGGAGAAAAAAUAUUUUAAUCCUUUAACCCAAUUGAGUCAAAAAAAGGGAAGGAAAAAUUCUGGUAAAAUAAUCAAAGGUCCACUUGUAAAAAAUAUAUACAAUACAUGUGUCAAAAAAAUGGUUAGCUACAGUAACUUGACUUUCUUUUAUAUACAAGGUAGAAAUAGAAAAUAGAAAAAUAGAUGUGUGUGUGUGUAUAUAUAUUCAUGAUAAAUUAAAUAAAAUUUAAAUAUAUAAAUGUCUAUACAAUAAUGGGUAGAUACUCCAUGUCAUUUUUGAACUUUUAAUUUUUCCUUAAAAAAAUUAAUUUUUAUUCUAACCACUUGAUCACAUUUGCUAAUAUAAUCCCUCACAACUCCUUAAAUAUUGUAACUAUUAAAUUAACUAUAACUGUAUUAAAGAAAAAUCACUAAUAAAUCACAAUACUUUCAUGAAGAAUUUAUAUAAAAUUUAAUUUUGUAAAAAAUUAAUAUACUCAUAAAAAUUAAUAAUUAUUUCUAAACUACACACACAUUAGAUAUGCUUUUAACAGUAGUAUUAAUAAGUGCUCAUCAUCUGUUAGAAAAUCCUUAUAGAAAUUCGAUCCCAAUAUUUAUAAAAAAUAUUUUCAGCACAUAGAUGUCACAUCAGGAGGGAAAUAUAUAUAAAAAAAAGGUAAAGAGUUGUUAGAUAUAGUUAAUAUAGCUCUCAAACUGUUAAAAUAACACAACUUGUUUGAUGUUCAUUUUGAGGUUAUAGAAUCCUGCUAAUACAAUUUAUAAAAUUUCAAUAGAUUAAAGAUUUUUUUGCACAAGAUGCGUGAUUUUUGUUCAAAGCUGUGUCAGUUAUCUAAAGUUAUCCGUGAAAUAAAAUCUGCAGCAUCUGUGUAUAAAAUUGGACUGUUAACUCCAGCUUGACAGUCAUAUAAAGUAAAGUUGCAAAAUAUAAAAAAAUUGUCUUGCAAUCAUUUGGCUAAACUUUAGAACUUCUAGUAUAACCUAAAAAGAGUUAGGGCACGCAGAAAUCACUAUUGAUCUUUGGGGGAAGAAAAAGUUAGCAAAAGUUAGAGGAAUUUUGCAGAUUAGAAAAAGGUCACAUAGUUAAGCCUGAAUGCUUCUUUAAUCCACCUGUGUUUCUUGGGCCCUGUUUGAUAACUUAAUUUGAUAUUUAAAUUUAAUAGAUUCACAUCUUCAUAUAUUUAAAGGCAUUUGAUAACUAAAAAUAGAACAUUUAAAUUAAUUAAAUGACAUUAAAUUUUAUCAAUAAAAACUUGCUUAUAAAAAUAAAUAAUAAAUUAUUCACUUAUCACUUAAUACAAAAUAUAUUCAAAUAUUAAUAUUUUAAAAUCUAAUAAUUCAAUAAAUUUUAAAUUUUAUCAAAUGCAGCGUUAGUUUUGCAAAUAGUAAUCAAAGACAAAGAUAAUAGUCCUUAAGCCUUGAGCUUCCGUGAAUCAAUAGGCUUGGCGGCUGGUUCAAAUCCUCUUAUUUCUUGCCUGAAAAUGAAGCAGUACUAGUCUUGCAAUGAAUUGUGAUCCCAUUGGACACGACACGCAAAAGUAGCUUCAUAGGUCGUAAAUACAUACCCCACGUGGAAAUUACAACAUUUUAAGGGAAAGAAGAUGCAGCAAAGCAGAAAUUUCAAUUUCAAAUACAGUCCCAAUGUUUUAGAGUCUCCUAAAAUUAGCUUUACUCUUCCAAUCUUUAUAAACUUCUCCCAUUUCUUUUGUGUUCUUUAACGUUCAUCAAUUAAUCGUUAUUUCUAUCACUCAAUUCAGCUAGUAAGAAUAUUUGCUAAUUGAGCAUGAGGUUCUUUAUUUGACUUUUAGCCACUCCUUUUGCUCUUAUGCUGAAUAAGAUUUGGAGUCUCCCUUAAGUGAAAAGGAGAAAUAAUCAUUUUUUGUUAGGUUAGAAAUAUUUGAUUUCUUUUUAAAUUUACAUUCGGGAUCUGUUUGAUAACUUUUUGAUAUUCACAUAAGGGAUCAAAUAUAUGUCUAAGAUAUACAAAAACCUUUUAAAAUGCAUUAAAUGCAUAUCUCUUCAUUCUAAAUUUAAAACUUUCAGUACAUUCAUAAUUUAUAAAAUCAGCAAUUAUGACUUACAUCAUUAAAAUUAAAACCUAUACAAAAUAUGCAUCUAUGAGGAAGGAGUGUGGAUUUAGCGUCUCUAAUCUUUUCUUUUAGCCAAAAAAGUAUGGAUAGCUCAUUAGUUAAAACAAAUUUAAUAGAUGGUGACCUUACUUAGACAACCAUUUUGUUAAGGACUCCACUUCUUCGCCAUAAACAUAUUACCAAUAUUUAGAGAAGUAAAGGGAUUGAAAAUUGGUAUUUUGAGAAAUCUUUACAACCAUACAUCUUUUAAUAAGUUGUAAUUUUGGGGCAGAACUUCCGAAAUCCUAAACUUGACAAACUUGGGAGCAAUUUAGGGAAGACAAAUAAUUUAUUUAUUUUGAAUAGAUACGAGAGCAGAUACAAAUAGAGUAUUUCGUGUACCAGUCAAUUAGAAAAAGAAAUACAACUAAGUAUUUUUACGAGUUAAACAUAAGACAUUAAAAUUUCAACUUAAAUAGGGAUACGCCAUAAUCACCAUUAACCAGAACUAGAAAAGAUUUUCUUUCUCGACUUAGGACAGAGAUCUCUCUGUUUUAAGAGAAGAUAGCAACUUUGCAGAUCGCUUUCUUGGGUUUUAGAUUCAAGGUUGGUAAAAGCACAUUUCUGCUUGAUCCAAUUCUAAAGAACAGGGUUGCAGAAGCCACUGGAAUAGAGGGAAUUGCAAAGAUGAAUAUAUUCAGAUUAGCGGGAGAUAUGACCCAUUUGGCCAGGGAAUUGCAAAGAUGAAUAUAUGCAGAUCGCUGUUCACGUUAAGAUUUAACUAUUUCUGAGGCAAUGAGGUAACUUGGGAACUGGGUUUUGGUAUAUUUUAUGCGGGUUUGGUUUAAAUGGGAAGAUAGUGGUUGAUGGUAGCUUAAACACGAAGAAGUUUGCUGGAUUUGAUGAAAAAGCUGUGAUUUUUGUAAUCAAGUGAUUUGAGGUCAGUGAGGGUAAAGAUUGUUUCUUUUUCUCAGAUUUUAAGGUUAUUUUGUGCAGUGCUUGGUAGUGGUUAGUGUAUUCUUGUUGGGUAUUGAGAAGGUUUCGGAGUUUAAGCUGGAAGUAUGUUUUAAGAAAGGUAGGAUAACGUAUUGUUUUUGGAGUUUAGAUGAAAAUGCAUUGGAAAUAACAUUGGAACUACAAAUAGCUGCGAUAGGUGCAAAAUGCUAAUAAUUGUUUAUCUGGUGAUAUUUGCAAUAACGUGCUGAUUGAAUUCAUCUGGGGGACUCUUGGAAUUCAUGAACAGCUAAUAAAGACACUUUGACAUGUUACCGAGGUCUUAAAUGUAAAAAUGAUUUCUUUUAGGUCUAAGACGAUUUGAUAGUACUUUUACUAGUUGCUAAUCCAUAUAGCAAGCAGUUGGGUCAUGUUAAUCAUUUUUUGGGGCGAGUUCAGUUGUUGCUAUGUUGACCUUCAAAAGUUCUGAUUGCUCCUCCAACCUCCAACACACACCUGUAGACAUACUUGUCCCAAUUAACCAAUGCAAAGGAAGACCACAAAAAGAAAUUGAAAAAAGUCAAGAAAGAUUAAAAAUUUACAUGUUUCAUUCAACUUUUCAGUUACAUAUUUUUUGGUGCAUCUUACUUUUUGGGAUGUAGUUAUUUUCUAGCUUUUGUUUUCCUAUUUUUCAUUUUACAUCAAUUAUUUGCCAAUCAUAGAAUCCUUUUUUUACUUCAGUUCUCAUAUCACUAUUUUUCUAUCUCCUGAAUUCAAUUUGCCUUUUGGAUUAUAUGCUUGUUCAGGAAUGCGUCCCUUCUGAAAUGUAUAAGUCAUGAGGUUCCAUUUUCUGCUUGGCCUUCACUUAGCUGCCUCAAAUAGGGCCUGGAAAGAAAGUGGCUUUUGAGGAACUAAAACAAGCACAAUUGUUGUUUUUGUAAUGCACAGAGGAUUACUUUGCUUGAUAGUUAAGUUUAUCAUUCUUUACAAUGCGUUUCAUAGACAUAGUGUUAAAGAGCUGGUAAAAUGCCACAGAAAAGAGUUGGUAGAAUGACAAAAAAAUAUGUUGUAAAUUGUUACCUAGAGUAAUGUCUACAUUUUAUCAGAAAGAUAUGUACUGUACAGUAUAAAGCAAGUUUCGAUCCUUUGAAAGCUGUGAAUUGGAUACAGUGACUGCUAUCUCUUUAUUCCCUCAUUUCCAGUUUUUCGUUCUCUUCUUCCUUUGGUAUUCUAAAAAGUUAGGUAGAUUUUUAAGGAAACAUUGCAUGCCAGAGAUGAGAUCAGUUCGGAUGUACUAUAUAUGAGUUAGAAUUUAAUUGGAGUGUGAUAUGGAAUAUUGAUUUUUGUUCUCUGUUGUCAGAGAGGUCCAAUCAUGCCAAGAAGCAAAAGAUAAACUGUGUGCAGAAGGAAUUUACUAUGUGGUUAGGACAAAUGUACUUCUCAUGAAUCCAUUAUUGUUUAGAGAGGUAAACGUGAGAUACCUGAGACUAUCAAGAAUUCCAUUAUUGCUUCAGAUGAAUUUUUCGCUCUUUAAGUUGACAGUAAAGUCAAAACUUUAAUUUUUCCAUGAACAAGAUAUGCAUGUGUUCUUUUUUUACACAAGGAAAGUAUCGUUGUGUCGAAAAGUCAAUUUAAGCCCGUUGCAUGGAACAUGUCUUGUUGGAAUUUGGAACUGGAUCUACAUGCCUGCUACAUUCCACAAGGCAUUUGCAACUCUGCAUUUUAUGCUGCAGUUUGUUAUUAUCAUGCUUCUUCUGGUUCCCUUAUCAUAUAUUUGCUGAUUGUUGCCAUCCUACAAAAUGUGCAGGCAUUUCUUUGAAGACCCAAGAGCUCUAUGCUAUUGUCUUUGCUACUCGUUACUUGGACAUAUUUACAGACUAUAUCUCCCUAUACAAUACCAUAAUGAAGUUAAUAUUCUUGGGAAGCUCUUUCUCAAUUGUCUGGUACAUGAGGCAUCACAAGGUUGUCCGGAGAUCUUACGAUAGGGAUCAGGACACAUUUCGCCAUCUUUUCCUUGUGCUACCAUGUUUGCUUUUGGCUCUGGUUAUACAUGAAAAGUUUACUUUAAGGAGGUAUUGGUGCUUCCAUUUUGCCAUUAACAUGUGAUAAUGUUAGAAUUCUUGUAUCCGGUGAAGAUGUUUUCUUCUUGGUAACUAGACAUAUAUGUGUGUGUCUUCCGCUUUCACUGUAUGUCACUAUAUAAUUUUGCUUGAUAUGUGACCUCAGGUAAUGUGGGCCUUUUCCAUAUUCUUGGAAGCUGUUGCCAUCCUUCCUCAGCUGGUCUUGUUGCAAAGGACAAGAAAUAUUGACAACCUGACUGGGCAAUAUGUUUUUCUUCUUGGGUAAUAUAGCAUUCUCAAAUUCCCAUUUAUGAUAGUUAAAGCUGUACCUAUUGUUUUAUCUGGAAAAUUGUCAUUGUCUCUUUAUAUCUUUAGGUGUAUCUUGUGCUGGUCAGUUGUUUCAUUGAGGUUGAGCGGAUUAGCUGCUAUUGGUCUUGCUAAGACACAAUUUUUUUUGGGGCUCUAAAUUUGUUGAGAAAUUCAUGUGUAGAUGAUCUUCACUUAAAUGAAGUACAUACAUCUAAAUGUUUGUCAAACUACUAGUGCUUCUGACUUUUUAUGUGCAUUGCAAUUAUACAAAUGGCCAUACAGAAAUGAAGUUGAGUUUUUUUUUUUCUUUUUUCCUUGUGAGAGGCUUUCUGAUCUCUUAUUUUACUUGUUGUCUUGAAUUUUAUCUUUUUUUGAAGUUCAGGUUAAAACCUAGCUUAUGGUCUUCUUCUGUUUCAGAGCUUAUCGAAGCUUAUACAUUCUGAACUGGAUUUACCGCUAUUUCACUGAGCCACACUAUGUCCACUGGAUAAGUAUGUCUCUCUUUCUCUCCCUCGCUCUUUUCCUGUGUUUGUCAUAACAUGUCCAAGCACAAGCUCUAACCAUAGCUUGCUUGAUUGCAUUUCAGUAGGGUUUUUAUGUUUCUCUGUUUAUGAAAAGCUAACACUUUUCUGAUGGUUUAUUCCUGGCAGCUUGGGUAGCAGGGCUUGUUCAGACUGCACUUUACGCUGAUUUCUUCUAUUAUUACUUCCAAAGGUGAAAUUCCAGCUGAGGCAUUUACCUGUAAGCUUGUUUGAUGUUUGACAGGGAAAAUAACUUGACUCUUUCUUUUGAAUUGCUGCAGUUGGAAGAAUAAUGUAAAACUAGAGCUGCCAGCUUGAGGGCCUUUUUGACAAAGAUGUUGGCUGCUCAAAAACUUAGUGAAGCAAACACUAUUUGAUGUCGAGACAUUUCAAUUUUGUGCUGUCUCCUCUCGUAGGGGCUAGUAGACCUGUCAAGAAGCAAUAGUUCUAAAAGUUCUUUUCCCCAUCUCUCUGGCUUGUCAAGUGAUUGAUACAUCAAUGUAUGCAAGAUAAAACCUUUAUUUGUCACUUGCAUGAUACUUGAGGAAUACUAGCACAUUCUUUCUUUAAUGGUCAGUUUGACAAGCAUUCUGGAUUCAGAAUGGCUCAGUGCCCCCUCUAUCCCUGCAUCUGUAUUCCAACUUUAAUGGUAACUGCAGUUCAAACUACACACACACACAACAACCCCCCCCCCCCCCUUCCCGGGCGCUGCGGGGCAGGGCCUACAAUAAAAAAGGUUUGAAAUGAGUAAAUGCAGUGUUGUUUUCUACAGUAAGAGGAGAGGAAAAGAAGGAUGUUGGCUCUGUUAUCCCCAAGGUUGAUAUUGUGUAAAUUCGCUUGUGGCCAUAACCAAACUGAGUACUCAGUACUGUUACGAGUUUCUUACAGUUUAGCAAUCUUAAUAUUUUAUUUCUAUGUCUAUCACUUGGGGUGAAACAUUGCAGUUGAAAUCAACGCCUAGUUUGGUAGUUUGGAAGAGAAAAAGAAGGGAAAAAAAAGCUGUGGUUUGGUAUUAUAGUAAAAUCUUGUCUUGGAGUUUAGGAAGAUAACGAGGUUUCUUAGCAAAUGUCAUGUUUCUUCUUCUUCAAUCUUUCAUGCGUGAAGUUAUCAUUGCUGUCUUCAAUCUUGAAGAACCCAAAUUUCCAUUUCUCUUCUUUUCUUCCUUAAUGACAAGAAGCAAAAUUGUUCCAAGGUGUGUUUCUUUGUGAAGUAACUAGACCUAGGAAUUUUUUUUUUCAGGGUCCUUGGAGCCAAAAUUUGUCUAAUACUAAAUUAAUCACAGUUGAAAUUAAGUAAUCAAGCUCAAGUUCGGCUUAAACUUCCUCGUGUAAUUUUCACUUUGAACUUUCCCUGACUUGAUGAAAAGUUUUAAAUACUCUAGUGAUUGCAAGCAUGAACGUUUGGAUCAACUUAUAUUGCUUGUGAUUCCAAUUAGAUUUACAUGUUUUGAUUGCUUUUCAUGCAUUCUUAUCUGCAAAAAUUAUUUCGGGAUGCUAUAUAAGUAACAUGUAAUCUUUUAUGCUUGCAAAAUUUUGAUUGCUUAAUCUGUCCAUGCAUAUAUCUUGUUCACUUUUUUUUUUGUUAGAAAUUAAAUAUUAGGUGUUCUUAAUAAUUCUUAAACGUUGUACAAGUGGGCAUAAGUGCACUUGAAUACAUGUUUAUCAAACAAUAAAUGUUCAGUUGGCUUCAUGCUUCGUAUUGCACUCCUUACUUUAUUGUUUGAACUUGAACUCAAACUCAAUUAUAAUUAAACCGAUUUAUCUUCGAACAAGUCGAGUACUAAGUAGCUCAUAUUCACAAUGGAUGAUUGAGUAAUCAACUCAAUAUAUCUUACAAUCAUUUGAGCAUUAAGCAACUAAUAUUUUCAAUGGAUUGAUUGAAAAUCUAUACGAAAUAAUCCUUACGCAUUCAUUCUUGUAACCAAAAAAAAAAAGAGUAAUGCCUUUUUUGAAGGGUUUGCAAGAGAAUUUGCAGCAGUUUGAAGCUCAUAACUGUAUUUCUUUUUUUUUUUUUUUUUGUUAUGAAACAAGAAAACAAUUUUGUUGUUAACCAUCCUCUUCUCAAUAGAGAUUUCUUUUCUUUUCUUUUCUGUUUUCCGUACAAUGGAGGGCUGGCAGCCCAUUAGCUUAGGACAAGUCUCAGGGUAACUACCUCGACAAUGUCCUUUGCCAAAAUAUUCCUAACCCCAUCAGGUGGGUCCUGCAAAAUUGUAAACCUCAUCUCCCCCUCAAGACUGCACUUGGCCAGAUAAUCUGCAACUCUAGUUCCUUCUCUUCAUGUGUGUGUCAGUUUACACUCCCAACUUCUAUUCAAUAACUCUAUAAUUUUCCUGACUAAGUUUGAAUGUAGCCCUUUUUUGCAGUCCUCUUUAACUAGCAUCACACUUGUAAGGGAGUCAGUUUCCACGUGCACACAGCUUAUCCGUUCUUCCCAGGCCAAUUCCAUCCCUCAGACAAUGCCUCAUAACUCAGCAAUUAUGUUGCUUGCAAUUCCCAAGUUGAUGCAAAAGCCCUGCUUCCACACCCCCGUUUCAUCCCUAAUGACAUCUCCUGCUCCUGCAACUCCAGAUCGACCGGUGGAUGCACAUCAAUAUUCACCUUUAUCCAUCCUGUCAUUGGUUUCUCCCAACAUAUUCCUCUCUAUUCAAAUGAGUUCCUGUUUCUCCCUAUCUUGAGUACCUCUUGUUCCUCCUUGAUCAUGUUCAUUAGCUUAUUCCAUGGCAUUCAAGUUGUUGGUAAUCUCCUUCUGCAUUGACUUUAUUCGCUGACCAGGCAUAAUACACUAUAUGUUAAAAUGCAACUUGCUAGCAAAUAUCUUCCCUUCUUCCCACAGUUUUGGACUUGAGGUUCCAAUCUAUCCAUUUUACCAAUGGCAGAGAUACAAAAGUUUCCUAUUUGUCCUCAUCUACUAUACUUCUCCAUGAAUUUUGGACCCAUUGACAGUCUUGCAAUGCAUGCAAGAUGUCCUCUUUCUGAUUCUAGCAUAUUGGACAUGCGCCAUCACGAUGAAGAUGUCUUCUCCAUUUCUCUUCAUUAGUAAGUAAUCUUCCAUGCCUUGCUAACCAAAGUAGAAACUGCCAACGACCUAGCCCCUUCUGUUUCCAAACAUUUGUCCACCCUUUAUCCUCUUGGUGCUCCUAUUCUUCCGUAUGGCGUACUAGACUGUAGGCUGAUGAAGUUGUAAAACACCCUCUAUUAUCUAGACUCCAAGACAUUAUAUCCGGUUGUUUCCUGGAACUAUACAAAGGGGAUUUAGUUUCUUCAAGUAUUCCUCAGGCAGUAUUUGUCUUAACUUCCCUAAAUUCCAUCCUUCAUCAUCUACCCAGUAAUCUAUUACCUUCUUCUCUUUCUCCUCCUCAGGUAUCAAUAUCUAUGCAACUUCUACUAGACUGACAUCUUCUAACCAUUUGUCCUCCCAGAACUUAAUACUCUCCCCAUUUCCAAUUCUCCAUUUUAUCCUUUUACUUAUAACUUCAUUUCCCAUACACUGGUCCUUCCAGAUCCUUGAUGCACCCUGCUUGUAUGCCAUCUGAAUGUUGACUUCCUCCUGGCCCAAUUGGUACUUACUCUUGAGUACUCUACUCCAAAGUUCCUCUAGAUUGGUCCGAUACCUCCAGUUCAAUUUCUCCAGCAAAGCUCUGUUCAUCUUCUCCAGACUCCUUAUACCUAGACCACCAUCCCUUUUCCAUUUCGUCACCGUUCCCUAUCCAACAUGAUGCAUUUUCUUUUUUCCUUCAUUGUCUCCCCAUAGGAAUCUCCUUACACAUUUUUUUUGUUUCCUCCACCACCGCUAGUGGUACUACUGCUGUUUGCAUUAGAUAAUUUGGGAUGGCAGUUAGUACAACAUUAGCCAACACUAGUCUUGCAGCACAUGACAAACACUUACUCUUCCAUCCAACAAUUUCUAGAUCUCGUGCACAUUGUCCAAUAGCUCAGAAUAUGUAUCCUUCUUAAUUCUCCCAUGAAUGAUUGGGACUCCAAGGUACUUCCCUAGAUUCUUGGUCCAUGGCACCCCUGUGGUCUAACUAAUCUUUCGCGCCUCACUUCUUGGUACAUUCUCAAAGCAGAACAAUUUCGAUUUAGCGGCGUUCACUUUUUGGCCUGAUAUCUCACAGAAGAUCCUCAUUAUCCUUUCCACCACAACUGCUUGUUUUAUUGAGGCUUCUACAAAUAAUAAUAAGUCGUCAGCAAACAAUAGAUGGGAGAUUUUAGGUCCAGAUCUUGAUGCCUUGACUGGUUUCCAGCUCCCUUUCUCUAUUGCCUCCUCAAUCUAAUGACAGAGCCUUUCCAUGCAUAAUACAAACAAAUAUGGGGAUAAUGGAUCCCCUUGCCUCAGACCCUGAGUAGGUUGGAUGGCCUUUGUCCUUUUCCCAUUCUAUAGCACCUCGAUUUUGGGCACUCUCACACAGCUCAUUAUCAGAUGGAUGAUAUUUGGGGGAGGCCCUGCCCUCUACAAAGUAUCUUCCAGAAAAUCCCAUUUAAUUCGAUCGUACGCCUUCUCAAGAUCCACUUUUACCACCAUUAUUCCCUUUCGUCCUCUUAGUCUUCUUGUUGUGUAGAGGAUCUCCUAACUAUAGUGAUGUUGUCUCCAGUUUGCCUGUCAGGUAUAAAGCUCCCUUACGCUGGACCUAUUAGCUUCCCUAUAAGUUGUCUUAUUAUCUAAACAAGCACUUUUGUUAUGAAUUUGUAUGUUACAUUACACAAAGAAAUAGGCCUAAACUGAUAAAUUUUUUCCGGAGACUUCACUUUAGGUUUUAGUGUUAUAAGUGUACCAUUAAUGCCCUCAGGUACUCUUCUUUCCAUAAGCACUUGCUUCACGAACCUAACCACUGACUUUCCCACUAUCCCCCAACCUUUCUGGGAGAAAAACACAUUUAUACCGUCUGGCCCCGGCGCCUUUGACUUCCCCAUACUGAACACUGCCUCUUUCACUUCAUCAGGACCCACCUUUGUUCCCACUAGCUCCAUCCUUUUCUUGUCUAUUCUUGGGAAUUGCUGAGUGCAUGGAUUUGCCUUUCUUUUAACUCCUUCUCCUGUGUAUAAAGUAGUACAGAAUUGAACCACCAUUUGUUUUAGAGUCUCACUAUCUGCCUGCUACUUUCCAAACUCAUCUUUUAGACAUGCUACUGUAUUCUUUCUCCUUCUAACAAUUGCUGUGGUAUGAAAAUAUUUUGUGUUUCUCUCCCCAUACAAAGUCCAAUUAGUCCUGGCUUUUUGAUACCAGAAUAACUCCUCUUGCUCCAAUAUGAGAUUAUACUCUUAUCAAUUUGUUCUCCAAUUUCUCUAUGGCUCUACUAUAUCCUUACGCCAACUCUCUCUGUACUCCUUUCAAUCGGGCAAUACACCUUCUUUUCCUUUUGAUUAUAUUACCAAAAAACUCCCCUAUUCCAUGUUUGAAUAUUCUCCUAAACAUUGAAAACUGUCCCUUGAAAUUGUUUUGCCCCAUUCCAAGCUUUCCUAACCUCAUCCCAAAAUCCCCCAUGCGUUAGCUAGGCCAUUUCCAUCCUAAACACAUUCUUCCUCCUUGCAAGUUUUUCCUUGUCUAAUUCUAGCAUAAUAGGGUGGUGAUCUGAGUGAGCUCUAGCUAGAUGCCUUACAUGGGCCUCUAGAAACUUUUGCCUAUAUAUAUAUCACUAGAGGUACCUCGGCUGUGCAACGCACAGCCAGGGCCCUUUAGAACAUUAGUUAAAUACAUAAUAACAAAUGUUUUAGUACAUAAUGAAUAGAAAUAUAGGAAAAAAAUGAAGUAUAAAAACAAUUAAAAUUUGCUGUGAAAAGAAAUUUCAUAUAUAAAGUUAACCCCAAUUUAUUGUGAUUUGGAGAAAAAAAUUUUAACCAAUAUUAUGUGUACGUAAUGAUACCAAAAAAUAAAAGAAAGCAAAUCCAUUAUAAGUGCAUUAUCGGUUUAAUAGCAGCAUAGUUUUAGUUGUAAUUAAAUAAAGAGUAGUCAUAAUGUUUCUAACAUUUUAAUAAUUAGAAAAAAUAUAGAAAGCCACAAAAACCUGUCACUAUCUUCAACAUCAAUAAAAAAUAUACAAACUUGCAUAUUUUUCUUUCUUUUUUGAGAGAAAGAACGAGUUAAUCUAUCCAUUUAAAUCAUGUCUAAUAGCAUUACAAAUAGAUGAAAACACUAUCUAACCAAAUAGUUAUAGAAUACAUAUAGCAAGUUUAAAUAAAAACAUGAAUUGCCAUAUUUGUAAAACUACAUAUGCAAAUUCAAAUCCAACAAUUUGUUUGAUUGCAAAUAUGUCUUCUUAAUCAAAACAGAAUUUUCUAAUAAUAUUUUGUAGAGUGACACUCUAAGCUAAAAUCCUCAAUACUAACUUCCCACCAAAUGCAUUCCUUUGAAAACUGCAAUUGUUUUAUCUAGUCAAAUUGACAAAAAAUUAUUAACUUCUUUAGCCAAAUAGUAAUAAUAUGUCCAGUUUUAUGCCUAACAAUCAUCUCAAACUCUAAUUACAUUAUCUAUCAUUAUGGGCAAUAGAAAGGGAUAAGAGUACAAAGUCAUAUAGAACCAGUUUAAGUAAAAGAUUCUGAAAUCUAAUUUUGCACUUCUUUUAUUUCCAAACUAUCAUUUGCUAAAAUUAAAACCAUGAAAAUAAACUACCUAUUAUGGAUACAAGUUAGUCAUUCAAAAUGUUGAAUGAAGAGGUAUAAAAUAUUAACUUCACAUUCUAAAUUGCUAGCCCCAACAAUUAUUUUACCCGUCACCCAUCUUAUCCAGUUUAUAAGCACUUUUCACAAUUAAUAAACUUUAUAUAAAUUAAAAUAUAAUUACCUAUCCAUAAAUUAAGAGAUUCUGGUUAAUUUUUAAUUUAAUAGGCAUCAUUUUUUCUUCCUGGUCAUCGUUUACCUUGGAUUUUCAUUUAUUAGAUUUUUUUCUCCUCUACUAUAGUACUAUCACCCUAUUAUCAAAUAACAAUUUUAAUAAAUAAAAAAUUAGAAUCAGAAUGAAUCUGCAUAAUGGUGUUAUUUAUUUUAUGAGGGAAAAGUAGUUACAAUUCUUUCAUUGUUAGCCUAAAAAUUCUUCAUGUAAUCACCACCCGUCUUGUUGUCAGCCUUUUCCAAAAAUAAAAAGAUCAAAAAGUAGUUUCAGAAUAAAUAAAAUAUAAAAAACUAAAAAAUGUUUCUUUAGAUUUGGGAAAAAAUAUUCACAGCAUCACAUACCUAUUUUGGGCAGAAAAGAAAGUCAGAUGAAGAAGAAAUAGGUGAGAAAAGCAAUAAGCAAAGAUUGCUGAUCAAGACGCAAAAAAUGACAAAAAAAAUAUCAAAUAGUAUAUACCAAAAAUAGAUAUUAAAAGUAGAAGAUCAUGAAUUAUAAUUAUUGGACUAUGGAAGAAAGGAAAUAUCAAACCCAUUCUUGAUCUCCGAUAAUGAAAUCAUUCAUUUAGUUAAUUAUGGACAAAAAUGAAAGAAAAUGCAUCAACUAAUUCAAUAGAGAAAAAAUAUAAUAAAUGAUUAAUUAGGAUGAUAGGGGAAAAAAAUGGAAUACAAAGUGGAAACAAAAUAAUAAAUCUGCAGUGUACAUGAGGAUUUGUUUAAUUAUCUUUAAUCAAAAAGAAGAAAGGAAAUAAAGUGAACAAAAGAAAAAACAAAGCAAAAUGAAGAAAAGAAAAGGAAUGGGCCACGUGUCAAAAUGAGAGGGAUCCACUUGGCAAUCAUUGGAGUUGCUAUAGUAACAGAAAGGAAAUAUCAAACCCAUUCUUGAUCUCUAAUAAUGAAAUCAUUCAUUUAGUUAAUUAUGGACAAAAAUGAAAGAAAAUGCAUCAACUAAUCCAAUAGAGAAAAAAUAUAAUAAAUGAUUAAUUAGGAUGAUAGGGGAAAAAAUGGAGUACAAAGUGGAAACUAAAUAAUAAAUCUGCAGUGUACAUGAGGAUUUGUUUAAUUAUUUUUAAUCAAAAAAAAGAAAGGAAAUAAAGUGAACAAAAGAAAAAACAAAGCAAAAUGAAGAAAAGAAAAGGAAUGAGCCACGUGUCAAAAUGAGAGGGAUCCACUUGGCAAUCAUUGGAGUUGCUAUUGUAACUCCACUUUCUUCUUAUAUAAUAGGUAGAUUACAUAAUGCAUGGUCUAACUUCUCCCUAAUGUUAGAUCCUCCUUUCCUUGAAUUUGUCCAAGUGAUUGCUGGGCCGGAAGAACCCAAGUCAAUCAAGUUACAAGCAUGUAUGCAAUCCAAAAGUCCAUGUCUUUUUCUCUUCCAGAAAGAAGUUUCUCCUUUUUUCUCUUGGUUCGAUGUUGUCUCAUUCAUAUCUCCAAUCACCAACCAUGGAAACUUUAUAGUGGAACUUAUUCUUUGCAUAUAAUCCCAUAACCUAAGCCUUUCAGUCUGUUCGGGAGAUACAUAGAUUGCUGACAAUAGCCAACUUGAAUCAUCACCUCUCCUCACUAACACAUUUAAGAUUUGCUUAUCUUUAGUUAUCUCCUCCACUCUAGUUUUUUUCUUAUUUCAGAACAUCCAUAUUCCCCCUGAGUAUCCGUUGGCGUCUAUGCACUCUUUCUGAUCAAACUUCCAACAUUUCUGGAUUUUCUCAACUUGAUCAUUAUGACUGCGAUUUUCUACCAAAAUCAGCAUAUCUAGUUUAUGGUCUUUCAAUAUCUCUUUUAGAUUACAUCUAAGUCUCCUAUUUGCCGUGCCUCUUCCAUUCCAACAGAUUGCCUUCAUCAUUACGUAUGUAGGUGUUUCGGCAUUAAUGCCCUAUAACCAUGGCCUCCUCACCCAACUGUGUCUUCGGGGCCAUUCUGGGUCCUUUAUCCCCUCGCGCGAGUCAAUAGAUUCCUUUAUACUGAUUUGACCCCCAGUCUCUUGGUCCUCAUCACCUUUCUCUAGCCUUCCUCCUUUUUUGCUACCCCCUUAUUCUCUUCUGACUCCAUUCCUUCAAAUUCUGACUUAGAUAUGGUGGGGUUGUAGUGGGAUUGUUUCUCCGUCCUUUCCCAAUUUGUAGCAAAGGGUGUCCCCAGUUCAACAUCUCAUACACACUUGCUGGGUUAACCCCUCUAGCCUGCUCUUGUCCUCUAUUCUCAGCUAUAUGCACCUGCCUAGCUUCAAUAGGCAUCUGUAGUUUAAGUCGCCUUGCUGACUCUAAACCAUUAACCCCUUUAUCCUUUGACUUCUUCACACUCUUGCUCCUCUGAAAACCCCAGUUUUACCAAGCUCCCUGUAGUGCUGCUCUUUCCCUUAGUAGCCCUUUUCCUCAAACCUUGCCCUCUGUUACCUUCAUCUCCUUUGAACGCCAUGUCUACCAUGGUCCUCGGUAUAGCAAACAAUUUUUUCUUCAUUACUUCUAUUGUAUCCUCUUUUUCUGAUUCCUCCGAUGCUUCAUUCUCUAUGUCCAACAAUCUGAAUCUAGAGCCACUAACACUAUCUAUAGGUUCUUUAUCCUUGAUGACCUUUCUCCUAUAUCUCUUUGUUCAUUUCGGCCCUCUUGCCUACCUACUUUCCCUGUACUCCGAGUCCGCCCUUUUCCUUCUUGUCACAACACAUAAUCUAUAAUAAUUCACCACUCCCUUUAACAUUUGCAUAACACAUAAUCUAUAAUAUUUAUAAGAGUAGAAACUUAACAAACUAUUUACAAAAAUACUCUUACUAAUUUAUUAUUUACAAGAAUACUUAUAUUCUCUUAAUACUCCCUCUCAAGUUGGAGCAUAUAUAUCUAAACACCCAACUUGUCACAGAUGUAUUUCACCCUAAAAUCCCCUAAACUCUUAAUAAAUAAAUCAACCAAUUGAUCUACAGACGGUAUAUGAGAUGUCUUAAUGACUCUAUAUAUUGAGUACAUAUUUCCUUUGAUAUAAAUAAAUCUCAUUUUUAGAUCGACAUAACUCAAUGCCUAGAAAAUAAUACUGUAAAUAACCUAAAUCCUUUGUCUGAAAGUUUGCCUGCAAAUUGGAUUUAAGUUUCUGGAUCUCCACAACAUCAUUACUUGUAAUCACAAUAUCAUCCAUAUAAAUAAUUAAUAAAAUUUUACCAGCAUUAGAAUGUCGAUAAAAUACAGAGUGAUCUACUCCACAUCUUGUCAGAUCGAACUCCAUGAUAACACUACUAAAUCGGCCAAAUCAAGCCCUAGGAGACUGUUUCAAUCCAUAUAAGAAUUUUUUCAAACGACAAACCAAUCGCGAAUUCUCCUCCUGAACAACAAAGUCAAGAGGUUGUUCCAUAUAUACAUCUUCUUCCAAAUCUCCAUGUAAAAAAAAUAUAUUUCUCAUAUCCAACUGAUGCAACGGCCAAUUAUAAGUUGCUGCCAAAGAGAUAAGAAGAUGAACUGAGAUAAUCUUUGCAAUAGAAAAAAAUGUUUCUAAGUAGUUUAUUUCAUACACUUGAGUAAAUCCUUUAGCUACCAGAUGAGUCUUCAAUCGAUCAAUAAAAUCAUUAGAUUGCACUUUUAUAGUGUACACCCAUUUACAACCAACAAUAGCCUUACCAGAAGGAAAAGGGAUAAAAUCCCAAGUUCCAUUUUAUUCCAAAGCAGACAUCUCUUCUUGCAUAGCUAAUCUCUAACCAGGAUGAUUAAGAACAUGGGUAAUAGACUUAGGAAUGGAGACAGAAUCAAGUGAAACAACAAAAGAAGAAUAUGAUAUAGAGAGACGAGAAUAAGAAACAAAAUUAGAAAUAAGAUGAGAAGUACAAUGCCUCUACUUUUGCGUAGAGCAAUAGGAAGAUCUAACUCACAGGAGGGCGUCAUACCUGGAUUUGAAAAUCGAGAGUUAAUUGAUGAAGUGCGUGGCAUAGCAGGAGUUUUCUUAACCAUGGAACGACGAGAAUAAACUUGAAAGUUAGGACGAGAUAACCGUGUUAUGGAAUCUAGUGGACUACAUAACUCAGGUAAUAAAGAGAAAGGAACUGGUAAAACAAGAGAGGAAAAAGAGGGGCACUAGUCUGACUCACAAGGCAUACCGUAUUUCAUAAAAUAUGGAGUGGAUUAAAAAACAAAACAUCAACAUAAAUAAAAAAUCGAUUUAAAAUUGGACUGUAACAUAUAUACCCUUUUUGCGCUCGUGCGUAUCCCAAGAAAAUACAUUUAAUAGCACAAGAAUCUAAUUUAUCCACCAUGGAAACAAGCUGAUGAACAAAACACACACAUCCAAAAAUACGAUGAGGUAAUUUAAACGCAGGUUCAUGAGAAAAAAGAAUGGAGUGAAGUAAUUGGCCUCCAAGGAUAUUAGAUGGCAUGCGAUUAAUUAAAUAACAUGCAGUUAGACUGCAUCACUCCAAAAUUGUUUGGACACAUUCAUGUGCAACAAAAGUGUCCGAGUAACCUCGAUUAAAUGUCCAAUUUUUUUUUCAACAACUCCAUUCUGUUGUGGAGAGAACAAAAGAACUGAUGAAUAAUACCGGACUUAAUCAUAAAGAUAUUAAAAAGAGAAAAAAUAUUCUUUCGUAUUAUCAUUGCGAAGUAUACGUAUAGACACACCAAAUUGAUUCUUUAUUUCUGUAACAAAUGUACAAAAAAUGGAAUAUAGUUCUGAAUAAUUUUUCAUUAAAUAAAGUCAUGUAACUCUUGAAAAAUCAUCAACAAAGAUUAUAAAAUAUUUAAAACCUAACUUUGAAGUGACUUGACUAGAACCUCAAACAUCAAAAUGAACUAACAAAAAGGGUUCAGAAACCCGUUUAUUGACUCUAGGAGCAAAAGAAACACGAUGAUACUUUUCUAACUGACAAGACUCACAUUCUAACGAAAACAAUUGACUCAAAGUAUGAACCAAUUUUUUCAAAUUUUGUAAAGAUGAAUGACUUAAACUACAGUGAAUUUGAAGCGGAGAAACAGUAACAGGACAUGCAAUCGAACUAUUGGAGUUGAGAAAAUAAAGACCAUUAUACUCAUCCCUCCACCAAUCGUCCUCUUUGUCUUCAAAUCCUGAAUGACAACAAAAUCAGGAAAAAAUAAUUGAACACUGUAGAGAUUUAGUGAACUUAUUAACAGACAUUAGAUUAAAGGGCAAAUUGGAUACGUAAAGAACAGGAGACAGCGGAAGAGAUGAGUUAAUUUCUACAGUGUGCCUAGUCCUUUAAUUUUAGUGGUAGAUCCAUCAGUUAAAGUAACAUGAGAAAAGAAGUAGACUUUUGAAAAUUAGAAAAAUUUUUAGAGAUACCUGACAUAUGAUUAGUAGUCCCGGAGUCAAUAAUCCAUGAGUCAUUACCUUUUUAUGCUAAAGAAAAGAGGGAAGAGAUGCGUGAUUUGUAACUUGGUACUGUAGGAAUUUAACAUAAUCUUUCUCGGAUAUAGUAAAAGUCUUCUGGAACCCAUGUGCUGAAAAACUUAAUUUAACUUGGUCAGUGGUAACCACAUUAGCAUAACUUUCAACCAUAGCGAAUAGCACUUCAAACAAAAAAAAGUCAAAAUUUGCGAUGAACAAUAACACGUUAAUAGUACUCGUGAACAGUACUUUUGAACAGUAAUGCGUGAACAGUCGGUGAACGUACGCAUGAACAGUCGAUGAACAGUAUCGUGUGACGCGAUGACUAAUAUCACGUGAACAAGACUUUUGCUAGAUGUUUAACUCUAACUCUAGAGCUUUUGCUCUGAUACUAUGAGAACAGGUAUUUUGAAAGGAAAAUAUCUAAUCACUGUAUUAUGAGUGACCAACUAAUAUUUAUAGCAGUACAAACCUAACAAACUAUUUACAAGAAUACCCUUACUAAUAUAUUAUCCAUAAGAAUACUUAUAUUCUCUUAAUAAAAAUAACUACAGAACCAUCAUUUAAUUGUACUUCAACUUUGAACUAUUAGUUAAUUUUUCUUUUCUCCAAACAUUCAUGAUGUAGCUUAUGUGAAGUCUUUCUUCCACGAAUAAUAUUAAUCUUAACCAUUCUUCUUACUACCUUCAAUAACUGAGAAUUUACACAAAGGAAAAAUCAUAUUUUUCUCGUGAGUUACAAAUAAAUCAAGCAGCUUACAAAUGCUAAUGAGUUUACUCGAUCAAAAUUCGAUUUGAAUUUGAUCAAUGUUCUGACAAACCUCACAAAAAUGGUCACCACUGUCACAAUUCAACAUGAAAACAAUGCAUGCAACCCAUAGCUCUAACAUGUUGUCCGUGCACCAUUUCCCCUUGACAAACCUCACAAAUGUGGCCACCAUUAUCACGAUUUUCUUUUACUAGAAGGGAAUCACCACGCGAUGCGCGGUGUUAAUUUCAUGUUGCCCAGAAAAUGCCCAAAUUCAUAAGUGGAGAUAUCAUGAUUUGGAUGCAUUGCAUUUAAGUUAUUUCGUUAUAAAAUGAUUAAACUUUUAAAUAAGCGAAAGCGUGAGCAAAUAAAUGGGUAACUUUUCUCGAUUUCCAAUUGCUAUGCAUGUUUAGCUAAUCCUUAUCCCUUCUCACCAUUUCAAAUUUACGUGAUCCUUAUCCGUUAAUCUUAUGAACUAAUCUGGAACACAGAAAAUUGAAAUCACAUCUACAAAACCAUUCAGCCUUUUUUUUUCUUCCAAGGAGACAGUAGCAUCGAACUUCUUAAUUGCCUUCGAUGUGCAUAUAGCAACUCUUAGAAGACGGCGACUGACUCAAUGUGAAACCUAAAAUGUUAAUUUUCGAAAGGACUCCUCAGAGAUAGAGGCAGGAAUUUCUCGAUGACCGUACACGUCAGGAGUCCAUCCAGGAAAGUGUGGUACAUCCUCUUUCCGUCUCCUAUUUGCAGAAGUCCCAAGUACUCUGAAUGAGCCUCACGAAGCCCAGACUGCGCGGGUGGUUCAUGCUAACCACCAGACUGACGGAACCACAUACACAAGAAGGCACCCUUGGCUUCGUCUUCACCUCUCCGAGCCACUGCAUUUCCGCCAGUGGACAGCAUCAUGCGGAACAAAGCCCAUUCACUAUCAUUAGUUCUUAAUCGUUCGUCGACUGCCUCGAGCCAGCAAGAUAUCUCUCCCGAACAAGGUAAGAGGAAGCUAGGUAGAUGAAGUUUGUAUGAUCUAUCAACGAUCAGCACCAGUUACUAUCAUGACAUUGGCAGUCCCAUAUAUUUAGUCCUAGAAUAUUGCAUAAGCUCAAACCACUGCACGUAAAAUACAGAAAAAAUUGGUUAGACUCGGAUCAUAAUAUAUAGUGCUACAGUAGUAUUCCAUACCUGAGAGAGAGAGAGAGAGAGAGAGAGAGAGAGAGGAGAGAGGAGGGGGAACAGAACCAUCUCACACAACUUAGAAAUAUACUCUCUAUUUAAAACGUUACUAUGAAGCUUUGGUCUGACUAUGUUCAAUUUUUUUGGUUUUGUCAUGUCUACCUAGUAAUUGCUAAGCAUCAGCUGUGUUGCAUAGAAACACGGUGGAGUCAAUAAUCAUCUAGUUCAUAUUUUCUCUCAUGCAGAAAUGGAGAUAUUCUAUGGAAUCAACAAACUCAAUAAGAUAAAUACAAAAUUCUGAUUUUAGGUCCAUGUAAACUUUCUUGCUUUCCAGUUUUACCUACUACAAACAAAUUAAUAGUUUUGGCAUUUUAUCAAACACUUGAUUUCAUAUAAAUAUCAUUGCAUUAUUACAGAAAUUUAGAAUUAAAAAAUUCUCAAAUGACAUCUAUAAAAUACUCAAAUGACUACAAAUUCUAGUAACAUUAUAUCAACUUUCAUGUUUCAAAGGUUUAGGAAACAUGCCACAACCUAAUCUUUUGAAGGCCAACUAAUCCAUGAUAACCAAUAUCAAAACUUACACCUAAUAGGUUAUAAUCAUAAAUAAAUCAACAAUUCAAGGGAAAAUAAAAAAAUUUUACAAAAGGACAGAGCAAAAAACCUGUAAUGUGACAAAAUCAAGGAUAACCUCUUCUGCAAGGGAAAAAAAUGCAAGAUGAUGUUUGGGUACAAAUGGCAAUGAAAUAGAUACAGUCAAAUAUUCAUUUACUAUAACCUACCCAAAAAUAUAUAUAUAUAUUCGCUUACUAUUACAUACAAAAGGCUGGAAAAUAAUCCCUCACUACAUAACUAGAGUAUUUCGAAAAAGAAUUGAAGAAUUUUCCCAAACUUUGACAUGAAAUAUAAAAAAAACGUAAAUUAGGAAAAAAGAAACCAGGAAAAAUUUCUUAUAAAGGCAUUAGAUCGGGAAAAGUUCCAAAAAAAUUUCUCAGAUUUGUUAAAUCCUUUUUAAUACUUUUUGGCCAAGAGCAAAAUUGAGAUACAAAUACGGCAAGAAAAGGAAGAAUACCAGGCAAAAGAGGGGGAGGAAGAGCAAAACUAACCACGUGUUUUAGAACACAAUUUUAAAAACAGAGAAAAAAAUCUUACAGAGUCUCACAAGAAUGCUGGAAGAGUUUCCAAAAUUUUCACCUGCAAUAUCACAAAUAAAUACGAAUUAGAUUAGAUCAGACAACUAAACCAAAAAAGAAAAAUAGAAGGCUAGAGAAAAUCAGGGAGGGAAAGAAAAAAAUACCAACCAUCUGUUUUGAUCCUGAUGUUGCCGGUCAUGGAGAAUAAGAGAGAUAUCCUUAACUAUAGACACAGAGAUCCGUGGGAUCCUACAUGUACAUGCAACCUAUCUGGCAUUCCGUAAUCAGACGCUAGACACAGCCACCGGAGAUCUAACGUCAGUUUGGUACUCACAUAAACAAAAUCACACAAUACUAUACUAUUAGUCCAUCACCAUCAAAGAACCAGUACACAACUGCCAAAUACUUGCAAGGUUUAAGAGACAAUACAGACCUGCCAACUUUAUUCAAAUUACUUGCUAUAUAUGCCAUGCCUCCAUAUACCGCCAUUGCAACGAAAAAAAAUACCUGGGCAUGGUGAUGUAAAACGAAACCCGCCUAUAUAGAGCAGUCCCUGGCCUUUGGCUUUCCCCUGUCUUCGCAUCACUGUCCCUCCAUCUCGCAUGCUCACACAGUGGGAGUGCGGUGGUCUUCUGCUGAGAAUAUAAGUGCGCAAGACAACAUCACUACAAUUUAUUUCCCAUUUUGCCGUUCCCUCACCGUGUUUUCAUGGAGCCACGAGGUGUUCUCCUCUUAGGUUUCAUCUGCGUUAUCGUCGCCGGUGUCGGUGGCCAAGCUCCGCCCAGCCCACCCACCACUACUCCCUCUCCUCCUACUCCCACUGCACCCACCACAGCCCCCUGCUCCUCCUACUCCCACAGCUUCACCUCUCCCUACCACCAAUCCACCUCCAACUCCAACUCCAACAUCAUCCCCGCCUCCUGUACCUUAUCUCCUCCUCUCGUAGUGUCGUCGCCUCCGCCAGCUGUUACUUCUCCAUAGAAAGGAUUUGGGGGUGUCGAGGAAAAUGAAGAAGAAAAGAGAGAGAUGGUCUUAGAGAGAGAGAGAGAGAGGAGAAUAGCGAUGAACAAGGGAGAAAGAGAACCCUUCUUAAUUGUGAUGUAUCGAGCCAUGCGCUAGUCCCAUCUCGGCAGAAUACGUCAGAAAAAAAAGAACAAGGGGUACAGUAGCCAUGGUGGUCCGGUUGUUUGAGUAUGAGAGGAGAAAGCAACGAUGAGAGAGAAACACUUGAUGGGAGAUGAUGGGAGACAAUUAAUGGGAAUAGGAAUCUCGAGCCCACCCCAUUUGUCGUUCCAACCAAGGAGCAGAUAAGGGAACAAGAAAACUCUCCAAUAUUUCUAGCUGGGCACGUGAUUUUGGCAUGAGGAGGACGACCACAUUACUCAAUGCAGAUUUGGUUCCUAGAUAAUUAGAAAAAAAAAAUUAAAGAUAAUUAACUUUGCUGUUCUUUACGUACUUAUCCUCACUAAUUUGCUCCCUUUAAUGUAAUUAAUCAAAAUCAAAACAGCAGAAAAGCCCUUUACAAAAAAAAAAUAGAAAAAAAAAAGUCUUAUGGAAAAAAUGAACUCUAACUACAGUGAUACAUUUUACCCAAUUAUAUGCCCUUUUCUGGAACAAAAUAAUUAGCUUCGGUUCUUUUGUUUACAAAUUUAAGCUCACAAAUUUCAUCCCCAUAAUUAAUUAAUCAAAGUUAUUCUAAAAGAAAAGUCCCCUCUAAGAAAAGAAAAAGAAAAAAAGAAAGAAAGAAAAGUUGUUUUUGUUAUAGUCAAAGAAGCAAAAAAAAAAAAAAAUGUAACCAAUCCUAAUUCUGUAAAUAAAAUUUUUAAAAAUAAAUGUCCAUCCUCUAGAGUAGAAUAUUAGAGUUACUUUAAUAGUUUGCGUCAAAUUUUCAAAAGAAAAGAGUAUUCAUUUUAACACAGGAUGAGAUUUUGACAAAUUCAUUUUAUUAACUGUACCAUUCAUUUAGGCAUUCAUGUAUGUCAUUGAGUUACUAAAUCACACUCACAAGUUAAUUCCCACACAUCAAAUACUUCUGCUUUUGUGAAAGAGCAUUUCAAAUAUAUAUGUCAAAGUCUAUCCACGCACGAAUAUUUUUUGUAGAUCAAGUUAUUAAGCACCAGAAAAAAAAAAAAAGAGACUAGUUAUUUAUUAAGCCAAGGCCCUUAGAUUUUCUUUGUUGAUACACAUAUUCAUCACCCAAAUUGAUCAAAUUCUGCUACAUAGGAACAGUGAAUUACUACAAAAUCAGGUCUCAGGGAAAUAAGUGCUUCCAAAGUGGAAGCUUGUGAAGGUCUAAAAUGUGUAUAAUCAACCCUAUUUUGCUUGAAUUCUGGAUUAGAAUUUUCAGCAUGGUAAAUUCAGACAUAUCAUUAGGGUAACCAUCAUAUUUUGUUUCUCUAAACAUCUGAAAGCACUUCACUCUUUUAAAGUUAGCUGUUUGAUGGGAUUUGGGCACGUACGCUAUCAGGACUAGAAGCAUGUAGCAUGAUUAUGCAUGGGAAUAUCUCAGGAAGGAGUGGGAAUGGUGGCAGAUUACAAGAAACAACUCGACUAUUAAGCCCCCAUUUCUUUGAAGUUGAUGUCCUGGAACAAAUAAAGAAGAUUACCCACCUGGGGCAAUUCUCUGAAGACUACAGAUUAUACUUGAGCAUACAAGUUUUUCCUUUUCUUUGGUAGGAAAAUUUCUGUACUGCCCACUUUGGCAACUUGGGUAAAAUGCAUUACAAUGUCAUGUCCUAGCAUAUAUUGCUUCUGUACCUUAUAUAGGACCACUUUAGAGCGUAGCCUCUUCCCUUCCAUAGUUCCAUUGUAUUGCACUAGCAAGAGAAAAAAGCAUUCAACAAAUAAGCAUGGAUUUCUGUGAAAUCAAUUACACCUAUGGCUUUACUGCAGCUGAUUGGCAAAGCAAAUAAGGAGAUAUUGAAAGCAAAUUAUUCCAUGAUAUCUCCAUUUUAUUAUAACUCAAAAGACACAUGGUAUGGGAUGGAAGAACAGAUGGAAUAAUAGUAGCAAUAGUUACAGAAACUGCCUUGGCAUUUUUGUCCCAUACAUAGACGUAGAUUCCUGUAAUGUCUGUCUUUUAUCCAAGGGACCACAUUCUUGAAGAUCUAUUAAUCUUGAUAAAGUUUGAGAACAAUGAAAAGUUACCACCACAAAAAGUGCUGUAGCACAUGAGUUUCUCCACCACUCCCUCCCCGGUCCUCACAAGAAGAGAAAGAUUAAAAGAAAGAUAAGUAAAAGAGAGAUUAAAAUAGAGGUAAGUAAUAGCACUGGUGUUCAUCAGAGAUAAAAACAGAAGAAACUCGUAGAUCUAUGAGAAGAAUAGAUUGUGAGACAUUUAAACUUGUGUAUUGAGUAAGGAAGAAACAAAACAAUCUGCCUGUUUAAAUACAUUCAGACGUGGUUGAACAUACACAACUAUGGAAAAAAGUCAUGAAUCAGGCACAAGAAGUGCAUCCCAGAUUGUAUCCAUAUCCAGGGAUGGCAUUCUACUUAAUUGAACAGCUUCAGUAUCUACCAAACUUUCUUGGCUCUUCUUGAUAUCAAUCAUCUCACCAGAUUCAAUUUUGCAACCCAAGUCCAGUGGCCACUCUUUUAUGGCAGGGACUUGAAUAUUCAAGCUUUUGAAUCUUGAGUUCUCAUGCAAGACUGAUUUCGGCUGAGAUAUUGGUAACUCGGUAGACUUCUUUGUAGCAGGCAGGCCUUGUGAUAUUGCUUGCAGUUUGGCUUCCAGAAGGGCUGCAGUACUACAGCUGAUGGAAUUAGCCUUAAGUUGGUGUUUCAGGUCCGGAAAGUUCAUAUGUGCAUAAUCUCCCCUCAACAUGUAGGCAGCUGUAUCAUAAGCAAAAGCAGCUUCUUCUGCUGUAUCAAAUGUUCCCAACCACACCCUUGUCCUGUUUCGCGGUAAUCUUAUUUCUGCAACCCAUUUUCCCCAGUGCCUUUGCCUCACUCCUCUGAAAAGCUUUCCUGGAGAUGAUAUUGAUGAUAAAGAAGUCUUCUGAUUGCCAUUUUGGAUUCUUCUGCCCGUGAAUUUCAUCGGUGUUGUUUUGGUGGUACUGAGCCAGUAGUCACUAAAGCCUUUGGAGGAGUUAUUUGUGAUACUCUGACUGAUUUUCAGCCAUGGCAGAAGCUGGCUUUUCCCCAUUUCAGAGAUGGGGAAUAAAGGGUUUUGAGAACAUAGCUGCAUCGGCUCACGCUUCUGGCUCUUUCCAAGAGAUUCUGUUGCUUUUCUGGAUACAUCCAUUAAUGAUGGCUCUUGCAAAAACAAACCUAAAUUUGGGAACUUUGAAGGAGGUGAGGGACAUGGUUCACGUAAUUGAGCUUCAUUUAUUGCAGGGAAGGAUUCAAGGAAAUUCAACGGAAUGUGGCUUCCUGUAUUUUGAGCAGAAGAAGAUCCACUGAAGUAGUCAAAUGUUGCUGAUCCUGAGAGCAAUGAAUGUGCAUCAUAGCCCUUGAGCAUGUCUUUUUGCUCGGAAAAUUCUGAGAAUUUAAUACUGUUUAAUACUGUUGUUGGAAGCAGAAGCCUCUUCUAUUGAAGAACUGGACUCAGGACUCGAAAUCAAUCUGUCCAGUGAAGCUGAUGAUGAUUUUGCAUUACAUCCGCCACCGGAGUCGAUGCAAAAACUCUCAUUCAGGCCACCUGAAAUACAAUUAGGAUCCAUGAGAAAACGUGAUCCUUCAGGCGUUACCGUAAAAAGAGCUGGCAAUUCCUUCUGCAUGAAGGGUUUUCAAUUUGGAAAAACUGAUUCUGCAAGAAAAUGAUGUAUUGAGGAAAACUGAGAACUAGAAAUGAAACUAAUGCUGUUGGCAGAAGCCAGGUAUAUAUAUUAGGCCUUGCGCUAGGUCAUUUUAUGUCAUCACAGGUAUCUUUCAGGCCAUAUUAAAAUAUUGCAGAACCUGCUUUUGUGUCAAUGCUACCAGGUUCUCUUCCAGUUGGGAUCUGUUUCUAAAGAGGAAAAGCUUCUUGCCCUCAAAUACUACCAAAUUCGUGCUUCCCAUUUCCAAUAUUCUGUUUAGGAACCAAUCAAAGCAUGACAAUCAAUGUUUUCUAGUCAUGCCUGUCUUUCAAGAUUACCUGCAAGAUGGAUGUAUAUUCUUCUUGAUGGUGACUACAAGAACAUUAGACCCUUAACUUUAUUUUAUUGGCAUUAUUCAUUGGUGCCUUUAUUUAUUACUUAUCAUGUGAUAAUUCAACAUCGCAAGAUACAUAAUCCCUUUUACUCUCUUAUGAGAGUAAAAUGGUAUUGACUUGUUAUUUAUAAUCAUAUAAUUGAUUACUGUUAGAUUAACGUAUGUUCAGUGUGACACCCUUAAUUGCUUCUAUUUUCUGCAUUAUGACUUGUAUAUGCUUAACCACUAUUGGCCUCAUCAAAUGAUUGACUCCAAGUUUUCAAGUAUUUUCAAGGAAAACUACAUAGUAAUGGAGUUACCAUAAGUUGAAUUGAAAACCUUAUCGUCAACAUCAUCAUUAUCUAGGAAAAGGCCUCAAAAGAAUUCUUUUUAAAUGAGUUUUGCAUCACAAGUUUUAGGAAAUCAUGGCUGUCCUUUUUAGAUCUAGUGCAGGAAGAAUUUGGCAAAGCCAUCAUCCCAACAAGUAUACCUUAUUUGGCCUUUUUUCUUCUGGCAUCUCUACGUGUCCUUUGAGAUGAGCCUGGAGACGCUUUCACCAACUGAUCAAUUUCAAACAAGAAAAGUCCAGAAAUCAAAAGAAACUUAUGAAUGGUCCUUUUCACUUCCAAACUUGAGCCAAAAUAUGGUUAGUACACACUAAGAAUUUGGUACUCUACCCAUUUGCCAAUUAACUAUCAUGUCUGUUUUGAACUUUUGUAUGUGUGUGUAUGAGAGAGGUUCCUUUAAGCCCUUUAUUACCCUUUUGUGAUUUCUCAAGUUAUUCCAAGGGCUACCAUAAUUUCCAGUAGUGCAAUUGCUUAAACAAUGUUAUUUUAAGGAGGUUGCACAUGGUGAAGGCUGGUCUAAUUCUAAUUCUGUGUAUAGAUUAUUGAUUAUUAAUACUUAAGCAGACAUGAGCCCAUGUUUUCAAAAAGUUGCUCUUACCUUUAUUUUGCAAUUCUCUUUCCUAAUCAAAACACACUUCUUUAUUCCUUUUCAAGUCUUGGACCUCAAAUUGAAGAAGACAGCUAGGAGGAAUUUAACCAGAAUUGGCUACAAAUACAUUGCUUUUAGCUUCAAAAGAAAAAAAAAAAAAAAAAAAAGCACUUAGGCAUGUGAUUAGUAGAACUAGCUUGACCAAGCAGACAAAAUGAGAGAUCAUGUGCCCAUCAAAGAAUUUAGCUAAAUAAAGAAAACUAAUCAUUUAAAAAGCCUGACUAUACCAACUGUAUGAGCAAUGAAUAUAUGCUUUGCUCAUCUUUUCCCAUUAUCAUUCAGUUUCUCCACUCAGAAGAAAAGCAUUUUGUCUGGUUUUUUUAAGCUAUUUCAUCAAUUUCAGCAGUUAUCUUUUUUUUUUUUUGCCAACAACGAUACAUUGUAUAACCUCCUCUAUUCUAAUUUAAGGAGAGGGGGAGGCUAAGGGACUUGUGUUAGGGGUUAAUGGGUAUACAGAGCCAACUAGACCAAAAGAGUGCUAUAGUACUACCCUUAGAUUUUUUUUUGGUUCUGUAACUCUCAUCAAUUUCAGCAGUUAUCUUUGCCUACUAUUUGGACAUUCUUCCGUGUUUCCGUGUGUGUGCCACCUCCCUUUGGACAUAUGUUUCAAGACAUUCACGCACUUGAACACUAAUUUUGCCAUUACCAAUUCCCAAGAAUUCAUCAAAGCUACUAUUUGGAUUCCCAAAAAUUUAUCGUAGUUUGUUUGAAAAUUCCCAAGAAUUCAUCAAUGGGUUCCUUCAAAUUCCUUGAAAUGCUCCUAAAAAAUACACUUGUUUCAUUGUGACAAAAGCUUUUCUUAAACAAAAAAAAAAAAAAACAGUCGAAUUUAAUUAGAGUCAUCAUAUUUUGAGAGCAAGUCAAGAAUAAUAAAAAGAUGUUAAUUCGAAAAUUAAAGAGUACAACUAUAUGAAGUCAAGUAUAGUAAAAAGAUGUUAAUUCGAAAAUUAAAGAGUACAACUACAUGCCCUUUUGAGUUCUCAAUUUUUUCAAUUGAAGACCUAAUUCUAUAAGAGUAAAAGUGAGGAAAAACACCAUAUCUAUGCCUUGUUAGAAAGAUGUAAGUCAUGUGAACUUGUACCAUAACAAUUGAAAUAAUUGAGAGAGUCAGAAUUCUGACAAACGAAUGCCCUUACCAGUGAUAUGUUUAGUGCCGCAGGGAAUGAAGGGUCUCUAAAAAUUUCAUAGAAAAUUGUACACAACAAUAGAGAUACCCUAAACAAAUGUACACACUAAAAUAGUCGAUGUAAAAUAACUACUAUAACUUUUGGUACGAAACUUCCCAAAAUGGUAGUAUAAUGCUGAUGUUUCAUGCUAGUAAUUUAAAUUUUUACAUUUGCUGUGUUGGCGUAUAAUUUAUUGUACUUGUAUACACAUUGUAAAUUACCAUUAGGAUGAAGCAUCUCUACAAAUGUCAUAGUGAAUUGUACACAAUAAUGUAUACCCUAGACAAAUGUACACUUUGAUAUAAUCAAUGUAAAACAGCUACAACUUUUGGUAUAAUAACUCCUUUUUUGUUGAUGUAUAAAUUUGUUGCACUAGUGUAAACCUUCUGUUGUAAAGUAUGUGGUAGCUGAAAAUUGUAUGCAGAAGGAUCUCACCCUACCUUUGGCAACUUGAAAGAUGUUGGCUUCUCAAAGUUGCCUACAAAAGCCUUGACUUUAAAGAAAAUUGUGAUCAGAAUAAACAUAUUAUUGUUUCUUUUGGCAGCUUAAGCUGACUAUGAAAUGAAACUACAAAACAACAGGUGCAUGUCUGGUGCAACCUGCCAACCACUUUAGCUUUUGACUAGAUAACUUCACCUUUCAUUUUCCCCUCUAAUUCUUUUAAAGGAUUGAACUUUUAUUCCUGGAAGAUUGUCCUUCCAUGGACAAACUGAGUUCAGUUGUCUAUCAAUGGAACCAGUUACAAAGUCCUAGUCAACACAGAUCAAUGCAUAAUAUUCUGCCAUGACCCACAUAAAGUUAAAGAUAAGAAAACCACUCAAAGAAGAAAAAUGGUGCAAAGGUGAAAUAAUGUAUCCGUAUGGAAUCCUUCUCCUUCAAUUGAUUCUUACUUUAGUUCUACACACUUCUCCAAUCUCCAUCUUUUCGACACAUAUGAGCUUGAGUAGGACGAGAAUCUGUGUCUAAGUUUGUUGAUUGUUGUAUCCAUUUUCUUUACGAAAAUGUUUUGACUUGCCAACUAACUUGUUCAGUAUGUAUGAUGGUUUAAUUGACUAUGUUUUCUUGGCAUUUGUAAUUAUUGCUCUCAAGACAUUUUGCAUUAUAAAUUCAUGUCAGCCUCUUUUUUUUUUUUUUUGAAAAACAUUCUUAUCAGCCUCUUUAAUUCUACAGAAAGAUUUCCAUAUCUUCACCUCUAUGUAGAAAGUAGUCUUUAUUUUUGGAUGAGUUUCUUUUCUUUUUUUUCUCGUGGGGACGAAAUUUUAUAAUCCUUAGCUGAAUUUGAGUUCCUACAGUUUCCUACAUAAAUUUUUUAAACUUGGAUAUUAUUGAAUGUUUCCGGAUAGAAGAUUAUUUUACUAACUUUUGCAAUGUAAUAUAUGUGACAUAAGAAGAUGAUCGGAAAAAUAAAAAAUAUAUUUAAAAAAUGUAUAUAUGAUGCAGACAAAAACAUUUUCCAAAAAAUGCAGAAUGGUGUUUUUCCAUCACAAUGAGGAUAUGAUCAUUAUCUCCAUUACAAUGAGGAUGAAUAAUCUCAUGAAAUCUAAAACGACAAAGAAAUUACUAGUCAAUUAUUGGCAAGAAACAUAAUGCUGUCCUAAAAAUGACAUGAUAUGGCAAAACUUCUCUAUAGAGACUCUAUGAAUAUAUACAAAUCAUGAUCAAGUGCGCCCUUGGGUAACUAGGGUAAAUCCCUAUAAACUUGUAUAGUUAAACUGGGAAUACGUAGACAUCCAGCAAACUUUUUGGAAGGAUUGAUUAAAAAAACUUAUCCCUUUGUGUGAAAACUUAUGUUGUACUUACUCAUCUCCUCAUCAGCAUAUCAUGACUUCCACCACUGUUGGCAUAAUUAUGAUUAUGACCUCGUUCACUUUAUACUUGUUUACAACUAAUUAAUUAAGAUUAUCAACACCACUGCCGUUAACACCAUCAUCUACCUAGUAUUAGUAUAAGCAAAUAAAUUGGAGGACCAAUCAUUUUUGUGUAAAUUGUGGGGACUGAUGAGGAAGAAAACGGUUAGUUGAAGGAAGCAAGAGUCCGAGAAAUUAAAGAAUAGUCGGCUGACGAAUCGUGCAAGUCCAAGUGUCAAAAAUUCAUGGUUCAUUCUUUCAUGACAACUAAUCUUUUUCAAUUAUAUUAUAAGGAUGAUUUGAGCUUUUACUCUAAUAUGUAUACAAUUAUUGAAUACAUAAAUAUAAUAGAUUAAGACAAUAACAAAGUUUCUUUGUCCUAAUUCAUUCAGCUGACAUGUGAAUCCUAGGAUAAUUUUGUUUAAUACAACCAUGUCUCCCUAGAUUAAUGACUGCAGCUCUUGUUUAGUUAUAAACUAAACUGUAACCAUCCACAACAACUCCAUUACAAGAAGUAAUUGCUUAUAUAUUUAUUCAUUUGACUUUGUUUAAUUUUCCUUGUUUUUUGUUCUUUCUCUUCAGAUUUAGUAGUUAUCUCGCGUGCUAAUGGCCACAUUAACCACACAAAUUUAAAAGGCGGCUAUGAGAAAGGAAAAACAAAAGAAAAGGGACUCAAACAAACACUUAAGUAAGGGAUAGCUCACGUAAUAGAAAGUUUAGUUAGUUGAUAAGCUCUUAAUGCAUAAUGUCGUGUACUUUCUUGUUUUUAAAGAAUGCUUAUAAGAGGGUUGGCCUCACCUUGUCCAUGUUACUUGCAAAGAGAGUUGUAUGCUCAAAAGGUAGCCAAUAAGUAAGUUACCAUCACUCCAAUUGAUUACCAAAUUACAAAAAUAAAUUAUAUACACACUGACCGUAUAUACACUAUCAGGGUUGGAUGCAGGGCACAUAUGCAAAAUUUAGAUUUCAAAUUCAAAUUUGAAUUAUGUGUCAUACAUCUAAUUAUGAAAAUGUAUACACUGUAAUGUAUAAAAAAUUAAUUUUAUAUAUAUAUAUAUAUAUAUAUAUAUAUAUAUAUAUAUAGACACAUACAUACAUGUAAACGGUUUUCUUUCAAGAAAAAAGAGCCCACUGCUGUUUUAGAUAAUCAAGCUCUUAUAUAAGUACCUGUAGAUGUAAGCCUAUAUAGCUAUAGGGUUGGUAGAAUUAUGUAUUAGUAGUAGUACAAUAGUACAUAAAGUACUAUGCAAAAAGUUUUAUUGCAAGGAACAUUUCUAUUUCAGAUAUUGAAGUUGUUAUUUAUUGUAAGUGGCCCUUGGUGUAAGCCUAGUUACAGAGUUGGUAGACUUAUAAUAGUUGUAUACUAACUAGGACUUGGUAGAAAAGAAAUUAAAUUAAGGAGGAAAAUUGGAAUGGUUAUUUUAGUUGGUUAAAGGAAUUGUUUUGUAAGUGGCGUGGAUGGCACGUCAUGAAUUGAGCUAACAUGUAGGUAUAUUGGUGGAUGCUUUGUCCUUCACUAUUGGAGAUUUUUUUUUUUUUUUUUUUUUUUUUUUUUUUUGCUUAUUUUUUGAUCUUCUCCAGAGAAUAUAGAGAUGAAUUGCAUGUCUAAAAUUCCACAUUCAUGAAUAAAGUUGACAAAGAGGCCUGUGUACUAUAUACAUUGAAAGUAUGUAUAUAUUUGAAAGUAAAAUAAUGAAUCUUGGUCCAAGAAUUCAAAUAAAAAAAGUUUGGAAAAUGACAAGAAUUGAAUUUUAAGAAAAUAUAAUUCCAAAAAAUUCAUGUGGGGAUUUUUCUCAGGAAUUCGAAAAUACUGUCCUAAAGAGAAAAGGGGAUUGGGAUAAUAGUGGGAUCUAUAUAUCUUAAUAGAAAUUAGAGUCAACCAAGAGAAAAAGGACUGAGAAAUGUGGCAUUAGCACCACCAGGCUUUAUUAGCUCCUCCAAAAAGUACCAAAAAAAAUUUUUUUUUUUUCAGCUUCUCCAAAUUGGUGUUUUUCUUUUUGCAACAAAAUUUUUGACAACGCCAAAUAAUGGAAAAAGCUUGCAUGGAAAUGAACAACGAGAGAAAUUCAUUCUACCAGAUCCCCAUAAACGAAGGAAGUUAAAAAAAAAACAAAGACUCAAGAAAUAAACAAGACAGAACUUGAAAGCUACUGCAUUUGAUUUUUUUUUUUUUUCAAAAAAAGAUUUGAUUGAAAAAAAAAACUGAGAAAUAGUAGUAUAACAAUUCUUAGAACAUAGUGGAGAAUCAAGCUCAGUUAUAUUCUGAACAACUUCAAAAAAUGGGGAUAAAAAAAAACAACAAGACCAAGAAUCUAUAAUACCCAUACGUAAAAUAUUGUAUGAAAAAGACACAUUCAUUGAAUAUAAUCGCCUGACCUGAGGAGUCUCCAAGCAUAAGGUUGUUUAGUCGCUAUAAAUAAAUUGAAGCAGUAUGUAACAAGUAUUGCUAUUCCAUCUACCCAAAAUCACAAUAAUAGUUUGACUGAAUCAUGUAGCAAGUAAUGGAAAUAUGAAAAACAAAUCAGUCUUUUAAAGACUUCCACAUUGUCAAAUGAUAGAUUAAUUAAGUUAUUCUAGUCAAAAUCUUCAAGUUUUGUACCUUGACAGAGUGGACUAAAACCCUGUUCUCGAUUGAUUAUUUUAACUAAUUAUAGAUUUUGAUUUUGGAUAAUCAAUUUUUGUAAUGUUCUCGGUUACUUUUAUAAAUUUUUUAAUGACCAAAAAAGUUAAAAUUUAUAAUCACCCAAAGAGUAGUUUUUACUGAUUCUGAUUAUUCUCUAUGAUCAAUUUCUAUAAUUAGAUUUUGUAAAAUUUAAAACAACCGAGAACAAGGUGAGUUUUGGCUUUAAACGCAUAUGACGACAUGUUCCUCUUUUUUUUCUUUUCUUUUUUGGUUUGCAAGACAAUUUUUUUCUUUUUUUUUUUUGCCCUUUAUAGCUUCUGAUCUAAGAUCUUUUACCCAUUUCCAAAUUGUCUCUAAUAAUUAAGCAAAAAAAAAAAAUUUUUGGCGAAAUUUACGCGGUUGAUGCACCAACUGCUUGAAAUAAGUACUUGAAUUUGACUUGGUAUGAUUCUUGAGCUUUAGCUAUGGAUUGCCAUUCUUUUGAUAUUCUCCACCCGCAUUUUAGGAGAAACUUUUUGGAUAAGGAUAGAAUAUACGUUUAAGACCAUAUCAUUAGAUUAUACCCCAUUGCUGCUUAAAAGUUUCAAAUCAAAAAGAGAAAACUAGGGAUGAUUCGAGCAGUGUCAGAAUAUACUUCCAACUUUAUCAUGAAUUUAAGUCGAUUUAUGCAAAUAAGAACUUAAAUUAACAAAAGAAAUUAAGCUGAAAGAAUAAGAAGAAGUUCAAAUUAUCACCCAUAAAACAAAGUCCACGGUGAACAUGCCACUGAUGGCCAAUUUUUGUCAAACAGGCUUUAAGAUCACCACGUCCCCGAUUGGCAAGUUAAACUGGCUAGACUGGCUAUUGAGUAGGUAUGUAAUCGAGCCGAGUCGAGCUCGAGUAUUGCUAUAUUUGAGCUCGACUCGACCUAUAAAUAACUUGACUCGAGCUCGAUUGAGUCGAAAAAUCUCAAACUCGAGCUUGACUCGAGGAAAUCUUUAAAAGUUCAAGACUCGAUUCGAUAAGACUCGACUCAAGCUUUUUGACUCGACACAUUACUUGUAAAUUCAGUAUAAAUUAUACCCAUAACGGUCAUUUUAUAAUUAUAAUACAUAUAUAUUAUUUAAAUUAUACGGCUCAAAGAGCUACUCGCCGAGCCACGAGCUGCAAAAUUCUGACUCGAACUCGACUCGAAUGUGUAUUCGAGUAGCUCGAGACUCGGCUCGAACUCAGUUUGACCGAGUUCAAACCAAGCCAUUGACCAAGAUACUCGCGAGUAGCUCGGCUCGCGUACAUCCCUACUAUUGAGUUAUUUAUGGGACAACCCACAAGCGGCUCAAUGACCGUAGUAAAGUUUGUCCUCCCCCUAAAGUGGUUCUUAAAUGCUGGGUUCAACCUUAUUUAUGUUGGUUUUGUUUGGAUUGCAUUUUUCUAAAUUUUUUGUAGAAAAAUUACUGUAACGAUUUGAUAUAUGUGAGGUAAAAAAAUAAUUGAAAAAUAUACCCACGAAAAACGUAGUAAUUUUUCAAAGAAAAAUUGCAAUCCAUUCUUAAACUUUAAUUUUCAUUAAGAAAAAGUAUUCAACAUAUUUUAGUUGAGAAACCUUACCGUAAGUCUCUUCUUUCUUCUGAUAAUUUUCGUAACUCUCUUGAUCAUGCACAUCACAAGCGUUUUCUUUUGGGGAAACUGGACAAUUUGAUACUUAAAAUUUUACAUUCAGACUUUGAUGUAAACCAGAAAGGGCCUUUACUAAUUUAACUUGAUGCUUUCUCUCAACCAAAAAUUAAUGCUCGAGCCAUUUUGCAAAGCGUGGAGAAAAGAAACCAAUUAGUUUGAGUUGCCAUAAAGACGUCCACCAAUUGAGAAUUAACUUUUACCACUUCGGAGAAAUUUUGCAUUUGAGAAGUGCAUUAAGUUAGGAUCUCAUCUUACAUUGGCUAAUGGCUACUCCCAAAAGGAUUUAAGACAUUAACUUUUGAGACCUUAAUUGUCGAAUUAUUUGUAAUUUUUAUUUGAGAAACUGUAGAUUAUACAAAAUUAGAUAGUAGAAAUCGAAGACAUGAAGAUGUCUUCAAUAGAGUCCAAAGCCAUUCAUUCUUGCACAAGACUCGAUUUCCCUCAACUCAACAAGAACAAUUCAUCAGUUCUUGACCCCCCGAUCAUACAACCUCCUUGGACUAUUCUCUUCACAGAUCAAUUGAAACCCUCCAAAGCUUGGUGUGUAACCUAACUAGGUAAAGUAUAUACAACUAAACAAUCCAUAUUCUUAGCCUACAACCUUACACUUGCCAAAUGGUAUCUUUAUGUGCAACUUGAGGUCCCUGAACCAGCACUAAGCAAGCCUUUACAAGAAAGCAUCAGCGAAAUAUUCAGCAAAAACCACGAGUAACCUAAUCAACUUUCCUCAUGUCUGAAAUAACACUUUUCCUCGCAUCGAUCAACCUCAAAUAGGUUGCAAUGCAUCCACAUUUUCAAGCAAUUACUGCCUCCUAGGUGACAAAAUCCUUUAAAGCCCUACUCAGCUGUCAGUAUGUGGCCAUCCAUACGGUUAAGCAAAACCAAGUACCAAUGGCAUCAACAGAACCUGCUAUUCUAAUACGACAUUAAAUGGCCAAAACUUUCAUGAUUCUGGAAUUUAAAUGAUUAGACGACAAAGAAAAGCAGAAACCUAAUGUAAAAAUCAUCAGUUUGUUAUCAUGUCACUUGAUGGAACGGACAUGCGGUAAGCUACUUAUUUGAACGCAACACAAGCUAAUUAUAUCAACUCAGAACACCUCUUAAUCUUCUGCUAAAGCAUUUCAAAAAGCUCGUAUCACUCACCCACUUUUUGCAUGUUCCUAAGCCUAUGACUGAGAAUAUACAGAAUUUUUAAGCUCUUAACUCGUACAACAAAAAAAAUAUUCUAAUAGCUGUGAAAUAGUGUUGAGUCCCAAAACGAGCCACGGAAAUAGGGCAGGUAGCUGAUGAGGACAAAGAAAUGCAUUUCCCAAAAAGUUAUUUCCAAAUGGCAAAAGUUGAACCCUGAAUGUCAAGAUUAAUUGUAAGCUUAACCUUUGAGCACUGCAAUACACGUAUCUCAAUUUUAGUUAUGUCAAACAAAUUUCAGGCACUUCACUGUUUAUGAAAAGUAACUGAAAUUUCGGUUAUCAUUUUGACACUUCAUGGUAAAUAGAAGUCUGGCUGGGCUCAUCAUAGGCCUCAUUUCAACAUCCAACUGUAGAAAAAAAAGAUCCAAGUUAUGCAGCACAUCUUUGAGACACCCCAAAUAACAUAUGAAAUGAGUGCCAAACCGUACACCAAUCCUUUGUCAUGCCCACAAUUUUGCAAACUCGACAAGGUCUCCAAAAAUGCUAUACCAUCCUCCACUAGUAGAAGACAUUCAGAUUAAAAAAUAAAUAAAGAAAAGUACAAUAGUUCCCUUCAAAAACAAGUAUAAUGUGGAUGAAGGUUGACUUGGGACCACUCAACUGACAAAUGAGUCCAUAAGUUUUAACAAAUGGAAUGUUUGACUUCCAGCAAGUUGGAAUUAACAGUUUCACAAGAUUACAUGAACAUGGUUAAAAGAGGAUCAUCAGAGAAAAUUCAGGUGCAUCAAACAGGAACACAAAGAUCGACCAACAAGCACCAAAAUCAACAUUACAGUAUCAAUUAAGAUUACAUUGCACAUUAAGUGUAUAUGAAAAUCAUACAGAACAGAACAGAGACCUUGUAGCAGAAGAAAAUACACAAAUACGUAAAGCGAGAAAAAGGGGAAACGAGGGUCUCUUUAAAGUAAGAGACAAUCAGGAAACAUAAUAACAAGAGAGUUCAUUAUUUCUUGUUGCUUUUACCUCCAGCAUCAUUGCCCCCUGCUGCCUGCGCUGCCUUCUUUGCAGCCUUCUCUUGAAGUGCUUUUGCAUCUCUACAAGAUCAUCAAUUAAAGGGUUACGAGAAAGCAAAUCAAAUUACCCAGGUCAAGUGUCGGACACAAUAGUCACGAAUAACAUACAGCAUGUGGAAAUUCAAACAAUUAAUAGAACCACUCCAUAAACAAACAAAAAUCACAUACUAGUACUUACACCGACAUGGUUAUGAAAAUUAUCACGUUCAUUCACAUCAAACCGACACAAAAGCAUCUAACUUUACCUUAUUUUGAAGUGCAGAUGGACCUAGAGGGGUGUUACGAGGAUGCCUCCCCCCAACCCACCCCAAAAAGUCCAGAAAAUUUAAAUUUUUCCCUCAAAAGCUUAACACUACUAAGAUGACAACUACCAAAAAAAAUUUAAGAAUUCCUUCUUUCGCCCUGUUUUCAUGGUUACUCCAACUAAUGAAAUACAUAAAGGUAGCGCUAUUGGCACUCCAUUAGCUGCAUAUUUAUAUUAUCCGAAUUACAAAGGCAAUGGAGUCCCAGUAACCAAAAAGAAAAUAAAAAGGUUCCAAUAUCCUAGUGACAGUACAUAAACCUAACUUAAAUCAAACUAACAUCUAUCCAUGUAAAGGCGUGAAAACAAAAAAGAGGAAAAUUAUACACACACCAAUUCAUAACACACAUAAUUCAUCCAACAGAGUACCAAUCUUUCGAAAUCUCAACAUAAGCAAACACGGUUAAACCACUAUAAUUAUAAAGACAGGAACUUAAUAAUUACAGAUAAACAAAACUCCGAAUCCAGAAAUUGGAAAAUAUAGGAAGCAAAUUGGACAUAAAGAAAAAACGCGGCAAACAGAGAGAGAGAGAGAGAGAGAGAGAGAGGAUUAGUACCUUUCACGGCGUUGCUCAGGAGUCAAACCAUCAUCUUUGUUCUUGCCUUUGCCACCAGUCCUUGCCUGAGCUCUUUCUCUAUCUUUCUCCCUCUGGUUUCCGCGUGAGAUCCCAAUCCAGUCAAAGAAAUUUCCCAAAAUUCACAUAUACUCAUGAAUAAAUGCAGCAUAAAAUUGAAAUUAAUCAAAAAAAAGAAGCGUAAUUAAAGGAUAUGAGUCAUGGUGAGGACGCCGGAGAAGUCGCCGGAGAAGAAAGUCUACGCCGAGGAAGAAAAAUAAAUCAGAGAGCUGUCAACUAUGUGGUUCAGUGCGUG